This 95696-nucleotide long non-coding RNA is filed under the name Sorghum bicolor (sorghum). Its description in RNAcentral is "long non-coding RNA (SBIC_LNC005662)". Lineage: Eukaryota; Viridiplantae; Streptophyta; Magnoliopsida; Poales; Poaceae. The record is from RNAcentral.
AAGACAACUCUAGAAAUUGACUAUUUCGUAGACGGAGAGAGUAUAAAUAUGUUGGAAACUAAGACAUAAAAUCUCUAUUAAGACUGACCUAAGGGCAUCCGCAAUGAUAAUUCACAAAUAGCUAACUAAAUGAGACAUAGAAAUAAUAAAAAAUAAACAUGCUAGUGAAAAGUAACAUGAGUUCUAAAAGAUGUGUUUUUAGGAGAUCAUACUAGACUAGAAAAGUUGCUAACUACUUAAUCUCUCUCCUUAUCAAUAGAAUUCUUGUUAGACUAGAUAUCUGAGAAUCGUUGGUGACGCUCCAACUCGGAGGGGCGCCCUGGACUCACAAAGUCACAUCCUUUCCUGCCUCCCAGGCACAAGCAGCGUUUUGGUGACGGUCGGCUUUUUUUUUUUUUUUGAAAGAAACGGUCGGCUUUUCUCCGGCGGGUUUUCAUAUUAACCUGCUGCCGUCGAGAAGAAAAAUGUUGCACGCGAGACGCGACGAGAGGCCGUGUGCUGCAGCAUGCGUGCGUGGAUCACAUCAGAGUAUCAGACGGUUGGUGGGGUGGUGCUCUCGUGGUGGAAUGCCAAAGUCAGAGCUGACGGGCCGGGGCAGGAGCGGUGCGUGGCGACGGACGAUAAGAACGACCAACUACUAGGUACUAGCUCUACGAGUACUUGUAUCGUAGGUCGGACUUUGUGCAGACACCAGAGCAAAGGCAACGGUAUACAGUACUUCCGUAGUACAGUAGGGUUUUUUUUUUUUUUUUUUGUUGCGGCCGUCCUUGAACAUUUGUGGACUUGUGGUCUCCUCUUCCGUCUUGCGAAUGCCACUCGAUCAAAUACUGAGGAGUACAUCAGGCUCCUUCUGAUGAAGCUUUUCUUGAAACGGGAGACGUACAUAUGCAAUAAUGCAAAGGCAUAAUAUCGUAUCUAAAUCGAUGGCUAUACAUGGCCGAAAGACCCUACCGAGAAUUGUUCUGAUUGCCUCACCAUAUCAUGUUGCCCCCCUGCAACAUGCCGAGCUGAAAGCUUUUCGCAAAAUCUCCUGCACCAUCCGCUUGGAAACACGGGAAAAAGGGAGAUUGAGAUCCUACCAAUUCUCUACCGCAACCGUCGCCGCAUACGGAGUGCUCCUACCACACUACUACACUAGCAUAGCACAGCAUGCAUGGAUGGUCCUCUGGCCGCCUCUCCGCCAGCCAUGUCGCCACCGCCACUUGCCGGAUUCCGCUGAAGCCAUCAGCGAUUGGCACCGCUGCUUUUUUCAGCAAACCGAGCUUCUUUUUCCCCACCCGAUCUAUAGAUGGUCCCCAAAUUAUGCUCGCCUAGCUAGAAGAUGUUUCGAUAGAUCAUCGACACAUUCUUUAUAGUUUUUGCAUGAUCGGGCGAAUUAUGCAUGCUCGCCUAGAGUCCAUAGAUGUUCUCCGGCGAAGCAUAUAAAAGCCAUAAAAUAAUUAAAGCGGAGUGUUUUGAUUCGCGUAGCUCGAGAAGAAAAUGCUCUGCAACUGAAAGACUGAAGCCCUUCUUCUCUGGCCAGAGAACUGAGAACCUACUGGUACUGAAUACCGUUGCCUUUGCUGCGUCUGGUGGCAGUGGAACAAGAUCGGGUAAAGAAGGGCAAAGGCACCGCGCUCGAUCGAGAUCUUUUCCGGUUUCAAAGCAUGUGCUGAGAUGAUCUAUCUUGCCUACAUGUGGCCACUAGUGGUUAAAAUCAUUCUAGGGAUUGUCAAAAGCGUCGAGAAAAUAGUUCACUUCCUUUCUUCGCCUGCUGAAGAAGUAGGUGCUGAUCACUGGUGGCGACAGCGACAUCUGCGAUCUUUUGCACACCAUGACAAGCUGCUGGGUUCCCAUCCAUCCACCAUACUGUACGCGAGAUCUGAACACAGCAAUGAUGAACCGAGAGCGACCGAAAAGCGCAUCAGUGUUCAGCAGGCACACUGACAGCGAUGGAAGAAGCUUCAGUAGCAGAAGGGAUGGAAUCGAACGAAAAAAAAUCAUGUACCGAUGGUUUCCGUUUUCUAUAUUAUAAUAUUGUUUUGAAUUUAGUCAAACACAAAAUUUGUUAUUUUUAAUUAUUUUUUGUAAUAUUUAAUUACUAAAAUAUAGAAAAAAAAUCUUAUACCCACCGUUUUUGUUUUCUAUAUUGUAAUACAGUGGCCAGUGGGCUUAGUGGCAUGUAGAUUAUUAUUCCAUGAUUGGAGUGGCAUCAAAUUCAUCACACGAUAAGGUUCAUCGUCAUAGACCUCAGAAACACUUCGACCCACCGAACAAGAAUCCGAGCAGGGGCCAGUGUAAUAAGAACAAACAGCAAGAAUUGAACAGGGACGAAGAACUUCAGAGACAAUUCUGUGCUCCGUCCCAUCAGGCCAUCACAUUGCUUUCGUGAAAGAAAUGCCAAGAGCUGAAUUGCAGAAAAGACGGUGGAAAUAUCUUGAGUUUUUGGAUCGUAAUUAUGCGCCUUCUUUUUUUAGGAAAAGUUCUGUGCUUUCUAGGACUAGGAGCCUCUAUGUUUAUAGAAGCUUCUGAAAGGCCACCAGGCCCUGGGCUCAGGGAGGAGGUGCAUGGAUGAUACGUCGUGUAGAAAAAUGGGGCCGAAAGAUUAGGGCACAACACCAAAAGUCUUCUAACACGUCACGGGCUCACGGGCGGGCCUGAUGUCAGCCCAAUUUACCAAGCAUCCUUGAAAAAGCGCCAAUGGCACGGCCCAGUUCCGCUCAGGAAGAUUUUCAUAGCUGAGAAAGUACCUACAUGCUGAGAAGAGCAUCAUGGGCGCGUCCCGGGACACCCAGCUGCGGAUGCUGGGGAUCGUCAAGGUCAUGCUGGCCAACCUGCACGGCAAGGAGGACAUCUUCGGGCCUUGAUUAGAUCUAAGAUUUUUUUAUUUAUUUUGACACUAUAGUAUUUUCGUUUAUAUUUGAUAAUUAUUGUUUAAUUAUGGACUAAUUAGAUUUAAAAAAAAUUGCCUCACAAAUUACAGAUAAGUUAUGCAAUUAGUUAUUUUUUAUUUAUAUUUAAUGCUUUAUGCAUGUGUAGUAGAUAUGACGGAGAAUCUUGAAAAAAAAUUUAGAUUUGGAUGCAAUUAAACAAGGGCUUUCUGUGAAUCUGCAGCCCUGUUACAUGGGUGAAGUGCAAGAGGGAGGAAGACGACGACUGCUACGAGGCGAUGCUGAAGGCCAAGAUCAUCACGCGUUCCGGCGCUGGCUACAACGCUAGCGCAGCCGGUACACACAAGGGUGAGCCUCCUCAAGUCGGAUGACGACUUCGAAGCCCUCAUGGAGAAGGUUACGGAUCUUGUCAACGCCGAGAACUACGACGACGAUGCUCUGCUCCUGAUUCGAGCUCCAUGUUAUGGUAAUUGAUCUCCAAGUGAUGGACUCCAGCCAACAUGCCGGACGACAGCACCAAGAGCACUUCGAGCAAGAAAAACAGCGGGGGCCAAAUAAAUUAAGAUCUGGAAUUGGAGGAGGACAAUGCACGAGCAGAACUAUACAGACGUAAAAUAAUUUGAAAAACAUCGACACAAGUACCUCAUAGUUUAGUUUAGUUUUUUUGAGCAACUUCUUCUUCUACUACAGGAGGCUUUGAGCUCCUCAAGGCCACUGGGCCUUGGCCAGUGAAAGUCUUGCUUUCCAAGCUGUGGGGUGGUAAGAGGUGCUUCAGUGAUAACAGUAUCAGGCAGCACAUAUGGGCCGCAUCACUCUGCUAGUUUGGGUUGUCGAAUCGUUGGGCCAUGCAGAAACAAACGGCCGUGCAAAAUAAAUUAUGGUAUAGAGCAUAAAUUCCAGAGAUCUGACAACUUUGUAGCUUUCCACUCCUACGUUUGACGCCAUCUCUUCUAGAUCUAAGUCAUCUAACUGUUGUAGUAUAUAUUAAUUAUUUUCAGAGAUGAACUAAAAAUCUAUAUAUCUCGUCCACCUUUUAAAUGUUUAUUACACAAUAAUACAAUAUGUGCAUCCAUCCAAGUCAUAUGUGAUUUUUCUGAAGACAUGCAACGCUAGAGUGUGGAUAAAGAAGGCAAUUUACCCAUAAACAUUGCAGUUUCGGCGAGUUCAAAAAAGUUCAUAUGGUCAGAUAAAAUUCAUAUAAACUUUGCAGUUUCGGCGAGUUCUACAGCUCUGUAGCCCAUAAACAUUUCAUUUCGAACCAUUUUGGUGACGAAAUUCGGUACGGUGUUCGGAUAUGCCUUAUAUUUCUGGUUUUUAGAUUUAGACAAUUAAUUAUGGGGAAAAGGGAUUAGACAAAAAGAAAUGAAAUCUUUGUUGGAUAGGCCAUGCACAACGAUGCCGCACUAGCACUGUCCGGCCAGUGGCUUCAUGCGCCUGACCCUUUUUGUUUUUUUGGAAAUUCGUCAGUUUCUACUGUGUCUUUCGACAGAAGAAAACUGACCAUAAUUCUUCAACCCCCCCUUAUACGUAAUCUUGAUUCUGGAAUCUGGAAGAGAUGCGUGAGCGAUGACAGCAGCCUGAUAGCAAAAUGUUUCGCCCAGUAGACGGCGAUUCCUGAGUGUGAGAGGCCGGAUAUUUUUCAUUUUUCUAAGGGUUGUUUAGUUUCCAAAAUUUUUAUAAUUUUUUUUUAAGAUUCCUCAUCACAUCAAAUCUUGCAUCAUGCAUGGAGUAUUAAAUAUAGAUAAAAAAGUAACUAAUUACACAGUUUGUCUGUGAUUUAUGAGACGAUUUUUUUGAGUCUGUCAUGAUUAAAUAAUAAUUAUUAAAUACAAACGAAAGUGCUACAAAAGUUAUUUUGCAAAAAUUUCUACAACUAUACGGGGCCCUAAAAAAAUUGACGGCGAUUCCUUCAUCUGUCAUGCACGGUCGCUCUCGCUAGAAGGCAAGAUUCAGCCAUAUCCCUGUGGAGUGCUCGAGUGAUGGGAACGUGUGGCUUGUCUUGCCUUCUAGUGAGAACGAAGAAUCCAUGGUAAAUUUUAUAAAGGAAAUCACGUAAUUGAAGUACUCGAUCAGAUUUCUUUCGCGAGAGGAGAGGGAUUCUAGUAAAUUCGAAGUCCAAUUACUGUUUAUAUCUAAAUCUUUGAACAAUAAAAAAUACAUUAAAGUAAAUCUAGAGCCUCUAAUGAUUAUUCACCUCCAAUCCAUAUCAUUGAUAGCGACAUCAACAAUUAUAAUUAGAUUAGAACAUCACUCUCUUUUCAUCCACACCAAUGGCCCCCAGACCUUGGAAAGGCCAUGCUAUCUAUCGCCACAAGAAUUUCUCUAGACGUGUGACGCGUCGAAAAAGCAUCGUCUAUCUUGUUAUCGAAAUUGAUCAUAAGGACUAGUCAUGCUAAAGCAAGAAGUCCUUGACUUUCAAGCCAUCACAAGAUUACAAACCAGCGAGUCAGUAACACAAAGAUGAAAACAGAAACACAACCACCUCUACCAAUUGCAUCAACCCUAAAAAGAAAAAAAAAACGAUGUGAAGAAUGUUGGGCUGGAUUCUUUUUUUUUAGAAUUACAAAGCAAAUAUGCAUUCGACUGGUUUCUCUACAAGAAGUAAAAUCUGGUGAGAAAUCGAUGAAGGCGAUACCACCAAUAGUCCACAUAGCACAAUUUGUUUAAUUUAAACCUUAAUAACAACUACUAAAUUGGACGACUAAAGGCCCUCAAAACUCGUCCACCGGCGAUGCUUACGCAUGAGAGGAUGGGGACCAACGGCAAUUGUGCUAUAGGAGCUUAGAGUAACGGUCAUCGUAAUAGGAUCCCCAUAGUAAGAGGUGCCGCAGGAUGGUGCUAUAGGAGCCUAGAGUAACGGUAUUUCUAAUUCUUGAAUUGACUUCGUAGCAUAAUAUAAUUUGACUUCAAAUAAAAUUAAAAGACUAGUUUUUUUAUGGAUAUUGUAGCACUUAAAGAUCCCUACAUAUAUCAUAUAUGACAAAUAACUGGGACAAGAUGUACCAGCGAUUGAUAGCAAAAGGACGUGCCAACAGAGGCAAUCCCUUACGAAAGCUCGCUCUCCAAGAUCUUUCUGUGGGAUGAUGGAGACUGGCACUAACAAUAUGUUCAGUUGGACAUUAGUGUCAUGUACGCAAAGAGAAACGGUCCACCUAGCGCCCGGACGUCCGGCUCGUAGGUGUGUGUCCGGACGCAAACACCCAACCAUACCGAUCCGGACAAGAGACCCAACCAAUCCGGACAGACUCGCGUGCGAGCGUGCGGCCCCAACUCGCGGCGCGCUCGCGUGCGGCCCCGCGCAGCCAUCCCGCCGCGCCGCCGUCCCGCGAAGCCAUCCCCCGCGCCGCCGUUCCCCUCCUCCGUGUUCCCCUCCGCAGAGGUCCUCCCCGCGCUGGCACACCUCGUUCCUCUGUCGCCUUCGCCACUUCAUGUCUCAUCUGCUGGCCAACGCCAAUAUCCCCACGGGCUGCCGUCCCACGACGAUUGUUGAGGGCCGUGAGACAGAUCUAUGGGUAGACGGGCGCAAGGAAGGCUCAAACCGGGGCUCAAGGGACGGAGUGCAUGUUGUUGCAAUCACCAGGGGCAAGGAGAUGGUGGAGACAAACCCUUCUUCUUCAAAUCAACCCAAUCAGCAUGUAAUUAGAUCCUCUGUUUUGCUACUGAAACUUGUGUUACAAUAGUACUCAAAUAUUUACCAGAGUCCACUGCAACAAGAAUUUUGGUUGUCUGUGUGUUCUGCUGUGUGUUCUAUGAUGACACUUUGAAACGAGCAGGAGGUUGAUGACGAUUCUGUUAGUGUACAUCACCAGAUUGUUGCAACUUCAAGCGCUAACAGGGCUGCCCAUGUUUCAGAAGUAUGUUUCUAGUAAACUCUAACUAAAAUUGUUUAUUUCCUUCAAAAUAAUUAUCUGUUGUUGACUGCGUGUGUAAUCUGACAAUGUAUUUGUAACAUAGGGUUCCAUUGACCCUAUUCUUGAUCAGAGUCUUUCUAACGGGGUAGCAGUUCAGUCGUUUGAGGGUGUUGAUGUGGAGAUAACUGAUGACGAGUUGGUGUAUGAAGAAGAACAGGACGUUGUUAGCUCCCAACCAAUUGUUCCAUUUGAAGGGAUGGAGUUUGAUACAAUAGAUGAAGCAAGGAGGGUGUACAACGCUUAUGCAUUCAAGAUGGGAUUCAGUAUCAGGAUAGGCUCAUCAAGAAGUAGUCGUGUGACUAAACAAUUGAUAAGGAAGGAGUUUGAAUGUUCGCAUGCAAGGAUUACACCUGGUGAAAAGGAAGAAAGUGCAUCGAGUAAUGCAUCAUCAUCGGCAGCAGCUACAUCCAAGAAGAAGAGUGCAACAGCAGUAAUGACCACUGCAACAAGGAAACGAAGCACGUUAAAGAAGGCAGAUUGUAAGGCACAUAUGGCUGUGGGUCUACGUAACGGAAGGUGGAGGGUUGUGGUGUUUCAAGCAGAGCAUACACACCCUUUGGUGAAGAUAAAGGGCAGGGUAAUGCAGCUGCGGUCGCACAGACGAAUAUCAUGGGCAGAUUAUGAGCUAUUGAAGACACUGCACCAUCGAAACAUAUCCACCAUGCAAAUCAUGGCAGUGCUAGGAGACUUCCAUGGAGGCGUGGGAAACCUAACCUUCAAUAGUAAGGAUGUCUCUAAUAUGAGGACACACUUGAGGGCAGGACUACGGUACAGAGACAUGGAUGCUGUCCUAGAGUAUUUUCAGAAGUUGCAAGCCGAGAGCCCUAGCUUCUUCUAUGCUAUCAAGCUAGAUGCUGAGAAUGCUGUAAGGGGGUUGUUUUGGGUUGAUGGCAGAUCAAGGGAGUUGUACAAGUGCUUCAGGAAUUGCAUAUUCUUUGACACGACGUUCUGCACUAACCGGUACAACAUGCCCUUUGCACCAAUUGUUGGGAUCAACAAUCAUGCCCAAAGCAUCCUACUAGGUUGUGCUCUGCUUCCGGAUGAGACUACUGAAACAUUUGUGUGGGUGCUUCAAACGCUCAAGGAUGCAAUGGGUGGAAUAGCACCAACCAACAUCAUGACUGACCAGGAUAGGGCCAUGAAAGCUGCAAUAGCACAGGUAUUCCCUUCUACAACACAUAGGUGCUGCAAGUUUCAUGUGGUCAGCAAAGCUUGUGAGAAGUUUGGUUGGUUAAUUAGAAACAACCCAGAAUUUGCAGAUGAGUUUGACUAUUGCAUCAACUUCAUCGAGUCUCCAGAGGAGUUUGAGACGUUGUGGCAUAACAUAGGGGUGAAGUAUGAUAUGCAUAGCAAUGAUCAUUUUCAGAACAUGUCUUCAACCAAGUCUAUGUGGGCACCUGCAUAUUUCAAGAAAUGCUUCUUUCCCUUCACAAGCACAACAGGAAGAUCUGAGAGUAUGAAUGCAUUAUUCAAGACAAUGGUGCACCCACAGGACUCAGUGUUGCAGUUCCUUACCCAAUAUGAGUACAUAAUGGAAAUAAGGAUUGAGAAGGAGUAUCGAGAAGCAGCAAAAGGUGAAACGACAAAUCCACCGCUGUGGGGGAGGUCUCAAAUUGAGAAGCAAGUAUCUAAGUUCUACACUAGAAGUAUUUUCUUCAAGUUUCAAGAGUUGCUGCGUGAUUCCACGGCAUUAACUAUAGAUUCGAUUGCUAAAGAGGGAAGCCAAAUGACAGUGCAGGUAAGGUGUACAUACAGACUGCACAUUUCUGUUGCAGCAUACAUAGAUGUUCUCUUUUACAAAAAUACUGAAACAUGCUAUUCAUUACUAGUGAAACAGAAUCUAGAGUCCAUUGAAACAAUAAUUCUGGGUGACUUUGUAAAUUGAUGGUACCCCUAUUUUGUACUUAUGUUGUAGGUGUUGAAAUGAGUAUACAAGGAAGGUGAGGUGACAUUGAAAACAUACAAUGUUGCUGCGAAUCAGGGGUCUGAAACAUACACUUGCUCUUGCAACAUGUUUGACCAAGAUGGUCUCCUAUGUCCUCACAUCCUGAAAGUCUUUACUACACUUGAUGUGCAACAUGUACCACAGAAGUAUCUGCUGCACAGGUGGUCUGAAGAAGCUACGCUGAAAGUUCCUCAACAUUUGUCAGGUCCUGAACCAGUGUUUGGUGUUCCAGCGACAAAUAAGCUGAGGUACAAUGCAUUGUGUAGGAAAAUGACACAGCUAGCUGCUGAUGCUUGUGUGGGUCCAGAAGAGUACAUGGUGGGUUCACAAGGGAUCAAUCAUUUGAGGGAAAAGGUGAAGAAAACCACGAAAGCAUUGAUUUCAAGACAAAAUGAUCCCCCAAAUGUAGUUGAGGGUGCAAAGGAGGUGGAGAGAGGGGUGAAACAAACAAAGUUCAAGAACCCUCCAGCAAAAGAUCCACAAGGGAGGCCUAGGAACAAGGUUGACCGUAAGAAGACCAUUGUACAACAAGUGAAAGAAAAAGCAAUAAAGAAGAACAAGUCCAACGCUAAGAAAGACAAAGCCAAAGAGUCGGUGUGCUUGGUAUGCCACGAAGAAGGCCACGGUGUGGAGACGUGCAAGUUCUUAUCGGCAGCAAUGCACCUAAGGGACACAGAGUUAAAGCUGUAGAUUUAUAUUCCUUGAACAAAAAUAAGUGUAUAUAUGAGGCACUCAUUGAUUUAUAAAUUAUAAACCAAUUUAGUUUUAUAUACGAACUGAAGCUUCUUUUGGUGUAGCACUUCGCUCAUCUUUCUUGUAGUAAGUUUUGAUUAUAUCUCCUUUCCUUUUUCUACAAGGCCACCUUUCGUUGAGAUUGAUCACUUUCACAUUACGUACGAUGAGUUCUAUGAUUCCUUCAAGGCAAGGGGAUUGGUUGGUAACAAUGUAAUGGCUUUGUGGAGUUAUGAGUUCAAUCUUGACCAGCUUCAAAUGCUUAAAGAGAAUAAAACAAGAGAUAUUAAAUUUGCUUUCCCCCAGUUGGCCACGGUAAUGAUACAAUACCUGUGACUUUCUAUUUCUAAAUGAAUUCCUCGAACUCAUCUUUUAUUUAGCUUUUUUCAUUUCUUAUUUUUCCAACCUUUUUUUGUGUGUGUGCUGCACAGUCAUUCUUGAGUGUGGAUCCAGCUUCUUUCAGUAAUGAUGGGACUCUCAAGAAAAUUUACACCAAGAUAAAUGAAACAUGGACUAUCGCCAAGAUGGAUCUGGUACGUGAGGUGUAUAUACAUUGUUUCGUUCCAAUGAGAAAGGCCAUCAACGAAGCAAGGGCACUCAUUUCAAAUGGGCAGUACUAAUGUUACAUCUGAGUUACUCUACUGAAACAGCAAAGUUUCAAUACAGUUACAUAUGAAGAUAUCCUAAUGAAACAGUUGUAUCUACUGUGUACAUUCAAAAUGUUGAACACUGUUACAUAUGUAAUCUUCUAUUGCAACAGUAUGGUAGCACUAUUGUUACAUCGGAAUUACUCUAGUGAAACAGCAAAGGUUGAACACUCUUACAUAUGUAAUCUUCUAUUGCAACAGCAUAGUAGCACUAUUGUUACAUCUGAAUUACUCUAGUGAAACAGCAAAGGUUGAACAUUGUUACAUAUGUAAUCUUCUAUUGCAACAGCAUAGUAGCACUAUUGUUACAUCUGAAUUACUCUAGUGAAACAGCAAUGGUUAAACACUGUUACAUCUGAAAUCUUCUAUUGCAACAGCAUAGUAGCACUAUUGUUACAUCUGAAUUACUCUAGUGAAACAGCAAUGGUUCAACACUGUUACAUCUGAAAUCUUCUAUUGCAACAGCAUAGUAGCACUAUUGUUACAUCUGAAUUACUCUAGUGAAACAGCAAUGGUUCAACACUGUUACAUCUGUAAUUCUCCAAGGAAACAGUUAUCAACUUCUGUUACAUCUCAAAUUACAGCAACACUGAACAAACAUUAACAAGCAUGGACCGAUAGAUAACGUAGUGUAUCAUGAAUCAACUCCAUAUUACAAGAAAUAUGAUGUUUCAUGGCACAUCGCUCUCCUAACACCUCCUAUCUACAUAGCGUCAACUUCAUCAGGUCUUCCUGGCAUUGUACUUCUUCACAAAUUCAUCUAGCUUAACCACAUUGUGUUCUGAUCCAAGGAGUAGUGCAGCAGCAUGCUUCCUGAAGUCUAGCACCGAAUCCUAGGCAGAGACAUAAUGAAAAAAAGAAAGCAAAGCAAGACUGAGCAAGCAUAUUUAGAGACAAAAAAUAAGAUUUAUAAAAAUAAGAAUAUUUUAGAAUCAAAACACAUACUUUCACAAGUGAUGGAUCCACAAUCUUCUUGCCAUCCCAUGCAUCCAUAUAAACCAUUGUAAAUAUCCCGCAGUCAUACCUUUUAAAGAAAAAGGAAAAUAAAACAUGUGAACAUACAAAUCAUUAGGCAAUGAUGACUAGGAAGGACAUGCUAAAAGUGCAACAUACACAUUCUUUUGUUUAGGAUAUCCCUCGGGGUAGAUCCACUCAGAACGAGACACAUCAGUUCUGAGUACCCCAUGUUUCAGUGUGGUGGCUGCAAAAUUCUGAAUCUGAAAAUAAAUGAAACAAUUCAGGAAUACAAAUGCAACCCAGAAUCAAGAGCUACUUCAACAUCUAAAGAAAGAAUGAUGCAACAUGAAAUCGAGAUUUAUUUUAACAAAAGCAGAAUGAACAGCAAGGAAUCCACCGAUCCACUUACCAAGUUCUGGGCACACUUCAAACAUGAGAUCUCCUUAGAGGCGCUUAAAGAGUCAAAGAAGGCAAUUUGCUUCAUGAACAUACUAACACAAAGAAGCACCCAGUGGUCUUGAAAAAUUAUCGGAAAGAACAUCUGCAAACACCUUUCAGUCAUUGACACAUGUAGCAAAUGACAAUGCAAUAUAUGAAGUGGAGAGAAUGAAACAUUGGGAAAAGUACAGUGCAACAUAUGAAUGCACAUUGUGCAACAUGUAUGGAAACAUUUGAAAUGAGUGUAUCUUGCUUCGUUGAUGGCCUUUCUCAUUGGAACGAAACAAUGUAUGUACACCUCACGUACCAGAUCCAUCUUGGCGAUAGUCCAUGUUUCAUUUAUCUUGGUGUAAAUUUUCUUGAGAGUCCCAUCAUUACUGAAAGAAGCUGGAUCCACACUCAAGAAUGACUGUGCAGCACACACACAAAAAAAAGGUUGGAAAAAUAAGAAAUGAAAAAAGCUAAAUAAAAGAUGAGUUCGAGGAAUUCAUUUAGAAAUAGAAAGUCACAGGUAUUGUAUCAUUACCGUGGCCAACUGGGGGAAAGCAAAUUUAAUAUCUCUUGUUUUAUUCUCUUUAAGCAUUUGAAGCUGGUCAAGAUUGAACUCAUAACUCCACAAAGCCAUUACAUUGUUACCAACCAAUCCCCUUGCCUUGAAGGAAUCAUAGAACUCAUCGUACGUAAUGUGAAAGUGAUCAAUCUCAACGAAAGGUGGCCUUGUAGAAAAAGGAAAGGAGAUAUAAUCAAAACUUACUACAAGAAAGAUGAGCGAAGUGCUACACCAAAAUAAGCUUGUUUCAACAAGUAUGAAUGAAGUAUAGAAACAAAAAAAAUAGCUAGUUUCAACACAUGCAUACUACAUUCACAAGAAGUAAACAAGCCUGGUGCAACAAAAUAUGGGUAGCACAUUAAACAGCGCACAAAGUGUAGGACAAUUCAAAGUUGUAUCCCCUGAUCGAAGAUAUGAGGAGUGGGGAGUGGGUAAACUCACGGUUGGCAUUCACCCUCUAACUGGAAUCCCUGAUCGAAGGCUCUUUUAGCUAAAAAGUUGUUCCAAAUUUCUUUGAUAUCAGCAUCAUCACUCUUCGGUCUUGUUUGCUUCGGCCCAAGCCCAACAUCAAUUCUUUUCCUCUUCUUUCUAUUCCUUUUAUCAAUUGUGCUUGAGCCUGGUUGAUUGUCCUUGGAAGCAUCAACGGUUGUGUAUGCUAGACACAAAAAGUAUGGGAUAAAGUAUAUGGAAACAAGUAUCCUAAAACAUAUAGACAGAUAUACUGCAACACAUUUGGUAGUAUCACUGAAACAUAUAUGAAUGGUAGUUGCAACACAUAAGCCAGUACUAAUGAAACAAUAUGAAAUCAAGGCUGCAGUAUUUAGAAAAUAUAACUAAUAAAACAUAUAGACAGAUAUACUGCAACACAUUUGGUAGUAUCACUGAAACAUAUAUGAAUGGUUGUUGCAACACAUAAGCUAGUACUAAUGAAACAAUAUGAAAUCAAGGCUGCAGUAUUUAGAAAAUAUAAAUACUGAAACAUAUAGGCAGAUAUACUGCAACACAUGAGAUGGUACAAAUGAAACAGAUUAGGAAAGUUAUUGCAAUGGGUAUAGAAAAAAAGGGAAAAAUAAGCCACAUUUGAACACAUAUACAGAUUAGGAGUGUUUACCGGUAGGCGUAGGGCUUCUUGAUCUUUCUCCACAGACAUCUUUGUACUCUGGGUCCUCAGGUUGGAAUAGGUCAAAUGAAGGGAUAUCAUCUAUAUAAGGAUCUAUAUAUGAAGCGGAAGGGCUUGAUGGCUUGCAAGGAACUGGAUCUUUUCUGAUAUCCUUUGCUGGGAUUGCUAGAGGGGAAGGAAUUGGACCUUUAGUACUCUCAUCUGGUAAGAUCAGUGGAGGGGAAGGAACUGCAUAUUUAGUGCUAUCUGCUGGUGGGAUUAGUGGAGAUGAAGGAACUGGACCUUUUCUACUCACAUCCGGUGCAAUUGGUGGAGGGGAAGGAAAUGGAACUUUUGUACUCUCCUCCGGUGCGAUUGCUGCACUAGAAGUACUUGCAUGUGUUGUACUCUCUAAUGGGUUAGAUGGUUUUUUGGGGGACACAGCAGCUGAACGUGUUGGAUCUGGUGGAGGAUGCAUGUUGACAUUGUCAUUGGUAGGUUUCUUUAGGUGGCUCAUCUUAUUUGACAUAUCAGCAACAUCAUUCAAACGUUUGUUCAAAUGAAUAAAUUUAGAAGCCAACUCAGCACCACGCUUUGCCAUAAUCGCCUUUCCUUGCUCUUUCAUUGUAUUUGCAACCUCAUCAAAAUCUCUCUCCAACAAAGAAUUAUGCUCCGCCAAUAGAACUUGGUAUUCUUCAGGAAGAGACUGCAAUAAAUAAUGCAAUAUAUGAAGUGGAGAGAAUGAAACAUUGGGAAAAGUACAGUGCAACAUAUGAAUGCACAUUGUGCAACAUGUCUGGAAUUUUCAAGUUUGUUUUGACAAAAUCACCUCAAUGGAAACCGCAUGAGUACCAUCUGGAUGGCGGGAGGAAGUGCCUUGGGAAUCCAUCCAGUCAUUAAGGCUUGGCUGCACUGGAUCUUCAUCUUGUCCAGACAAUGGAGACGGAGUGUAACCAGUCAUGGGAACUGGGAUAGGAUAGGGGCUUUUCUUUCGGAACUAACAAUGAAUGAAGAUAUAUUAUAACAAAGAAAUAAAUAAUGCAAUGGCUAAAAGGAAUGACUAAAGAUGAAUGAAGAUGGAAAAAAACAUCAAACUCACAGGUUGCUGCCCAUAUGCAUUAAGCUGAACCCUACUCCUGUCAACAUUUGAAAUGAAUUCAAAGUCUUUCUUGGUGACAUGGCAAAUGCGUGGGACAGAAUAGUUGAUUUUGUGAGUAGCCCGGUCAGCAGGUAUGUGAAGACAGUCCAUGUAUGCAAUCUACAUUACAAAUGGUACAAAAAAUCAUGAAGGCCCAACAUUAGGAAAUCGCGGCUGCAGUAUGUGCAAACUUAUGUAAUCAAACAUAUAUAGAUAGCUAAUGCAACAUAUAAGGUAGUACCAUUGAAACAGAUCAGCAAAGUCAUUGCAAUGGAAAUACGGAUGGGUACAACAUAGAAGGGAUAAUGAACAUACCGCAAAAACCACAAGGCAAGAGCCAAGGUAAGGACAUUCGGUAGCACCUUCAUCUUGUUUUGAAAAGGAUUGGUACUUUCGGACUUCAUUCAUCAAAUUAUCAAGAAUGUGCCCAGUCCAAUCAAAUGAUCUAAUUAGAGAGACAUCCUUUAAGUUGUGCAAGUGUCGUGGGGUGAUGGCAUUGUCUGUGCCUGGGCAGAGUACAGACCCCAAGGCAAGCAACAUGAAUGCCCUCAGAAAAGUGGUCUUGUCAUUAGCUGUUUUCAACACAUCAAUGCAUUAGGACAAUUUUCCUCGCACUCCAACCAUAAAAGGCUCACAAAUCUUUAGGAAUGCUUCAUAUUCAUCCGCAUUGCAAGUAAGCUUAACAGGCUCAUCUCCACUUGGCACACCAAGAAUGUUGCAAAUAAGCUGCUUGUCAAAUACGAUAACUUUAUCUUUGCGCCUAAACUCUCUCAAAUCAGGGUCAAUGUGCUUCAUGAUCCAUGCAACAAGAUUCACAAGCACGGAAAAGUCAGACAUGCCAAGUAAAGCACCUAAACCAGCCUCAUUUAUCCAACCUAUUUGUUCCUGAUUGAACUUGCAGUCACGGAUCCUGUGCAACGAAAAUCUGGUUUUGAAGGCAUCGCCACUGCUUUUGGUUUUGGAAACAUUAAUUGCUGUGUAAAAAAAGAUAGAGAAAACAACAUAUUAAAAUUAAAUCCAAAAAUUGGGGUAUAUAGUUUGUAACACUUUAAAAAAUACACACAAGGUGAUACAUGUAUCAAACACACAGGUGGACAACAUACAUGCUCUGUACAAAUCACAUUGUAAAUUGUAAAAAAUGAAACAUGCCAAUAUAUAGAUGCCAUGUUGUUGAUUGUUGCAAAAUAUAUAUGUACAAAAAGGUAUGAAACACUGGUAAUGUCAUGGUGAAACAAAGAAAUAAUGGUUAAUGAAACAUGUUCAAAAGUUGAUUAUUGUGACAGAUCCAGAAAUUAUAUAGAGCAUGGGCGACUGAUCACAAAUCCAAACAUUACACAAUAAUCAUACCUUGCUGCUUGUUGACAUUCUUCAUUGGAGAUUUUUUCACCGAGAGGUUGGCUCGUGGAUUGCUCGAAGAUGCUUGACCUGCCUUCUUAGCGGUGUUGCCCUUGUCUCUGCCCACUACAACAGUCGUUCGAGCCCUGCUCACUGCAACAGCCGCUCGGGCCCUAGUGUUGGAAAUCUUCCUCACUGCCUGACGUUGGCGACCACGACCCCGCCCAGCAUCCCGCCCAGCAUCUGCCUCAUCAUCGCUGCUGCUAGGCGAAUCAACUCUGCCGGGUGAAGCAUUUAGGCCUGAUCUGGUAUGCAUCGCUAAAAAAACAAACAACAGUUACCGAUGAGAAGCCGAUGACAAGGAGAAAUACAUAACAGGUAUGGAUUAUAAGCAGUGGCGGAGGUAGGAUUAGGAUGAAGAGGGGGUCAAUUUCAUCAUAAUCAUGAACAACAACUAAUUCAAGCGCUAUGUAAUGUCAGCACAAUUUAACUACAUGAAAAAUAUCUCAUAACUAAUACAAAAGUCAAUCAAAUAUGUGAAGGUCUCAACAAAAACAAAAACAAAAAUCUAUAAUAAUUCGGGUAAUAAUUUGUACAUGACAUGCAUACCUAGGAGUGAAUAUAGCUAACUCAGGAAGAAGUGCAACAAUAUGAGACAUGCAUACAUGCAGUCAAGCGUGAGUAGAGUAGUAGCUCUAAUUUCUCCCCAAUUUCUCCCGCAGCAAGGGGAGCCAUGGCACACUUUCGCCUAAAUCUAGCUUCAGCAAGUGAUUAGAAGGAGCACUGAGUGUUACCUGCGCUGCUAGGGUUGGGGGAGACGAGUAACCGUCGCAAUCCUUGUGAAGAGCGGGCCGCGCGAAUGCGAUUCCUCACGGGGGCGAGGAUGCGAUGGUCGACGCUGAGAGGAUCGGAGUGGACCACGCAACGGGCUUCGUACCUUCACGGCAAAGGGCAGCACGCAGACGCCAUGGUGGGGGCGUACGGCGCGGCACGCUGGAAGGUUGGAGGCGCGGUGGAGACGAGCGCCGCGGUGAACACGGCCGGCGCGGUGGAGACGAGCGUCGCGGUGUAGAUCGGCACGGUGGGCGGAUGGCGCGGUGGCGUCGCGCCGAGGUGGAGGCUGGCCGCGCGCUCGAGGCUGGCCGCGCACUCGAGGCCAGCCGCGCGCCCACGGUCGGCGACGCGCUGGAGACGGGAGGCGCGGUGGAGGCGCCGCGCGCGAUGCGGUGGAUGCGCUCGCGACUGCGGUUGUCGGAAUGGGGCGUGUCGGAUGAGUGGGAGUGGGGAAACCGUCCAGGAAUGAAGACGCGAAUGAAGUGGGCCGCCCACGCUCCGAAACCGGUCCGAAACGGCCUGAAAGCCCACAUACGGCGCGUCCGGACGGUUGCGGGAGCGCCGGACGCCCGCUCCACAUCAUUACCGAAAGAGAAAUUGUAUUCCUGGAUUUGGCAUGCCUGGUUAGACAUCUGAGUGAAAAGCAUAAUAAAACAAUUCCGACCGGGAAUAAAAAAAGAAAUGUAUUAUUUUUUUUGUUUGAAUUUGAUCUCCCAGUUAAUAGACUUGUAAAUAAACAAAUCAAAGCUGCAAGCAGGUGAGUUGUAUUUUUAAAUCUGUUUUAUAUUUAUCUAAUGAAGAAAUACAUGUGAUGGUGAUCGGUGUAUAUAUUAGUCCCCGGCCUGUACCAUGCCUUGGGAAUUGGGAAGAGAGUACUAGUAGAUGUUAACAGAGCGUCGAUGAAACAGGCUAACAACCCUAACAACCCUAACAACCCAGCAGAUUCGUCCAUAAAAGUUGUUGCAGCCAUGAACAUAAAAGGACGAUUAACGUCACGUACUGAUCGAUGCCAAUUGCCACCCACCCUAUGGUCUCCAUGGCUUCGGGAUUAUGGGGAUAAUUCCCCUUUCAUCCCAAAAAAAAUUAAGUUUUUGGAUACAUUUUGUAUAAUUGAACUAAAUAUCCUAUAAAAAUUUUGACAAAAAAGUGGCUAUUCUUCAUUUAGAUUUUGGAUGGAAUUAAAAAUAUCGGAAAAAAAUUGGUAUUUUGGAUGGAAAUAAAAGCACCCAUGAAAAAAAUUAACAUUUUGCAUUUAAUCAUUCCAAAGUACUUAACAUUUUGUAUUUUGUAUUCUAUGGAGAAUUAAAAAAACGUGACCAAGAGGAUGACGGCCCCACCUGUUUUUUAUUAAGGAGACAUUGUCAUCCUAACUCGUGCAUGGUUAUAUGGUACAACAAUUAACUGUAAUAUAAUAUUGAAUAGCCAUAUACAUCGAUCCAUACAAAAGCUAGGAUAUCAAUAUAUUCUCUUUUCUAAAAAAAAAUAGUCACACUGACAACUAACGAAGACAUACUCUAUAGUAUAUUAGGUUUCCAGAUCACAAACACAAGGAUAUCCGUCAGAAAACAACUCUUCUCCAGUUUUUUUUUCGAAAACAACUCUUCUCCAGAUUUUUUUUAAUAAAAAAUCUCCAGUAUAACAUCGAACCAUGAGUCUAUGACAUUGCAAGCGAUACGUCCGGGUCUUUUUUGCGAUACCUUGCGUCCAGUAUCAACCCAGCGUUCAGAUCCUGAUUCAAUAGUUUUCCUCUUCAAUAGUUUUAUACGUUAGCUUUCUAGACUAUUUGACACUAUAACACUUUCCUCUGCAUUUAACAAUUAUCUAACUAUGAAUUAACUAGGUUCAAAAGAUUUAUCUUGUAAAUUACAGAUAAACAGUGUAAAUAGUUAUUUUUGCCCUGAUACUCAGGCCCAAAAAAAAAGAAUAGUAGCGGUUCUUAGGUGCCUGUCUAGAAAAUGAUAUCUGCGUAUGGUAGAGUUUUGUACAGGUACUUUAUUUAGGGGCAUGACGAAUUGCUGACGAUCCGAGCUCGGAUCAUUAUGCCCCCAAGUUGACAGUACCACGGGUUCACCAGUCAGCAUCAGCACUAUGUUAAAUAUGUACUACCCUUGGUUUUGAGAAACCAGAGCAGAGACACUUCAAUAAUGGAGCUGGCAGGUGCACGGCCGCAUGCAACACGAGGCCCUGCCGGCGGCCUCGCGAUCGGCCUCCUCUACUCAUCGCUGCUCCUCAACGCCAUCUUCCUCGCGCACCACUUCUUGCUCUCGCCGUCCCGGCCGCUGCUCCGUGACGACGACGGCGGUGGCAGCAGCUGCGGGCUCACCUGGUCUCUGCAGGCGGCCAGGGAGGCCGAGGCGGUGGCCGCCGUGGAGUGCUCGGGCCACGGGCAGGUGUUCCUCGAUGGCGUCGCCGGCGAGGACGGGAGGCCCGGGUGCGAGUGCAACAGCUGCUUCGCGGGGCCGGACUGCUCCCUUCGCACGCCCAACUGCACCGCCGACGCCGACAGGUAUAUUUUCGCGUGCUCCUGCUUCUGCUAGCUUGUGCUUGUCUUGCUUGUUUCAGCUGGCCGAGCACUCGAGCAGUCUCGUGUCCAUGAUGGCAAGUAGAGGCGCAUAAUUUCUUGCCUGUUCUGAGUAUUAUGUGAGCUUGAAACAAGUUAGGUGUUGUUUGGUUCCACCACGGCAACCUUAUACCUAGCGUCAACGCAAAAGGGGGGAAUUAACGAUUACCUUCUUUGAUUGGUCGAGUAGUGAUAACGGGAAAGCAGUUUUUUCUCUCUCCUUUUUGCCUUUUUUGAUACCCUUCUGACUAUAAUAAUCAGAUUAUAUAAUCAAAUUUUGAUCAAUUAAUUAUAUGAUGAAUUAUGAUAAUUAAAAUUCUCAAUUACCAUAAUCCCGUAAUCCAGGAACGAGCGGAUUAUAGACUAUGGGUGCUGAAAGUCGAACUUCACCCUAACUGAUUGUCCAACUUACCAAAAUACUCUCUUCGUAUAGGAUGUAGAAGUCGUUUAGCACAGUGACACGGUCUCUAAAACACAACUUUGAUAUCUUAUUUUUAAAAAAUAUAAGAAAAAAUGAUAUAUGUAUAGAACAGUUUUAAUAAAUACUUACAUGGAAAAGUAAUAUUGUAUUAGAAUUAAAGAGGAGAGAGAGAGAAAAAAUAAUUUAAAACUAUGUCUACCCGAGAUGAAGAUAGAGAUAUCUAUGAUAGAUAGAUGUUAAGAGAGAAGAUAGAGGAACCGGAAAAAAAAUAACCUGAAGAAUUCAUUCAUAGAAAUAUGGUUUUUAUGUGCAGUCUUAGAUUAUUUAGUAAGGUCUUGUUUAGUUCUGAAAUUUUUUUUUUGGUUUUGGGUACCGUAGCAUUUUUGUUUUUAUUUGGCAAUUAUUGUUCAACCAUAGACUAAUUGGAUUCAAAAGAUUCAUCUUGCGAUUUACAAGUAAACUGUGUAAUUAAGCCUUUUUAGAUCCAAAAAGUUUUUGGAUUUUGACACUAUAGCAUUUUCGUUUUUAUUUGACAAACAUUGUCCAAUUAUGAAGUAACUAGGCUUAAAAGAUUCGUCUCGCGAUUUACAGACAAACUGUGCAAUUAGUUUUUGUUUUUUCAUCUAUAUUUAAUGCUCCAUGCAUGUGUUGCAAGAUUCGAUGUGACGGAGAAUCUUGAAAUUUUUUUGGUUUUGGGGUGAACUAAACAAGGCCUUAAUUUUGAUUUUUAUUAUAUUUAAUACUUUGUACAUGUGCCGCAAGAUUUGAUGUGACCAGAAAUCUUGAAAAGUUUUUUUAGGUGAACUAACAAGGCCUAAUUAUAAAAACUAUCCUACAAUUUUAUAGUUACAUGACAUUAUGACAAGGGGCUAUUGCUGGAUGCGAGGAUGAUCGGCUACGGCCUACGGGUGCCUAUCGAGCGUGAUCAGCUCACGGAUGGUUUGAAUCUGUUCCGAUAGCAUCGUUUGUAUCAUCCGUCAAAAAAAACAAAAACUAACACACUGCUAUACCAUUCUGACCAGGUUCACAUCAAAAUAAUAAACCAACCAAACAACAUGUUUAACUAUUACUCCAGUCUUGCUACUAUUUCUAAUUACUAGACUACUAUUGAGUAGUACUACUAUUAAGACGAAAAUGCCUCUAGCAGUCUAACUCUGUAGCUCAGUUGGUUAAAUAGUUUGAAUAGCACUUUUUAGUCCUGAGUUUGUGAGUUUUUUUCCCAUUAAGGGUCUGCACAUUCGGCAGCAACAAUGUUCAGAAUACUAGCUGAGAGAUGAGUCAUGAUAGGAUCAUCAUCCACAGAACACACACACCCUAGUGGAGCUAAUUCAUGAUGCGCCACUUUGUAACAUGAGCAAGGAACUGCCUUGAUAGCAAACUCAACUCAACACAAUUCAGGUACACUAGCUCCUUGGUUUCGCUUAUCAGACCUCCGUCCUAUGGCCAGGGAAAGGUCCCAGCGCUGUGACUCUACUGCUUGCUGGACUUGCAAGGCAUCAGUUUCCAGGUGGACUCUGGUUAUACCCAAAUCAAUCGCUGCCAACCCUUGUAAACAUGCCACUACUUCAGCUUGGAACGGAUUAAGAACAUGAGACAGUCGACCCGUGUUUAGUUUAUGAAGGGAAAAUUUUCGCGAUACUGUAGCACUUUCGUUUGUUUGUGGUAAUUAUUGUCCAACUAUGGACUAACUAGCUCAAAAGAUUCGUUUCGUAAAUUUCGACCAAACCGUGCAAUUAGUUUUUAUUUUUAUCUAUAUUUAAUACUUCAUGCAUGCGUCUAAAGAUUCGAUGUGACGGUGAAUCUUAAAAAAUAGAUUUUUGGGUGGAAGUAAACAAAGCCUUAGGCUGUGAUCAUAUCACCAUCUUCAUCUCGAAUUAUAAAGCCCCAGCCGCCCUCUCCAGUCUCUUUUCGGCUGAUAGAGGCCUAAACGGCGACACCCGGAUUUGGCUGAGUUUUGAAAACGUGUUGUUGGUCAAAAUCGGUGUGUAUCUAUCAGAAGGUGAAAGAACGAGGCGAGGAAUAAAAAGGUUAAAAGGGUACCUAAUGCAAAUUUACAAGAGCAAGUUGCAAAAAAAAAAACAAUUGGUAAAUCGAUGAGUUUUUCAAGUGAUUUAUCUAUUGCUUUUUUUUGAACUAUUAGAGAUGCUCUUAGGUUGAUUUUCUCAAGUACAGAAAGAUUGAGAAUUGAGAUAUUGUUUUAAUCUUAAAAGAAAUUAAGAUUAUGAGUGGGUUUUGGAAAGUCUUAAAAUGCUCUUUACAAUUGGGUGACAUGUCAUGUCCAAAGCAGAAAAGAAAUCUUUGCAUGUCACAAUUGUCGGCCACCAAUUACUAUCCUUUUUUGCGCCGAUUAAAAAAAACUGUUAGUUCCUCCUUCCUGCUUCCUCCCGCCGGUGAAUAGAUGCAAAUAAUUUCUAGUAAUUAGCUAGGUACUCUGUCCGUUCAAGAUGCGAUUAUAGAUCCGCGUGAGUCGAACGAGUUUAGAGUUUGGCUAUAAAAUCAUAGCUGAAUGUACUGUUUAUUGAUUAUUAGAGAAAAAUACUACAGAAUAGUUAGCAAAUUCGGCAAAUAAGCUCAAACAAAUAAGCGCUUAACCAAAUUUAUGAGUAGUGUUAAGAUUUAUCGACCAGUUCAGCAUCCUAAUAUAUACAUUUUAUAUAUAAUUUGGUUAAAUAUAAUGAUACUUAUUUUAUAUUAAAAUGCUAAUAAUAUAAUUUUGAUCAAAGUUUAAAUAAUUUGAUUUCUCCAAUCGAGAAUGCAUUUUUCUUUAAAAAAGACGAGUAUUUAUUGGUACCAGCAGAUCUAAGGCCUUAUUUAGUUUCUUCAAAACCUAAAAAGUUUUUCAAAAUUCUCGUCACAUCGAAUGUUGCGGUACAUGCAUGAAGCAUUAAAUAUAAACGAAAAUAAAAACUAAUUGCACAGUUCGUUUGUAAAUCGCGAGACGAAUCUUUUAAACCUAGUUAAUUCAUGAUUACGAUACUAAAAAAAAUCACCCACCCAACUGGCAGUGGAGCGAGGAGCGCUCACAGUCCCGGGCCCAGGGCGUGCCGUUUGUUUGGUCUUUGGUGCUAAUUAACCAUGUGGUGACUGACGGUCGUGUUGGUUGUGGCAGCGGGAACCCGUUGUUCUUGGAGCCGUACUGGCGGCGUCACGCGGCGGCCAGCGCCGUGGUGUUCUCCGGGUGGCACCGCAUGAGCUACACCACCACCGGCCGCUUCCAGUCCGUGGAGCUGGAGCGCCAGAUCCGGCGCCUGCACAGGGCCGUAGGCAACGCCGUCGCAGACGACAAGCACCUGGUCUUCGCCAGCGGCUCCCUGCAGCUCAUCAACGCGCUGGUGCACGCGCUGUCCCCGGACGCCACGGCCGCCUCGCCGCCGUCCAGAGUGGUCGCGGCCGCGCCGUAUUACCCGGUCGGUCAGCCAGCCUUUUCCAAUCAUCCAUGAUGCCCACCCACACACUGCCCGUUAUCAUUUCUUGUGCUGAAUCCAUAUAUAAUACCGUGCAGUCGUACAGAUCGCAAACCUCCAUGUUCGACGGCCGCGAGUACAGGUGGGCCGGAACCACGGCCUUGUGGACCAACGCGUCACGGACCAACUCCACCGACGGCUUCAUCGAGUUCGUCACGUCGCCAAACAACCCGGACGCCAUGCUCCGCAAGCCCGUCCUCUGCAGCUCGGCGGCGGCCAUCGUCGACCACGCCUACUACUGGCCGCACUUCACCCACAUCCCUGCGGCCGCCGACGAGGACAUCAUGAUGUUCACCAUCUCCAAGCCUUCCGGCCAUGCUGGCAGCAGAUUCGGGUAUGUGCAGUUCUUGUGCGUGGGCAUGCAGAGCUAGUGACACUAACACACAACACACACACCCCUCUCAUCAUCCUGCGCGUUGCGUUGCGUUGCGUUGCGUUGCGUUGCAUUGCAUUGCACACUGCAGAUGGGCGCUGAUCAGGGAUGACAAGGUGGCCGAGCGGGCGUUAGACUACCUGUCGAACAGCAACAUGGGUGCGUCCCGGGACACCCAGCUGCGGAUGCUGGGGAUCGUCAGGUUCAUGCUGGCCAACCUGCACGGCGAGGACGACAUCUUCGGCUUCGGGCACGGCGUGAUGCGCAGCAGGUGGCUCAGGCUGAGCGCCGUCGUGUCGCGGUCCCGCCGCAUCUCGCUGCAGAAGAUCAUGCCCGAGUACUGCACCUACUUCAACAGGGUCAGACAGCCAUCCCCAGGUGAGGUUACAUUUGGAGAUUGGAAUGGAAUCCGAUCGAAAUUAUCACUUGCAUGCAGACGACUGCACUAACUGCCGGUGAUUGAACAAAACAGCCUACGCGUGGGUGAAGUGCGAGAGGGAGGAAGACGGAGACUGCUACGAGGCGCUGCUGAAGGCGAAUAUCAUCUCGCGCACCGGCGUCCAAUAUGAGGCGAGCAGCAGGUACACGAGGAUCAGCCUCCUCAAGUCGGACGACGACUUCGACGUGCUCAUGGAGAGGCUUCAAGAACUUGUCGAUGCCGAGAAGCACGACGACGCUUCCAACGGUUCCAGCUCAAUGUGAUCACGGUAAUUAAUCCAUGGAAGCUUAAUAAUGGGUCCGCCGAUGCGGAAAGUACCAAAUCUAAACUCUGGGGUUCGAUCGAGCCCAUUGUUUCUCGUGAUAAGCUAGCUGGUGUGUGUAUAUAGCAGCUAUGAGGACAAGUUUGUGAAGCGGCGUGGUAAGAUACAGUUAAUGCACUGCCAAAAUGCGAAUGAUCAGCUAGGCGCUGAUUGUUCUACAAAUGUACUGGAACAGUCAACUAGAAGUUGACUGUGUUCCCAUAGUAAUUAACUACCUAUAUUGGGAUUGGCGCAAAUUGUGCGGUCAGUAUAUUCGUUCGAUUUAUACAACUUCGUAUUUCCAUCCUUCUUGUCUGUAAUAAUAUGAAUCAUAUGUUGUACUCUGACGUCAAUGGUUUCAUUAUUAGCUUUGUUAUUGUCAACGGAUCGAAAGGCGGAAAUAGAUAGUAUUCAAGUGUUCAACCACAAGCGAUCAGCACAGUAUUUUUCACCAACUCAGCUCGGAAUCUGUACGGUCCGGAUCAACCAACAGUCCAAAACCUGAGCGACCUGCUGGAUAUGGUCAGUGAAGUGCGUUCCAUCAACGGGCCUGAUUGGUUGGCUUCCAAAAUUUGUUAAUCCAUAAAUUUGGGUAUUGAUUGGUUUGUUAUCAAAACUUACCAACCUCUUAUAUUUAGCUUGCCAAAUUCAUCAUAAAUUUUUUAUCUAAUUUUGGCUUGUCAAAUCCUUAGCAUGAUAAAUUUUAGCCCCAAUCAGUCUCAGCAUGCAAGUACAGGCCACAAGAAAGUGGGUAGUCUUUGGGCUGUUUUGGUAUGACCAUGUCGACCCGAUUUUUUCUUGCCAAGUUCCGGUUUCUGUUGUAGGUCCUUAAAUAGCAGUACUGGGCUCACGUAAUCAAUAGCAGUACUGGGCUCAUAUAAGGAAUCAAUAGGAAUACUGGGCCGUAUCACGGGUAACAUAAUAAUGUGUGUACUAGCGCAAGUAGCCCAACAGAGAUGCAUGACCAUAUUUGUUUGCGAUGCUGCAUAUCCUUGACCAAACACACUCCCUCAUCCAAGUUAAAUCAACUUUUAAAGUCAUUCAAACUCAAACUAAUUUUGAAUUCAAUCAAAUUUAUAAAAAGUGUAUUAAUAUUUACAUACCGAAUUAAUAUUACUAGAUACAUAAUAUAAUAUAUUUUAUAAUAUACUUAUUAGGUGUCGUAAGUAUUGUUAAUCUUUCCAAUAAAGUUAGUUUAAUUUAAGAUAAUUUGACUUAUAGUGAUUAUGGAAAUUAAUUUAUUUUGAGACCGACCCUAGGCUACCUCAAAAAGAAAAAAAAAGAUAUGGUUUUAGGCUACCUGAACAAAGAAAAAAACUAUGGACUUAAGGCAGUGCCAAAUUUUAUUCCAAAAAAGAUUAUGUUUGGUUCAUGGCUAAGUCAAAUUCAGGCUGAAAGAGACUAUACAUUGACAGUGCUCAUAUCAAACCACGGACAUGAGUCGUGAGGUCUACGUGUCAGAAAAAUCUAGUUCUAUAUUUAACUGUAAGAAAUACUGUGGUUCAAACGGCCGAUUUGCAAGAGCACACAGAUUUUCUCAUGUAUUUUGAUUUGGAAUUGGUAAUGUAAGGAGGUGUUUGGGACUGCUUCACAAACUCUCCACCACAAACUUCUUCCACAAAAAACUAGAGUUGUAGAGUACAUCUUUAGGUGCUCUCAUAACUCCACUUUUUUUUCUCGAACUGAGUGCGUCUUAGGUGCUCUCACAACUCCACCCUUUUUUCUCGAACUGAAUGCGUGGAGCUGAAACCGUUUAACUAAAAAACGUGGAGUGGAGCUAAAAAAAACAUGGAGCAAAGCAGUUCUAAACAUCCCAUAAAUAAGCAACAUGCUGCAGGAAACGGCCAUUGCUCAUCUGGCCAAGCCGAAACGGAGCGCAGGAAACGGGUGCCCGAGAAAACUGCUUCCACAUGCUGCACUGCUUCGGAUCAUAUUCAUAGUUACUUUGGGUUAAGAUCCCAGACUCGCAGUACCGUAAAAUUGUAGGAGUAAAAUCAAAUAUCACUAUGUGCCAAGUGGCAAAUGCCAAACAACUCCGAAAUGACAACUCAAGUCUCAAUGUCAGCAUUAGCUUAUGCACUGUUCAUCCGAAUCGCACACCUGCCUGAAUGAGCCUGUUGCCCCCACACAACUCGCGGGAACACCCCAAACUGCCACCGCGUAAAUCUCUCAAAAGUACUGCUGCGUACGAGACCAAAAAUUAACGCCACCUCCAGGCUCUCCCACCGGUACGGACUCCAAUAUGGUACGUCGCCGAUCCACUUUUCCAUGCUCCCGACCUGCUGCCAACGCGAGAGCCCUUGCUGUCCACUGUCCUCAGCAGCUUGCCUGUCCUCAGCGUCGUCCUUUGCGUGUCCUCGCCGCGCACGCCAGCCUGCGACCUCGUGCAAGCCGCAUUGCCGCACGCGCGCGCCCUCGACACGGCACGGCGCACACAUGACCGGCAUCCGCAUCGGCAUCCCUGCGCCGCGCGGGGCUCGUGUCUGUGAUCCGCCCGUACCACGGCGCCACCUGUUCUCGCGCGACGUCGCACGAGGGCGCUGGUGGCCUUUCCUGGAGCCUGGAGGCCGCGCGCGGCGGCGUCGUACACGCAGACACACCACCGGCCGUGCUGUGCCGUGCGUCACGGACGGGUUGAUAAUCUAACCAACCUCGCGGGCCGAGCCGCGCGCCCCUCGUCCGGUCCAGCAACGCCGGGGCAGGCAGCUCGUGCGUCGUGCCCACCGAGGCAGGCAGACAGGGCACCCGAUGCGUGCGGGUGCGGCGUGCAGGACGACACCCACCGCGAGGACGCGAGAUUCCCCAAUCAAUUGUUUCCGUCAACCUAAGCGCGCGCGCGCGCGUGCCUCCAUGGCAUCAUCCGGUCUGGCCCGGUGUCCAGUCCAGACGGCCGGCGACGGCGAGCUCCGCCGCACGUGUGGUUCCGGCCGGACGCGUUGCCAGCGCCAGCUCUAUCGGCGCCUGUCCCCUCGGGCACCUGUGAGGCCACGUUAUGUCGUUAUCUUAAGCUGAAUCGAACCUUUAUUUACAAAAAAUCAACGAAUAUUAUUUUUAGUCAUAACUACAAACGCGGUGCUUAUACUCCCGUACAAGAGUACUAUAUUAAAAAAAAUCAGAUCCUCAUGAUUGUUAAUUAGGGCACGGACACAUACAUGUAUAAUGAAUGUGUUAGCAGUUGCGUUGUCGUAUCAUAUUGUGCAUAGUCACAACUCACAGCUAACGAAUCAAAGAAAACUCUGGAGCACAAUGCAUGGAUCAGAGACGACGGGCUUCGUUUUGAAUCGAAACCUUGUGCUGGCUACCUAGAGGCCAGCUGUGAAUUAAGGAGUUGUUGCUGGAUUUGACCAGACGAUCAAAUUAAGGUUCGCGGACGGGAGGCGCAUGUGCGGCUGGUUUAAUUUAGCGCAGGAACUGAUGAACUACACUACCUGCCAAUCAGAGAGCUAUGGCGAAGCUGCGGAUCAGCUUCCUGCUGUUGCAUCAUGCACACCAUCCAAAAACACUGUUAGUAUUAGCGCGGGCCAAUUAAUUGAUACUCGUUGCACUUGGUUUCUCGCAGAGAAGGGUGCUGAUGUACGUACUCCUGAAGCUACCUACCUGCAUGUCGAGCAAAGAAAAUGUACGUAGUACGUACAGUACAGUAUAUCUGCAUCACAGUGAUGGCGGCCGUUUGAAUUGCACGUCGUAAACAGUCGACAUGAAGUCAUGAACAGGGACCGGCUCACGCGAGAGUCCCGACACGUACGUGCUCGGUAUUUGCGUGCACAAAAGUCUAAACGCAUCGAUGCGUACCGUGUCAAGUUGUCGACACGUCUCUUUCGGCCUGCACGUGGCUCGGACAAUUGGAUGGGGAUCGGGGGUUCGGGACGGAUGGCUACACGCAUCGCAGCGUCACGUAACGUACCCUUGCGCACGCGGCGCGUUUAGUGACCAGACAGACAUUUCUUCCCACGGUGGCUCGAUGCCUACGUGCGCGCACAGUACUGUACCGACCGGUGGGCCUCCAGAUCCACGACGACAUUGUCUCUCCCGUGGCCCGUGGGCUGGUCUCCCACUUCUUAUAUGAGUACUAGCUAGGGCGCUCGCCUUAUUUUAGCUCGUCUAGUUAAUGAGUCAGCUGCCUUUAACUGACGUUUGAGCCUAACGAGUCAAAGCCGUUAUAUAUUUUUUUUGUAUAACUUUGUUUUUUAUUUUAUUUUUUGCGAGGAGUAUAACUUUAUUUUUCAUUUUAUAAUUAGUUGGUGGUUGGAAUUGGACCCUCUAAACAUGGUAUUUAUGGCUCUUCCUUCUAUUUAAAUGCAUGUAUGGAUAAUAAUGGAUCCUGGAUUCAUUAUGUAUAGUAUGGAGUAUGGACCGCGUACGUAUGAUGUACUACUAUAGUAUAUUGUUGUACUUGUAUAUAUGUCAACACAUAUUAACUUAUUGAGUAAAAACAUAAGCGGCUCUGUGAAGUGUGAACUUGUCAAGUGGUAUCACUUAGGGUAGUCUCAAUAGUCUCAGCGAGGAUUUCAUGUCCUAUUUUCUAACUCACUCAUAUUUUAUAAACAACACAAAAGAGUUUUAACCAUAAAAGUUUCAUCAUCUCUCUUCAUUAGUAUAGUGACAUGUCAGCGUACUUAAUGCCCAUAAAAUUUCAUGGAACACCCAUUGAGAUUGGCUUUUAGAUCCACAAACUUUCAAUCAUAUUUAUAGGUUCCUAAACUUGUUUCAUUUAAGGUUUAUGGUUAGUUAGUUUUGUAUCAUUAAUAUUCUCAAUUUUAAAUAAAUGCGUAUAUACUAUGUGUUUUUUUAUACCUGGCUCACGAGCCCAAUGAGUGAGCCAGAGCUUGUAAACGAGUCUACCCGAAUUAGCUUUCUGGCUUGUUAAGAACUGACAUUUGUUUUGCUGGUCUGAAUCAUAUCCAAAGGGGUGAGGAUGUAUCAAUUUUCUUUGGCUCUCACCCGCCUGAUGGAUGUGUUCGACCGGUCUAUUUUUGGGAUUUUCUUGGUUAAUGUAGAAUAUCACUGCUCAACCCUACCUAGUGCACUAGUCGAGUCAAGUGACCCAUGAUUAGAUCUACUGGGGCCUUCAACUCAAAUAGAUGUUACAAUGCAAUGCAACGUUACCCAUUCCAAAUGUGAGUAUAUAUCACCCCCCCUACGCGCGCGCACACACUUGAUGUUACACUAAAAAAAUGUAACUGUUGUGGAAUUUUUUUGUACCUAACAUAAAACUUGUCGUUAAAUAUGUAAUAUGUACUCGUUCUGACCUUUCAAUAAAUAGAUUUAUAGAGUUAUCUUAAGUCAAAAUUUUAAACUUUAAUUAAACUUCUAGAAAAAAAUCUAUUAAGAUUGAUGGCAUCAAAUUAGUAUCAUUAGACCUAUCAUAGAAUACAUUUUUAUAAUAUGCUCAUUUUAAUUCAUAAAUGUUGUUACAUUUUUCUAUAAAGUUAGUUAAACUUUUUUUUGCGAGACUUAGUUACAGACGCAAACGCUCAUAUACACGAGCGCACACUCAUGACUUACAUAGAUUGCAUAAAUUGUUUUAUUUAGAUAUGGAGGGAGUAAAAGUUUCACACAAAUAUGGAAGUGAUCCGUAGUUGGACAAAACAACCUAGCUAGAUCACCACAUAAAAACUGUCAUAACUCUCUACUCUGAAUUUUGUUUUUUAGACUCUACGGAAAAAACUUAGGCCCCGUUUAGUUCCUCACCUAAAAUUUUCUUAUCCAUCCCAUCGAAUCUUGGGACACAUGCAUGGAACAUUAAAUGUAGAUAAAAAAAUAAACUAAUUACACAGUUUAGUUGAAAAUUGCGAGACGAAACUUUUAAGUCUAGUUACUUCAUGAUUAGCCUUAAGUGCUACAGUAACCCACAUAUGCUAAUGACAGAUUAAUUUCCUGACGAGCUAUGUAAUUUGUUUUUUUAUUAGUUUUUAAAAACCCCUCCCGACAUCCUUCCGACACAUCCGAUGUGACAUCCAAAAAUUUUUUUAUCUACAAUCUAAACAGGACCUUAUUUCAUGGGAUAUCAAUCCUAAAUGAAGUUAUCAUUCAAGAACAUGGGCCUUGUUUAGUUCCAAAAUUUUUGGCAAAAUGAGCACUGUAGCAAUUUCGUUUGUAUUUGACAAAUAUUGUUAAAUCAUGGACUAACUAGGCUCAAAAGAUUCGUCUCGUCAAUUCCGACUAAACUGUGCAAUUAGUUUUUAUUUUUAUCUAUAUUUAAUACUCCAUGCGUACGUCUAAAGAUUCAUGUGACGGGGAAUCUGAAAAAUUUUGCAAAAUUUUUGGGAACUAAACAAGGCCCCAAUGGAAGUGUCCUUAGUAGGUUCCUGUCGUGUCAGCACAUGGUAUGGCGGGGUUCAAGCGCCUCUCCAAUUCUCAGCUAAUAACGAACCAAUUCACGUGUGCAUCCCUCCUCAUCUGACGAGACUAGGAGAGCAGCAGCAUGACGGGGCUGCAGCUGCAGACCUGUUGCGAGCCGACGCCGAAACUUCCACGUCUCAGAACAGGGGCAGUAUUCCGUAUGAUGUACGCAUGGCAUAUUGGCAUCAAAGAGUACAUGUAUCAGACAGUGGAGGGAAUCGAUCUGCGGGCGCGUCACGCGACGAAAACAAUAUCCUAGUGCGCCCUUCAGCGCUUGUCCCGCGUGCAAGCUGACACCACACCACCGAGAGAAGCCAUUCGGUCCUCAGAGGCCUCUGGUAAGAGGGCAAGAGGCCAUGCCAUUGCCAUGCAAGGGCGAUGGCAGAUCGAGGUCAGUGCCAGUGCACAAGCACAUACAGCUGGGCGCACGCAAUUACCUGGGCUGCGGGCUGCCGCAUGCGCUGGGCUUUCCCCUUCGUCUCGCGCUCUCGCCAUGUGAUCCGGCAUUGCCGUCUGGGAAUCGCACCGUCAGACUUCUCUAUCGUUGUGAAGAAAGGGGCUGAAGCCUGCCGAUGCCGGGCAAGAGAGAGUAAUUUUAUACUAGGCGCGACAUGUGAGUUGUUCAGUCGUUGGUAUCAUCAGAUUGGUAGGGGGCAAUAGUAGUUUUGUUUUGUUUAUCUCGUGUCGUCAGUAGCCCUCAGUCCUAUAGACUCGUCGCUCCACUCCAGGGGCACUGCUCAGCUCUUCGUAACGACAAGCAGCAGACCAAGUGCAGAUGAUGCAGGUGCAGUCACCUGCUUGUCAGGCCACCGUGCUGAUGCUGCUGCUGUAGCGUGGUGUAAUUGGAGUGUGAUGUGCCACGGGAUGGCCAAACUCUGGGCGUACAGGUGGAACCAAUGAUCAGCACAAGGAAGAACUGAAUGAAGACUAGUGCCGGUGUGGAACUGCGGAUUGUAUGAUUGUAGUAUCUCUCCACAGUCAGGAGGAGGAACACAGAUUCCAGAACACGAGUUGUGAGUUGUGACCCUGAUCGCCACAUACUAGUGCCGCCGCUCGCUUUCAGGCACCAGGACAUCAGGUGGCAUACAAUGAUCCAAACCCAUCGGCCAAUGCAUCUUGGCCUGAUUGAUUGCAACGGGACGGGACGGGAGGAGGGGAGUCUGCGUCCAUCUAUCAGACCACCACCAGUAACGCAAAGUUCGUCUGUCAUCUGUCAUGCAUGCACACGCAUCAUAUCGGCCCGUGCAUCAUCAUAUGUGCACACACAGCUCUCAAAUAAUCAAACGAGUCCCCCACGGUUCCUCGGCGAACAGGCAAACAAGACAAACGACCCCAUUUGCAUCUCCAUCAUGCCCAACUGCAAUCUCGUACGUCCGGGAGAGGGACCGGUAACCACACCCACGCACGGGCAACUAGUACAGGGGGUGUUGACGCACUUGAUGCCGCCGUUGCCACCCGAUCGCUAGGGGCCUCCAUCCAGGCCCAACUGGCCAAAGCAUCAUCACGGAGUAGCGUUAACACUGGCAGCACAGUGGCGUUCGUACUCCGUCGUCGUCGUCGUCGUCGUCCAUUCCGUCCGCGUCCGGUCACCUCACUGCCCAUCCAUCUGAUCCGAUGCCGAGUCCGUCCAACGGACACGGCUGGCCACACGUCGCUCCCGGCAGUACGUGCGUGCGUACGUACAAGAGCAGGGGCCGGCCGGCGGUCGGUCGCGGUGUGAGCAGUGAUCUGACUGACCGUCCCCAGUGGGGCGAUGUACUCCUCCUGCUCCUUAUAUGUAUGGCUGGCGCGCGCACGCCGGCCGGGGGGCGGCACGCACGCGACGGGGACGGCUGUACCGGGAUGCCGCGGCAACGGCGCUUUCCGUUGGGGCCGCGUGCGCCCUCGACGGCGACGUCGAUGGCAGCGUCCCACCUGUACACGACCGCGACCUGCCAAAGGCCAAACCGAGCGAGAUGCAUGGACCGAGGCGAGAGGCUCCGGUCCUGCAUGCGUCAACCGUUCUGUCCAGUGCAUGCCUGUCUUAUGUAGCAGCUGCCUAGAAAUCCGUGUGAGAUUAGCUAGCGUGGCCCCUGGGCCCUGGCCCUGGCCCUGGACCUCGUGUGAUUUGAUUUUGAUCCACCCCGGUUGCUCUCCUAAUCUGCUCGUCACCGUAUUGCCAGUUGCUGGGCAAGCUAAUUCGGUGAAAUGACUUGGCCGCCACCAAAAGCUGGAGUCCAUGAAUGUUCUCGGAUCCUUUUUCCUUGCCUCACGAGAAGACGAGGUACCACUGCUACUACUAGCAUACUAGGAGUACUUUAGUGGGAUUACAUAGUACAUAGUAGGACCUAAUUAUGGCAUUAUGAUAGUGAAAAGUUGGAAUUGCACAAAGAGGGAAAAGUCUAAAGAGAUUGGCCGAAAUGUGGGCUCUUUGUCCUGUCCUGUUGCGUGCGUGUACUCUACUGUAAUCAAUUGCGCCCCAUUCUUAGCCCAUGAUUGUUUGUCUCUUGUGACUGGAUUUUCAAAAGCGCCACUCUCCACUCGCAGAAAGGGAGAAAGGCCAGUGACAGUAUGAUAUGCACGAUAGAAUUGAAAAAUGAUUACCAAAAGAUGUAUGCUACCGUUAACAGAGAAGAGGCAACAGUUUAACAAUUGUUUUUUUUUGUUUGAUAAGGUAGUCUAACAAUUGUUAAGUAGGGCUGCGCCUACACCAGUUGUUAAUCAUGCCAACCUUCGAUCAUUUUUUCCCGCUUUUGAAGUACAUGCAUGUAUGGAAUUGGAAUAAUGAGCAGUAGUACUAAACAACAAUAUCUGUAUGAUCCCUUCAUUGGCCUUUUCCAUCAUAGAGUGCGUGCUGCAAGAAGAAGAUGACGCGUACGUACUAAUACUCCAACUAUUCGGCGGAGCAACCGUUAGGCGAGCGCUGAUGCAUCGAACUAGUAAUAAUUAAUUAAAAGAUCAUCUUGACGGCGCCGAGCUCUCCACUAAUAUAUACAUGCGUGUGACUAAACUACAGUUUGCCUUUGGUUCUCCUCGUUUAAUAAUGACUCUGAAUGUUUCGGUUGAGAUCAGAGAGAAACGGAAACACGUGACUAGAAUGUUCAGUAUGAAGCAUAGCUAGUUCCUACUAUUACUAGAACAAAUUCACAUUGAUAUGUUUGGGGCAAAAGUUUGUUUACGCUAUCGUAUUACGCGCAUCGACCCAUAACAGUAGAAUGGUAAUCGGCAGCGGGGGGGGAAUAGCCCAGCAGACGCUACGGCAGAAACUGGCGCACAGGAGGCCUCGGCGCAGAAGAACCCAACGGCUUCCCGUUUGGCUGCAUGUACAGGGGCUGGUCGUUAAGGACAGCUGUUGGAGGGAACGGGCCACUUGGCGCGCACGGGCGGGGCAUUUAAAACCCCGUUGGCUUCUGGCGUUGGCACUCCCCCAAAUCUCCGUUGCCGGGGAAGGCGGAGCCCGCUGGUGGUCGAUCGCCAGCGGGCCUCUGGCCUGGACCGCCGCUUGCGCCCACGUGAGCACCACCCCGCCCCCACCCCUGAAAGCGCCAGCCAUCGGCCGAAAACGCGCGCCACCGGCGGCUCGCUAUCAGGGCCGGCGGGCGGCAAAAGGCAGAGCCGGCCGCCGGGGCACGUAACGUAGCGCGCGACGUUUACGUUUGGUUCCGGUCGAUUCUUCUGUGUGACGGGACGGGGACGGGGACGGGGACGGGGCUUGCCGAGCUGGCUGCCUGCCGAGCGCCGAGCCAUGCCCAGCCCAGCCAGCGCGGCGGCGGCCGGGCGGGGACGCGACACGAUGGGUUUGGAAGCCAGCCAACGAGCCAACCAACCGCAUGACAGAGGAAUCGGCUCCAAUUGGAUGCAUGUGGCCGCUGGUGCGCGUGGUGGGGCGCCGGCUGGCCGUGGCCCGUGGCCCGGGGGCGGAUCGCGCUGACCGCACGGUUGGGUUCGAUGGCAACGUCGCACCGUUCCGUCGUCUCGUUCGGUGGAUGUCGCUAUUCUCGGCUCUUUCCUUAUGCAUGCAUGUAGGAGAGCUGAUUGAUUGGGUUGGGGGGCAGCAGCGGCUUUCAUGAUCGUUUGCGAAUUGCCCUGAUUCCAGCUCUUUGCUUCCUUAGCUUCCAAUUGGAGAAAGUACCAAGGGGACAGAUCUUUUGGGAUAUGGAUUAAUAUUUGGUGUCUUUUUCCACUUUUCUUUUGGGUUUUUUUUUGUUCUGAUGUUUGAAAUAAUCUUCUUGCUUUUGUGCACUUCUACACCUCACACGUACGUGAUUACGUGAGCAGUAGAAAUUGCACAGUAACGCUUAGGCCUUGUUUAGUUCCCAAAAUUUUUUGUUUCUGUAUAUUAUAGCACUUUUGUUUUUAUUUGACAAACAUUGUUCACUAAUAUAGUUACUAGAUUUAAAAGACUCGUCUCGUGAUUUACAGGCAAACUGUACAAUUAGUUUUUAGUUUUAUCUAUAUUUAAUGAUCCGCAUGUGCCGUAAGAUUCGAUGUGACGAGAAGUCUUGAAAAGUUUUUGAUUUUGGGGUGAACUAAUCAGGCGUUAGCCACAAGAAGAACAUGGGGUCUUCGAAAGGAAGAUGAGGAAACACAUGCAUGAUUUGAGGCUGCACAUUGACCUUCUCAUCCUGCCAAAAGCAACAGGCAGAGGAUGGGGCUUCCAUGAGUAAAUAUAAAAUAUCCGUACGGUAAACAAAUCAGGAUUCGGAGCAAAUCUUCACCAAACAUAAGCACCGAGACCGAAAGUCUUAAAAUUUGGCAGCCGUACCGAAAAUAAAACUGGGCGUUGGUGAUGUGGAACUCAACUGAAGCUUAGGAGAGGUGAUUGGUUGUAGGUGUUAAAAUUUAACAGGUAUUGUACAUAUUUCGUUUUAUUUGACAAUUAAUGUUUAAUCAUAGACUAAUUAGGUUUAAAAGAUUUGUCUCAUAAAUUACUAUCUAGUUGUGUUUUUAGUUCUGUAAAUAGUUUAUAUUUAGUACUCUAUGUAUAUGUCAAACAUUCCAUUUGAUAGGUAAAAAAACAGAGUAACCAACCUUAUGCCGCGGUGCGAUUCACAGCAUUGCUGAAAUAAAAAGAAACCUAUCAUUUGGUUGGUUUUUCCUCGCCACUGGAGUAAAAAGGUCGAUGUCACCGGUUGCAAGCAAUAAUCUUAGGAUGCAUAUCCACGCCUCCUGUCACUUCAAGAUCCAAUUUUGUCAAAAGAAAGCGUGUGCAUGCAUUUUGGAUCCCAUAGCAUGCAGUAGUGAUGGAUCAGACUGAGAGGUGGUGCAAAUCUGUCAAGCCACAACUUGUGGCCUUUGAUAAAGUAGACCUUCUAUGUUGACCAAAAUAAUAAAAUUGGCAAAGCAUGUGGAUGGUGGUUUAGUUGGGGACUAGUUUAUUUUGUACGCUUGCUUAGUCAGUAAACAUUUCUUCUUCCUUUUUUUAAAAAAAAAAGAUAAUAUGCUCGUUCAAAAGUUGAUCCGUUUUAAAAAUUGGCUCCGGAAUCAGGAAGAAAAACGGAUCGGUUACAAGGUACUAGGCUUUUGGAAGUGAUCAUUUGGUUGGUACAGGCCUUAUCAUUUGAGCUGAAUCCAGCCACCUUGCAUAUAUAUAGCUCGUUCUGCCCCGAUCUCAGCCUUGAGCCUUCACACGUAGCAGUAGUAUACAUAUGUCUCACGUCGUUCACUUCCAGGUCCAGCUGUUCAGCUGUUCCUUUGAUUGUUGUUUGGGAGCUCAUUGCACAUACAUUAUGCUGGCUCUGGUUUCAAUCAUCCCUGAACCAGCUAGCACGUAACAGAGAGAUAUAUGCAGGUCAAUUCGAUGUGAUCUAUUAAUUGCCUUGCAUCACAGCUUAGGCCUUGUUUAGUUCGCGAAAAUUUUUAAAUUUUGUUUACUGUAGCAUUUUUGUUUAUAUUUAACAACUAUUGCCCAAUCAUAAACCAAUAGACUCAAAAUAUUCGUCCUAUAAAUUAUAGAUAAAUUAUAUAAUUAUUUAUUUUUUAUCUAUAUUUAAUACAUUAUAUAUGUACGUAAAAAUUAAUGUAAUAAGAAAUCUUGAAAAAUUUUAGGAACUAAACAAGGCCAGGAUAUAUGUAAGGUGUGAUACCUUUGAGUCUUUGACCGCAUGAUGGGCGGCUAGCGAGCCAGCCUAUACACAUGUCUGAACGGUAAACUUCACCACCGCUAGCUGGUGCAACGGAGCAACCAAUAUAAUUGCAGCAGCAAGACGGCGACACAUCGUUGGCGCACACGUCUGUUGCUGCUGGCACGAGUGACUCGAUCAGUCGAUCACUUAUGUAGUUAUGUGCCACCACCAACGCCGCUUUGCAUUGGGCCCCGCAGUGUGCGUGCAUCGAAAGACCGACGAAACGAAAGCGACUCCAUCGUACGUGCGGCAAAGUGCUGCUACAGGCAACCACCGCCCGGUACGUUGUCCGUGAAAAAAGGCGGUAUACAACGCGUUCGAUCGAGGGCUCGGCCGGUCGGACGGGCGACUGUGCCGGCCGGGGACGGCGGUCAGGCGGUGGUGUUGGCGUCUCAGCGUCUGCACGCCACGGCCGGUGCCGAUGCCAUCGCGCGCGGGCCCCAUGUGCCGAUCGAGAUGAUCUCGGCCCGAUCCGCCGAGCGCGCCGCGGGUUACGGCCGGCCGCGACGCGCGUCCGCCGCGGCCGGGGCAGGCAGGCAUGCAUGCAUGCAUGCGCGCCUAGCGAUGGGCCGUGCGGGUGGGUGGCCGGCUAGCUACUGCCCGUGUGCGGUGUGCCAUCACCAUCGAGAGAUCAGUGUGUGUGUACAUGACAUGAACAUGCGGCGGUACGCGGCACAGUGCACCUGGCUGGCCGUAGCAGACGUGCGCUACACCUCCCCCCUCGCGUCCUAGGCUAGGCUCGAUCGUAGCCAGCGCUGCAAUGCAUCUGCAUCUGCAUGUGCAUGCGGCUGGUACGAUGCUAUAGUAGCAGGAGGAGCGUCGGAAACAGUCCAAGACUGUGGGGGCGUUUCUCGGUCAAGCAGCCACUGAUGGCAAAGAGAUUGCGAUUGCAAUUGCAAUCGCGCCCGCGCGCCUAGGGCUCAGCUACGCUAUGAUUGCUGGUGCUUGUGCUUUUCGGGAGAUCGAUCUGCAAUGAUUUGCAAGUCCAUUGGUAUGCAUGGGGAAAAAUAGGCGAGACAAAACGGGAGUGGUAGACGAAGUGCUAGCUAGCUCUGUGCCCAGAUAUCGAGCGGCAUCUUGCUCCACCGUGCGGCACACUGCAGAGUUCUUGGUCAUUGUCGCCUUGAGGUGAAUUUUUUUUUAUAUUAUAGUAUUUUUAUUUUUAUUUAGAAAUUAUUGUCCAACUAUAAACUAAUUAGACUUUGAAAUAUUCAAACUAAAUUUUUUUAAGAUUCCACGUCAUAUCGAAUCUUACGGCAUAUGCAUGAAAUAUUAAAUAUAGAUAAAAAAUAACUAAUUGCUCAGCGUGUUUAUAAUUUGCGAGACGAAUCUUUUAAACCUAGUUAGUACAUAGUUGGACAAUAAUUACCAAAUAAAAAUAAAAAUAUUAUUUUCACCUCCUAACCACGGAACGGAAGAGAAGACCCAGCCACGAUUAAAGUGACCCCCCCCCCCCUAGCUGAAGCGACACGUGUCUUGUUUUUCUGGUUUCUGUUGAUGGAAGAUCGGCGUCCGAGAGAGAGAGAGAGAGAGAGAGAGAGAGAGAGAGAGAGAGAGAGAGAGACGGCCCGGCACUCUGCUCUGCGAGCCUUGUCCGUUUGUGCGACCACUCCUGCAUCAUUAGAUCGGUCGAACAAGCACCCAGCAUGCCAGCCAGAUGAAUUUGGGACGAUGAGGGAGCUUUUGGCAGGUGAUGGGUGCAAGUGCAAGGCAGAGGCGGAGGCAGAGGUACCCAUUCAACAUCGGCUACAGCCCUACAGGGUACUCGUUCCUCACCGCAUUCAUGGGCAGAGCCCGCAUUCAUGAAACAGCACGGUGUGGUAAAUGAAACGCAUGCCGCAUAGUAGUAGCCGGCACGAACAACCCGUCACCUUUCGGGACACACACAGAGAGAGAGAGAGAGGUGCUCUAGUGUUGUGGUGGCAUCGGCAUCGGAGGCUUCUUCGGUUCAGCAUUCGGCAAUGCAAGCUGCGAUUUUGUCCGGCAGGAUUUCACGUACCCAUGCUACGAGCCUACUACUGCUAGAUCGGUCACUCGCUCAGCUGCACCAAAGUCACUGUUAUCAUAACCCUCGUCCCUGGAUGACCUUACAUGCCCUCCUCUGGCAGCAGAAAGGUGGAGCCGUGGAGGCAUUCGGCCUCGGCCACGCCCCAAGCACACUUGCACCACCCUACUACUAGGGUCCUCCACUGGGCCCAUGUCUGGCUGCCUUGUUGGUUUGGCAAAACAAUAUUGUUGACUGAUUUGUUGUGAGAGAAAAAUAUUGUUGGAUGAUUGACAGAUUCAGCUGAUAAAAUAAAAGACAACACUAUCUGCAAAUGAGUCUCGAGGAGAGAGGAUACCCAAAUUUGGGUUAUGGCUCUCCUGACACCGAAAAUAGUUUUUGUGUACGAGUACUCUGUUGGAGGCUAUAGGUAUUGUGUUGAAGACCUAUUUUAGGUUUGGGUUCUCAAAUGGAUCUCCUAUUGGAGACAGCCUACUGGCAUUAUGGAUGAUUUUAAAAUAACUAGUAGUUUAGAAAUAAUUUUAUUGGCUAUUAAAAGCAGAGAUCAAAUAACUAGCGACUCCUAAAUAGCUAAUUUAGCAUGAUUUCUUAGAAACAAUUCUCUCUCAGCUCACAUAACUCUCAACUUAUGUGUUUUUUAUUCUUUUUAAGUCUCAUGUACCUAGUUAUUUGCAAGUUGACAUUAAGGACACCCUGAUAGUGAUGGCAUGACACAUCUGCAGCAGAUUUGAAGAGAGAGAAAAUAACAACAACGAACUACAUGUAUGCCAACUGCGGCCUGGCCAAAAAUAUCCUGCGCGCGCAAAGCAAAGCUUAAUAUAAUGCUCAUGUAAACUUGAUCCCCGGAUUUGAGUAGCAAGCACUGCUAGAAUCAGGCCGAGGAAGGUGGCGCGGUUUUUCGGCAGAAUUCAAAGAAAGAAAAGGGUGGCGGUCUUUUCCGCACAUUUCUCCCCAAAGAUUGCCUGAAGCAGGGGCGGAUGUACGGCCCGUGCUGCCCGGGCUGUAGCACGGGGCGAAGCUCAAUAGCAGUGGAGAAUUGUUUCAUAAAAAACACAUAAAAAGGCUAUGAGGCCCAUUAGCCCCCCACGAUAGAGAUUCAGUCCAUUAGCCUCUGUUAUUUAGCACCCCCUAUGCUUUGUUUUUGGAUCCGCCACUGGCCUGAAGUGCCAUGGCCAAUCCAAUACUCGAUAUGGUUUUCUUGGAACUCCAAGUUGGAUGAAUUUACUAAAUGUUAAUUUUUAAAAAAUCUAAAUGUUAAUAGCUCUGUUCUAAAUUAUAACAUGUUUUUGUUUUUCUAAAUAUAUUAUUUUUAAUAUGUAUGUUUAGAAAAAUCAAAAUAUCUUAUAAUUUAGAAUGGAGAGAAUAUUGUAGUAGUUUUUUUUUCAACUUGACGGAUCAGUAACUUAAGAUGCCCAUCUUUGCACUUGAUCUCCGAAAUCUCUUUUACAAAUUUUGUGUGUGCCCUUGAUGAACUGUAUAGUCAGCCUAAACAGGCUUGCCGCGCAAAAUAAAUUUUGUGGUCGGUAGUCAAUUUUCUUCUGUCAACGUGGUGCUAGGAUCCAUGUUCCACGCGAUGGAGUUUGGAGGAGUUGAGAAAUAAUAAUGCCGGUAUUAUCUCCACUUAAACAGGACAAAAAAAGUGUGUGGCAAAAGUGUUGCAAAUUCUUGUUGUUAGGGGUCAAAAUCGAGUCAGAGAUGUAAACACAUACACAAUGAAACAUUCAGUAUCCAUGGCAAAACGUUUUGAAGGGCACAAAAAAAAAUUAUAUGACAUUGGUCAUUUUGCCCUGCCUUUCGACUAGGUUUCGUAACUAUUCAAGCGGGACAGAAUAUUCGAUAUACCGAGUCCAACAAAAACACCCUGAGUCUGACCAAGACACUUGUCGCCUACUCUGGUCUUUGCUUGGCGCAACAGCACCUCUGCGAGUCUAUAUGUGUGUGACUUUGGCAAGCUUCUUCAUGGAUCAUAUUCCGCUUCACCUAGCACAUGCUUAUCCCACGAAGUUGGGAGCUUGAGUUCGUCGUUUGGAGCUAGGAUUCCUUUAACAAUGUUUCUCAAGUGGAAAUGGAAACGUUGUUAGUGAAAGUUCCAGUUUGAUUUUGGUAAUUGAGCGACAAAUUUAGGUGGACCAAUAUGUUUCAUGUGAGAUGAACAGGUACUUAGUCCACAUACACUAGAUUGAGCAAGACAUCAUAGUCAUGGUGGAGAGAUGGCUUAUGCAUGAUGAAAGUGCUUAACUAGUGUAGUUGAAGGUGCUCAUUGAAUAUGAGACAUGUCAUUGUCUGAUAUGGCUAGGUCGAGAAGAUCAAGGCAAGGCCUGGCUGCAAAGGACCAUGUUGCAAUUGUGAAGGACAAGUUAGAGACUCGAAUGGAACGUCAAGGCGGUGAACCGUGAAUAGAGAGGGCUUUGUGUAGAUGGACCAAGGCAAAGUUGAAGAGCAAUCAAAGCUAUGAUCGAUGAACCAAUAAGGUCAUGUGAAGCAAUGAAGUGGAUCAUAUCAUUCAUAGAAGAUCGAAUCAAGUGUCAUUUGUGUUGAUGAUCAAAUCGCAUGAUGGUUUCGAGACAAAUAGACAUUAUAGAACGGGAAUGUAUCUUGUGCAACCCAGCUUCGUGUGCAACCUAUGCAACCACCAAUUAAGACCACAUGAUCUAGAUCUAACGUCUGAGGUUUUUUUCACUUAAACCCUCCCAUCUUGAUACACACGGGUUAGAUUUAAAUCCAUAGGUGGAGGGGUUUAAGUGAAAAAAACAUCAGACGUUGGAUCUAGAUCCUGUGGUCUUAAUUGGUGGUUGCAUAGGUUGCACACGAAGUUGGGUUGCAUAUGAUACGUUGCCUUAUAGAACACCUAUAUAUCAAUAAUGUGUUAACGAAUGGUCAAGAGAGAGCAUAAAGAUAAGUAAGUUUUUGGUAGUCGUAUAUAAUCAACACAAACUUUUAAUGUUUACAUCUUCUAAGAUUUUAGCCCAUGCAUGGUUCACAUACUAGCAAUAAAAAAAGUGGUAAGUCUUUGCCAAACACUUCUUUUUUAUAAAUUUUUGGGCUCAGCUUAUAUAUGUUUUUUAGAACAUACGUGUGGAUCGUGUAGUCAUGAAUUGUAAGAAAACAAGCCAAAAUUCUAACUUUAUUAUACCGUACAUUAACUUUACUAAGAAAUAUAUCUUACAUGUCAUUUCAUAAAAAGAAACGUCUUAUAUAGUUUCUUAAUACUUUUAGACAUGUCAAAGGACGCUGGCAAAAGGCGUAUGCACAUCAUCUCUUUUAGUUUGUUAGAGGAUACUUGCAUGCACCUAAAAUUAAUCCUCAUCUCUUUUACUUUCCUAGAGGAUAUGUCUUAAAUUUGGCAGUUACCUAUAAUUAGUUUCUGUAUUCCUAAAAAAAUUACUCUCCACGUUAGAAGACAAUUGUUUGUGUAAAAUAUUAUCAAGUACUACUAGCACCCCUAUGGCUGUGAAAGUGGGAAGCCAUCAAACCGCACGGUGUUGUUGUCAAAAAAAAACGCACGGUGGCGGUGGGUAUCGUGGUAGUGCUGCCUGCCACUAUUCCGGGGAGGGGAAAAUGAUGAUGGCACUUGGGUGAGGCGACUCAAGCCAGUGAUCGACCAGAGCAUGAAGGGGGGCCACACCCUUGUGGCGAUGUCAGAGACUCCAUCCAUGAGGCACAGUUUGUCAAUGUCACCAAAGGCCUAUGUAGCUUUUGCAGACUUUGUGUUGUGUCAUUGUGCGUCUUCUUCAUUGUUGCCAUGAAGUCAUGGACAAACUACAUGGAACCUCUUUGAGUCCAGGAAGGGUAAAAUAAAAUUCUUGCCUACUAUGCACAAUAUACUACUCCACCCGUACAAAAAAAGGAUAAAAUUCUAAAUUCAAAUCAAAUCAAACUUUCUUAAGUUUGACUAAAUUUAUAAAAGAUUAUGUUAACUUUUAUAUCUCCAGAUAUGUUUACUACGAAAAUAUAUCAUAUGAUUAAUCUACUGAUGAUGCUCUUUGGUGUCAUGAAUGUUAGUGUUUUUUUGGUAUAAAUUUUAAUCACAUUGAGACUGACUGACUCCUUAACAAGCAAUAAUUGUUGUUGUUGUUGUUUUUUUUUUGACGGAGGGGGAGUACAUGUAAAGAUAUAAAAUUUUAUGAGAGUUUAGUAACUUAGUGGCCUUUCACCAUGUCGGACAGCUACUAACCUACUGUCCACUAAUCAUCCAAGUAGACAGUGAGAAAACAACACAACGCAAGCUCAAAUCUUGAAGCCAAGAGCACCACGCAUUUGAAUGCUAGCUCACUUGAAAUCUGAGGGAAUCUGCGCGCACGCCAGUGUGCCACUUGCUUGCUGGACAGAGAUCAGUAGUUUAGCAACGCCACGCAUCGGACACAGCACCAUGCAACUAUAAUACAGAGGAUGGUUAUAAUAAGAUUAGGAGCCAUGUUACCCAAGUGAUUAGUAUAGUCAGAGAGGACAAAAAAAUGCUUAGGGGAACCUUUGACCAGCUAAAGGCUCUGCUCAGCUGAGCUCCUCCCCUUGAAUGUUGAUGAUUGAAGACAAAGCAAGCAACGGCCCCCAGGCGGGGGGGAAAUAAAAUAAAAGAAAGUGCUUGUGCAGCGUGAGUGCGUCCUCUUGUGGGUGUGUGUAACUGCACCUGGUCCUGCACUUGCAAAGCCAUGCGGAGCCAGGGUUACUACCUCACAUGGAAACAGGAGCUGUGUCAGCGUCUUGCUUGACUGGCCCCUCCCCUUGGUGGCCUUUUGCUGUUCAUCUUGCUUGGCCAGUCCAGUGUACUCUUGCACUUCCACCCUUCGCAUGGUGUUGCUUCACCGCUUGCUUCUCAGAUCUGGACGCCAUUUCCAUCAUGCUUGCUGUUGCUGCAUCUGCAAUUAUGUAUAUCUAUGUAUGUACAUUGAUGAUGGUACAAUUUGCAACAUCGUUGAUCAAAAAGGAAGGUAAUAUUUGACAAUAAGAAAUGGGACAAAGUGGAUUUCGCACCGAAGAAAAAUCACCAUUUUAUAUAUGUACAUACACAGCUCUUACUGAAGUGUGACGAGAAGAGAUGAACAAAGCUUGAAAAAAAAAGAAGAAAAGAAAAAUCAACCUACUCCCAUAGGUACAUAACAUCUUCAACUGACGAAGCUAUGAGGGAAAACUUGUGUCUUGUACCAUCAGAAGGGAAUGCUAAGCUCAAGAAGAGACUUCAAAUGGUAUCCUGACCAACUGAUUCCUACGGGCAUUUUGCCUCUGACUGGCCGUGUAGCUGCCACUACUAACCCCUGGGCAGUUUCUCGCGUGUCGGUGACCUUUGCUAGUCCUUCUCCUCCUUGUCUUCUUUCAGGGUCGUCAUCUCCACAUCUCCGAAGCAUGCAUCAUCCAUGGCACCUGUGCAUUCGGAAGUCUUUGAGUCCACCGCCGAACUGGCCUGCAACUCCUUGAACAUUGCCAUGACUUUCAGCAUUGUCGGACGCUUUGAUGGCAUGUCAUGCAAGCAUAAGCAAGCAAUUUUUAGGUGCUCCAGUAGCUCGACCUCCAAGGCUGGAUCCUCCUUCACCAGUUCAGGAUCAAACACAUCUGUGACCUUCGACUUUGAGUGUUGUUUGACCCAUCCUACAAGAUUGUUGUCCUCACCGAAGUCAGUUGAGUCUGUAGGCGGUUUCCCAGUGAGCAGCUCGAGCAAUACAACACCAUAGCUAUACACAUCGCCCUUGGUGGUGCAUCUGAAGCUCUGGUAGUACUCUGGUGGCACAUAACCUGGAGUGCCGGCGAGAGUGGACACACUCAGGUGGGUGUCCACCACGCUCAUCAUCCUUGCCAUACCAAAAUCAGAUACCCUUGCCUCUAAUUGCUCAUCGAUAAGCACAUUGCUUGACUUCAUGUCUCGAUGGAUGAUGUGUGGAAUACAGUUGUGGUGGAGGUAUGCCAAUCCCCUUGCAGCACCAAUGGCGAUCUUUUUUCUUGUUGCCCAAUUUAGCUUAAUCCCGACCUUUUUUCGGUCGUGCAACACAUCUUCCAAGCUGCCAUAACUCAUGUAAUCAUAAACCAACAGCCGCUCCUCACCACACUUGCAGUAGCCAAGGAGCGGAACAAGGUUGCGAUGUUUGAUCCUCCCAAUCGUCUCCAUUUCUGCAGUGAACUCCCGGUCACCCUGGCCACUCACAUGUAUAAGCUUCUUGAUUGCAACAACCUUUCCAUCCUUGAGCUGGGCCUUAUAGACAUCCCCAAAACCACCAGACCCAAUUAGGCUAUCAUUGUGGAAGCCAUUCGUGGCCACAAUAAGAUCAUUAAAGGUGAGUUUCUGCAGUGGCUUCUCGAAUGCAGCAAGGUUGACGCUGAGGGCAUUAGUACCAGAGAGUCUCCAAUUGUUGGAAUUCAUAGUCCCAGAAUGUGACCGGCUAUCAAUGUAUAUGUCACGAGAGGUAUUUGCCUCUUCAUUGAUCUGCUUCCGCUUCUUGCACUCAAUGGCUAUGAUGACAAUACCAACUAUACAAAACAGCGAGAACAAGAGUCCCAUUGCAACACUACCUGCGAGUGAAGCCUGGUUCCGGUGGGAUCGGCGGUCAUUAGAAGAACUUGAGCCUGCAUUGUGUCCACAUGGCAACAGUGGGAAGCCACAAAGACCAGAGUUAUUCUCAUAUGAAAUCUUCGGGAAUGUGAACAGCGAACCGAGCUCUGGAAUUGAACCAUUCAGCUGAUUAUUUGAAAGGUUGAUCUCCGACAAGGACAAGGUCGAGAAAGAGUUGGGAAUAGGGCCCUCCAACUGGUUGUGUGACAGGUCGAGUACUGCAAGCUUCUUGGCACCAGCUAGUUCAGGUGGAAUGACACCAGACAGUAAGUUGUGCCCAAGAUUCAUGAUCAUGAGGUAGAACAUGUUCCCAAGCUCCUUCGGGAUCUCUGAGUCGAGCUGAUUAAAUGACAAAUCCAGAAAUAUCAUGGAUCCAUUCUUAUUGAAGGUAUACUCUGUGCUCCCCAUGUACACCCUAGUGAAGUUGCACAGCUUCUUGCUCGGCAUCCGACUGAGCUCUUCAGGUCGGAUGCUGGUGAACUCUAGCAAGCUCCCCUUGCCAUGGCACUCACUGCUCAGCUCGUCAUUGCGAAGAUAGACAUACGGCCGCCCAAUGACAAGGCCGACGUUCAUCUUCCCAGACUGUUUUGCCAGUUCCGCCGGUAUUGACCCGUUAAGCUGGUUGCUGUUCAGGUCCAGCCAGACCAAGCUCUGGCAGUUGCCGAGCUCAGCUGGUAUUGGCCCCGAGAAGGAAUUGUUGCUCAGCUUCAAGAUGGCCAGGUUGCUGAGCUGCCCAAGCCAAGCAGGGAUCGGACCUGACAGCUGGUUGCUCGCCAAGGAUAUCCAGUUGAGAUCCUUGCACUUGGAGAGUUCCGGCGGGAUGCCACCAGUGAGCCCGUUGUAGUCGAGGAUGAGAUGCUCGAGCUUGUCCAAACUUUCCAGUGACGCCGGAAUCUCUCCCACCAGCAAGUUCUGCCACAGAAUGAGGUCCCGGAGCUCCCCGAGCUUUCCGAGGGAUGCGGGGAGGGUGCCGUUGAUGUUGUUGAGGCUGAGGUCGAGAGAUUGGAGCCUGGUGCAGUUGGAGAUUGACUCCGGGAUGGCGCCGGAGAGGUAGUUGUUCUGGAGGUACAACAUGCGGAGGCUGGAGUUGGGGCCUUGGCAGAUGGACGAAGGGAUGGUGCCGGAGAAGGAGUUGGAGCUGAGGUCCAGCACGUCGAGCUCCGGCAGCGCUGCCAAGGAGUCCGGAAUGGUGCCGUUGAAGUGGUUGAAGGAGAGGGAGAGCGCCUUGAGCUGCUGUAGCUCGGUGAAAGCGUCGGCGGGGAGCUCGCUGGAGAAGUUGUUGUUUGACAGGUUGAGUGCGGCGAGCGAGGUGAGGGCGGCGACGUCCGGCGGGAACGGGCCGACCAGGUGGUUGCCUGAGAGGUUGAGCGUUCUCAGGCCACGGCAGUCAGCAAGAAUCCCGCCGGCUACCUCGCCGGCGAUGAGGUUGCCGGAGAGGUCGAGGUACUCCAGCCCAGAGCAGUUGUUGAACUCCGGGAGCGCAGAGAUCUUGUUCCCGGAGAGGUCCAGACGGCGGACUGCGCCGACGCCGGCGCCCACCAUCCAGCGGAGGUCGCCAUCGCCGGAGAUCUUGUUGUCGGACAGGUCGAGAGCGUCCAGCCGGGCAAAUCCGGAGGCGACAGCGCCGGCAGACCUCGGCCCACCAACCGAACAGCCGGAGAGGUUCAGGGCGCUAAGGCCGGCGCAGGCAGCGGCCAGCGCGUCGACGUCGGCGACGGAACCCCUCAGGCCGGCAUUCCCUGACAGGUCGAGCGACUGCAGCUUGGCCCCACACCUGGGCACGGCGGCCAGCGCGCCGCUGACGUUGGCGCCGCGCAGGCUGAGCGUCUCGAGGCUGCCCAGCUGCAGCAGGGUGGCCUCGACGGCCCGGAAGUCGGCAUUGAGCGGGACGGCGGCGAGCGACAGCGACGUGAGCCGACCGCCCCUGCAGCCGGCGCCAGGGAACUUGCAGGCGCCGUCGCUGGCGCUCCACCCGCGGAAGUCCGCGGCCUGGCUCUGGCUCGGCACGGCCUCCUUGAACUGCUCCAGCAGCUGAGCGUCGUCGGCGGCGACCGCCGCCACGACGGCGACGAAGAGUGCCACUACAGCGACCAGCCCCGGUGAUUCCAUGAACUAGCUAUCGCGCUACCUUAAAACCAUUAAAGAAGCGGGUCGGCGACGGGGGAGGAGCCGACCGACGAGGCGGUGGGGAGGAGGAGAUGGUGGUGAGUGGAGGUCCGGAGGGAGGGGAGGUGGGGAGUGUGGAGGGAAUGGGCUGCUAUACCUAGAGAGAGAAGCGGCAGGAAGAAAGAAGCAACAGUGCAAAAGAGAGAGAGAGGGAGAGGAGGGGAGGAGACGGGGAGCAAAUUAACAGCUGUAGGUGAGGGAAGGGAGUGGUGGUGGGGUCACGUCACAUGGCAUGUGCCCCCCCUGCCCAGCCCUGCCCCCUUGCCCCUGCGGUGUUUUGCCCUCAUCGCGAAUCGCUGCCCUAAUUAGCCCGAGUGCCGAGGGGGAUUAUAGUAUUCUAAACCACGGCGCUUAUCCGCGGGCCGCGGCGAGGUUAAUCCCGAUCUGAUCCGACGGCGGGGGCCGCCCCGAUCGGGGGCAGGCGGUGCUCUGCUCGAGGCGGGGUCACGUGCCGGCGGGCGCGGCCUCCGGGGGGGCUCGUCAAUCCGCGCGCCACUCUACACCACCCACGGGCAUGGAUGGUCGCAUGGGCAGUUUGGGGAAUUCGGGGUCGCGGUCCGAGCGUGCGGGAUCCCUGGCGGGCGUGGAGGGAGGCGGACGCGUGGGCCGCGUUGCUUCGAUGAGGGGUUUUUUGUCUUUAACGCCCGUAGCGCGAGUCUGAGCUGGUAGAUCCGAUCCGGAGUGGUGCGUGCGUGCGUGCGGUCGACGCUGCGCCGUGCCACCUUUCCGGUGUUAGCCGAGCGUGUGUUAUGAUGGCGAGGCCGUGAGAAUGGAUAAGGUCCCGUUAUACGCCGGCAGCCGAGUGUGUGUUUGUUUGAUCGGCGGCACUGCCAGCAACGCAUGACGAUUUGAAUUGUACUCCGUUUACAAAUCAGUUAAUAGCUGAAUAUUGCUCACUUUAUCCUUAAAGUUAUGUUAAAACUCUUUGUGUCUAUUGUUUAGCAACUCUUCUUUUUAUAUUUUAUGAAAAAAAAUCAUAUAUUGCAAUUUUUUAGUAGUAUGUCCUACAAGAGAUAGUUAUGUAUCUUCUAUUUUCUUAAAAAGAACUUUUGGAUUUUAUCCUCCUUUGCAUGGCUCGUGAAAAUUAAUGUGAAACCCUCUAUUUAGAAUUUAUAGCACUUCUCCUUUUUUUUCCCACUAGAGUAACAUGUAUUUAGUUGAAAUCUAAUAAUAUAAGUACUUGUUUCACCCUUUUCCAAGUAUUAGCUUUCACUUGUUGCGAAAUUUGUAUUCAUAUAUUAAGUUGAAACUCUACUGUUUAUUGCAUCCUUGAAUAAAAUUGGUUAUAGUCCCCUAAGCUACACUCUUAAUUACUACAAUGGCAUAAAUUGCCAUUCCAGCUUGAACCCUUGGCGCUCGAAACGUUAAUUUUGUUGUGGUUAAGAAUUUAUUUUGUUAGCGCUGUUUUAAAGAACAUGGAGCUCUUAGAAAUAAAGUGUCAAUAUUGAUAUGACAUAAUCCUUUAGUCGAAAAUUAUAAACUUAUUAAAACCAAAUACUUACAAAAUAUAUUAACAUGAAAUAUUGAGAUAACGUAUGCAUAUUUACUUGGUCAUUAUGGAGCAGCCACACACACCCUAAACCAACAUUUGUCCAAGUGUAUGCAUAUACUUGGUCUAUGUGGUGACACAUAGCAUUAUGCUAAAAAUAAUUUAAAUUAGGGGGAAGUGUAUAAUUUAUAUAUGUAUAUAUAUCUAUAUAAUGUAUUUUAUGACUAUUGAACUAUUUUAUAUAAUGGUUUAUAUUAGUAUUUAGACAUCAAUUUGAGGUGCAUUCGACUUUAUAUUUAGGAUCUUAUAGGUAGAUAAUAAGAUACAAAUUAAAGGUGUUCAAAAUUAUACUUCGUAAUGACACAUGUGUGUAUUUUAGAUAUUAAUUUAGGGGUUAUUUUGCAGUAUCUUUCACAAUAGUAUAGGUCAAUUAAUAUUAUAGAUGAAUAAUUUAGAUGCAAAUUUAGUAUGUCACUUUAAACUAAUUUUCACAAUGCUUAUGGAGGGUAAUUUAGAUCUAAAAUUACCUUUCACAAUGGCUGGUGUGCCUAAAUUAUAUAUAAAUUUAGAGGAUUAUUUCAAACUAUAUUUAAUAAUGGUAGACGUGGAUAAUUUAAAUAUAAGUUUAGGUGGUUAUUUAAGAUUAUCUUUCAUAAUAGCAGAGUUGAUAACUUUUUUAUAAAACAUAAUAGAUCUGAUGGUUAUUGUUGGUCGUGAUGAUUAGAGUCUAAUGAAUUAAAGGCUAUAUGUUUUCUAGUUAUUAUGAAAAAUUUUAGAAUUUAUCUUUUUUCAUUAAGCAUGUCAUAGGUGCUAACAUGAAGGCCCUAUUAUUAGUAGGAGUAAUAUUUUAUCUUUGUCUAUGUUAACAUAUACAAGUUUAUGUAGAUUCACGAUCAAGACAUAUUUCAUGCAGAAUUUAUUGAAUGUUAUUUGAUGUUGUAGAUGUUGGUUUUUUCAUAAACAUGGUCACUAGAGUAUUGUUUAAGAUAAGUGACUUAUAUUUUGCUUUCUCCAUAAAAAAAGAGUGUCGCUAUGAGUUUUGUGCAGGUCAAAUAUUCUUAAAUUUAAUUAAAUUUAUAGAAAAAUAUUAACAACAUUGAUAUCUUAGAAGAAGUUUCUUGAAAAUAUAUUUAAUGAUUAAUCUAAUGAUAUUAAUUAUGAAUUGUAAAUAAUAAUUUCUUAAUUUUAGGUUAAAGUUAAAAAUGAUUGACUUAUCAGGAAAUGAGAAUUGCACUUUUAUGGGAUGAAGGGAGUAUUAUGAAGGGAGUUGGUGGUCAUGAAAUCUAUCUCGAUAAUUAAGGUCACAAUAUAUACUGGUCUAGUUUUCCGGAUGCAUUUUAUAUAGAUGGUGUGUGUUCGGCGAGUGCACAUGUGUCCUAUGUUAUGAAAAGAAUUUUUGGUAGUAGUUUAUUUGGCUAAGUGAUAAUAUGCUGUGCUAGUGAAUUUCUCAACCUGAACAGACGUUGUUUUUUUUUUUUCAUUUCACCGGUUGCAAGUAGCAUAUCAUGUUUGUCACGUUUGUUCCUUCUUUGGUCCAUUGAAAAUUGCCUCUAGCAAGAAACAUUUAAUGGUAUGUUCGGUUCACAGGAACCAUGCCUUCAAACGAUUCCUAGCCGGAUUAUUUGUCUGUGGGCUGGAAUGAUUCCUGGAUGGAAUCUUGUCUAACUCAACAAGCUCUAAAAUAUUUAUAUGUUUUUGGAUAUGUAGCUUUACUAUACACUUACAUACAUACCAUCUCUAAAAAUAUAAGUAAAACAAUGUACCUAAAAGAUUAAAAUAUAUUAUAGUUUAAAACGGAAGAAGCAUAUGUUUUUGAGAUCACGCUUGUUCGCUUGAGCUUAUUAAACGAAUCUAUCAGUCAUUCAAUAGUGUUUUUCUCUCAUAAUAAAUCAGCCAACAGUACAUCCUGCCACGACUUAACAGCUAGGAGAAAUAGGGGUGUCUAGUUUUUCUUUCCUUGAAAAAAAUCUGGGUUUUAGUUCAUCAUUUUAUAUAAUGGAACUAAACAACAAAUAAAUUUUUUUUUGACAAAAAGUAGGUAUUCUAUAUUUAGAUUUUGGUCUCAAGAGGCCAAAAAAAGUUCAAAAAAGACUCAAGAGGCCCAAAUAUGGGCAAUAAAUUUUGUAUUUUGGAUGAAACUAAACAUAACCUUAAAAACUUUAACAUUUUGUAUUUCAUUAUUCCAAAUUAAUUGGUUUUUGACAUUUUGUAUUUUAUGGAGAACUAAACACAUCUGUAGUACUUAAAUACGGUCAUUUUGUUUGUUACGUAAUACUCCCUCCGUCCCCGAAAGAAUCAAUUCCUAAGAUCCGUGCCAGUCAAAUUUUUUAAAGUUUGACUAACUUUAUAGAAAAGAGUAACAACAUCUAUAAUAUAAAAUACACAUUAUAUGAAAAUAUAUUCUAUGAUGAAUCUAAUAAUACUAAUUUGAUACUAUAAAUCUUAGCAUUUUUUUCUAGAAAUUUGGUCAAAGUUUAAAAAGUUUGGCUUAGGACAACUCUAGAAAUUGACUCUUUCGUAGACGGAGGGAGUAGUGCUUAAAAUACACACAUUAGUCCGUCGGCAAUAACCGGAAGGGAAGAAACUCGAAAAAGCCACGGAAUGAACAAUGGUGCGCUUUUUGCUUGAGAUCGAAGGUACCACCUGCCUAGUAACCAUGGAUCACUUUUUCCCCCUAACACAAGCUGGUGGCUGCAAAUGUGAGAACUGAGAACAGAAGUCGUCAAGCCCCAUCCGACCCACUGCUAGAUCCACCAUCGAUCAAUGUCUGAAGUAAACUACCUAUAGUGGUUAGUGCACUCAUAAUACAAGACUCUAUCACAGAGUCCAAGACACUUAAUUACAUAUUAUUUAUGGUAUUUUGCUGAUGUGACAGCAUAUUUAUUGAAGAAAGAGUAAGAAAAAAUAACACUCCAAGUCUUAGGCCUUGUUUAGUUCCCAAAAAAUUUUGCAAAAUUUUUCAGAUUUCCCGUCACAUCGAAUCUUUAGACGCAUGCAUGGAGUAUUAAAUAUAGAUGAAAAUAAAAACUAAUUGCACAGUUUGGUCGAAAUUGACGAGACGAAUCUUUUGAGCUUAGUUAGUCUAUGAUUUGACAAUUUUUGUCAAAUACAAACGAAAGUGCUACAGUGUCGAUUUUGUAAAAAUUUUUGGAACGAAACAAGACCUUAUUUAGACUCUAAGUCCACAUUGUUCGAGGUAACAAAUAACUUAAGACUUUAUAAUAGAGUCUGCAUUAUGAGUGCCCUUAUGGAAUGCAAAAGUAUCUUUGGUGACGACCCGAGCUUCUUGCAGCUAUGAUAUCCAAUGAAAGUACAGGAGUACUUUUUUUUUGAGAGGAAGGAGUACUAAUUAAGAGAAGGAGGUUGGCUGUGGCCCAUGGGCCGUGGCGAAGCGAACGGGGUCGCGAUUUACGUGGACCGCACGGGGGACGAGCACCAGCACGUCCAGCUGCUGCUUCACAAGCAGCAUCAUUUGCAGCGAUCAUGGUCUAGGACUAACCGAAGAAACGCUUUGCAAAUCUCGAAAGAUUCAUCAGUCAAAAAAGGAGCUUUUGCUAGAGGCGUCGACUGGCGCGAGAGCGAUGAUGAUGAGGUUACGACGGCCACGGCCACACCCGUGCGCGCGUCUACGCCGGCCGCCGCGCCCUUUUUUUUCGUGUGCGAGGAGAUUAGACCCAUCUUUUGAGCUCUCGUCGUCUCAUUGGCCGGCCUGUCUGUCUCAGGCUCUCUCAGGACCGACGAGGAGCGCACGCUGCGGUCUGCGGCGGCCGGCCGGGCGUACACGUACCCGUGCGGCGUGGCCCGUGGCUGUGGCUCCCGCCACCCAUGCCACCCUCCAGCCCCGCCCCAGCGCUGGGGCCCUCCUCUGACAGGCUUACCCCAGCGGUUGUACGGCUCCACCCGUCAGCCACCGCGUGCGCCCGCGUACACCUGAUUGGACAAGUCGCCCCGCCCGCCCCCACGCCGUGGCUCGUGGCUGGCAGCCAGGCACGUGCGCCUGUCCUCCGGGGACCACCUCGGGAGGGGCGUCUCCAGCCGUUGGAUUUGGGAGGCGCCGGCGGCGGGCCCAGAGGGCUGUCGUCGCCGGGGUACGGCCGGAAUCUGCCGUUAGAUCUCGCGUCUCGCCGUCCUUUGCCGAUCAGGGAAAACAUGUUUGCCUUGCGCAGGAGAGGCCGGUCUGUUCCGUGCGCAGCGCACUGCGCAGGCAGUGCUAGUAGCCUACUAGUAGCGUCGGCCAGAGCCAGUCACGCGCGCCACCUGGUGGCGUUUGACCGGGUGGAUGGACCAGGCCGGGCUGAAUGAAACCACUGGUUUCAUUGCGGAAUUGAUUGGCCAACGAUACCACGCUACGCUACGUCUGCAUGUAACGGCAGCAGGGACCGGGAGCCUCUCUGUUUUGGCCUUUGGGGGACAGGAAUUUGGGCCUUGUUUAGUUCCCCAAAAAUUUUUCAAAAUUUUUCAGAUUCCCCGUCACAUCGAAUCUUUAGACGUAUGCAUAGAGUAUUAAAUAUAGAUGAAAAUAAAAACUAAUUGCACAGAUUGGUCGAAAUUGACGAGACGAAUCUUUUAAGUCUAGUUAGUCCAUAAUUGAAUAAUAUUUGUCAAAUACAAACGAAAGUGCUACUAUUCCUAUUUUGCAAAUUUUUUUGGAAGUAAACAAGGCUGGCCAACCUGGAAAACGAACGAUCGAUUCCACCUGGGCCCUUGUUGGCCCUGUUUAGAUUAGAGAUGAAAAUUUUUUGGGUGUCACAUCGGAUAUGUCGGAAGGAUGUCAUGAGAGGUUUUUAGAUACUAAUAAAAAAACAAAUUACAUAGCUCGUCAGAAAACUGCAAGAUAAAUCUAUUAAGCAUAAUUAAUCUGUCAUUAACACAUGUGGGUUACUGUAGCACUUAAGGCUAAUCAUGGAGUAACUAGGCUUAAAAGAUUCAUCUCGCGAUUUUAAACCAAACUGUGUAAUUAGUUUAUUUUUUUAUGUACAUUUAAUGUUCCAUACAUGUGUCUAAAGAUUUGAUGGGAUGGAUGAAAAAAUUUUGGGUAGGAAACUAAACAGGGCCUUAGUUUCAAAAAAAUUUGCAAAAUGGACACGGUAGCUCUUUCAUUUGUAUUUGACAAAUAUUGUCCAAUCAUGGACUAACUAGGCUCAAAAGAUUUGUCUCGUCAAUUCCGACCAAACUGUGCAAUUAGUUUUUAUUUUUGUCUAUAUUUAGUACUUAAUGCAUGUGUCUAAAGAUUCGAUGUGACAGGGAAUCUGAAAAAUUUUGCAAAAUUUUUUGGAAACUAAACAAGGCCCUGACCGGAUGUGCGUUAUACGUAGAAGUUCAUCUUUUACCUGAUGUUGAACCGUCAGACUGAAAAGAGUCCGCAGAAAAAAAGAGAAAAAUAGAAAAAGGAAAACAAAUUUAAUUAGUAGUACCAUAUAUACAUUCAGAUGCAUAUAUUUUGCAGGGGUUGCAGCCUUUAUUUCUUUCUUUUCUUUUACAAAAAGGACUUUCUACUGCACAUUCUACACACUAAUAAUGAUUUUAAGGUGAACAAACAAUUAUUUCUUUCAAGGCAUCCUCUAGUCUUGAAAAAGAAACUUAUGACACACUCUUAUUCUUCUUCUUUAACAGAGGUGCUAUUCGUGGAGCUAGUGUCCAACAAUGUCUAAAUAUUUGGUUAAUGCUUUGACUCCAUGCAUAUACGUACCUCUUGGGGCAUUUUACAAGAGACAAAGAGGCAACCACAUGACCAUUGGUCAUGGAACAUCUUAGGGUGACUAGUGACAAGUAUGAUGAGAAGGAAGGAACAGAGCAAUGCUAAAUGCCAACCUUAGGGUAACGGUGUAAACAUUAAUCUUGUCGAUGUAGUUUAAUGAGAACAAGAGGAGGGAGCAAAGGAACUAACUCGAUGACCUCACCGAUGGCCUCUGCGCACCCACCACACAUUUGUGUCGAGGAUGAGCUUCAUCUAGGUCACCAUGUCAUCGAUGUACAUGACAGUUAUUGUUGUAUGUUGGUACACGGUUAUCCUAGCCACCUAUAAAAGAACCCAACUAGAAUGGGCGGACUGAGGCCGUCAAAGGAGAGUCCAAUACAAACAGGCGUAUACUAACAACUUGAAAAGCAAACUAUCAACUACGAAGCCUUAGAAGCCAAGUUAUAUUUGUACAGUUGAGGUAGAAUCCGAGUAUAUUUUCUUUAACAAACUAGAAAACCCAUGUGUAAAAUGAUGAGGAAUUUAUCUAUAACUGUAACAUCCCAAAAAUUCACAUUCAAAAAUCACUCGCAUUAAAAAAAUUAUUUUCAAAAUACAUUUCAAAAACUAUAAAUCAUUUGAGCUCUAUAGUAUCUCCAUCUAAUUCUUUUUCCAUCCAUUCUAAUUAUCCAUCUUUAAAUAUAACCUGCACCGCAUGGCAUGAGCAUCAUAUGUCCGCUACUUAUCCCUCUUGCUCGCUCGCUCUGCCCGAUACCCGGCAACGGCGCGUGCGCCGACCCCACCACCAUCAGCGCCGCAGCGCACUCACGCCCGGCCCCCUCGCCGAGCGCACUCGCUCGCGCGCGCACCGCGGCAUGCGGGCCCCACCUCUUGCCUUUUCCCACGCCUCUUUUGCUGUACAAAAAGAUAGCAAGUACCAGCAAGCUUACAUGCGAGAAAACAUAGCAGUGCACCUACACGAAUAUGUAUCUCAUGCAUGCAUGCAGGACAAGCAUGCCACCGUCCAUUUGCAUGCACCUGCAUGCAAAGGACAUGGUGAUUAGGCACCGUCCAUUUGCACGCACCGUGCAUGCAAAUGAGACAUUGCCAUUUGCAUGAAAAUUAGGCACCGUCCACCGUCCUGUCGUCCUGUGUAGCCAUGCACUACAGUAGCAAUUCUAAUGGCACGAAGCUGAGCACCAGAGGCAUAACCUCACUCCUCUGGCUAUAAAAAGCCAGCCUCGGGUGCUCACUCUCACCACCCGAGAAACACGUUCACUCACUCACUCACUCGCUCGCUCUCACUUCGCGUAUACCGUAUACGGCCAUACGCACAAGCCGAGCUCGACUGUCGUCGCAAGACGAGGUGAGCAGCUCAUGAGCAUCUCCUUACUCUUCUCUGUCUUUCUGUAGUAUUUUUCUGUAUUUUUUCAUGUAUUUGUGUGUACCGGUUCACUGCCAAGAACUCCACGAAUAGAACCAUGACAUACAGAAGAGUUCUAAUGACCCCUGCUAAUUUCUCUCUAACCAUGCAUGUGUGGGCCAAGCAUUAACUCCAAAUAGUACAUGCAUGCAUGCAACAUGCACUACCAGCCAAACAAAUGCCCACGUGAAGCAUCCAUUCCUUAAUCAUCGUUAGCCUUUUUCGCAUGAUUAAAUUCCGGCCAUUUCACAAAUGCCACAUGCUAACUCUGAUUUUAAUAAUUCUUUUUCCUAAAUUCAUCUAAAAUCAUGAUCUACCUCCCAUAUUAAUUUCAUGAUUUUUGGAGCUCAUUUGAAUUUAUAUGAUUAUUUAUCUGUGCCUGUUGUCUGUGUCGUUCGUCACGUAUUUUAGCUGACGGAGUGAACGAGCCGGAAAACGAGAACGUUGGAGACGAGUACCGCGAGUUUGACGCCGAGGACUCGGACUGUCAGCAAGAGUUUGCUGAGGACGCCGACGGAGGCAAGUCCAACCGAUCCCCUUUGAUGCAUAUUGAUCCUAUUUUUAAACACAACUCGUAGAAGCCAUUUUAAAUAUUGCAUGUACGAUAUAUGUACGAAGUAUUUUUGCUGCUUAGUUAAAACCUGUUGAAUAGCCAUCCUUGAAUUGAUAUUACCCGGUAAUUGUCUUGUUCGAACCUAGGAACAAAUAAUAUGCUAUGACAGAAAUAUUAUUAUUUAGUAUGCUUAGGACUUGUUACUCAUCCUGGAUACUCAUCGCUAUAUUUUCUCAAAUAUAAUGAUUUUAAAAGUAAAUGGUGUGAGUGGUGAAAAUAAAUUGUGGGUAUUAUGAAAGGGUUAAUGAACAAGUUAUAGAUGUGAUUACUAUAGAGAUGGGGCGGAUGGGAUCUCUUUUGGAGAUGCCCUGGUGUUGUGGCUUAUACCUUGCGGGGUUAAGCGAGAAGAUAUCCGCCUUGUCUCGAUUAAGGACUGAGUUGAUGAUUCAUCUUGCCUAACUCAUUUAUCGUACAACCACUCGCCUUGCAUGGGAAAGACUUAGUCUAAAUCCCUCUAGUUAGUAUGGCAAUCACCUGGAGGCAGGUGUGCAACGGGACACUAAGUGAUGUAUGUGAAAUUGUGGAAAUAUAUGAAAAGAGCUUUGUGAAUUAUUGUGGUAUCAUGAGAUGUGGCCUUAGUGUUCCCGUGGUGAGCGCCAUUACUUAGCUAUGGAGGGUAAUGACUUUGAUGGAUCUGUGCUUGCACGACGGUGUAAGUUAUGGUAUCCUACUUGUGGGAAAAGUGUACAACCUCUGCAGAGUGUAAAUCUAUCUGGAUAGCCGUGUCCGCGGUCUCGGACGGGUUAUGGUUUGGUUUCAACAACUAGAUGGGAUGGUAUGAGUGAAAACAUGUGAGAGAGUGUGAUUUUGGAAAUAAAUGGUUGACUGCCAUGGUGUUGUGGGAACAAGGGUUCAACAACACUUAAAAUUGUGAUCAAACCCCCAUUUUUAGAAAUACUAUCAUAUGUGGAAAAAGAGGUCUUUUACAACAGUAUUUGUGAAAUGAAACCUUGCAUGUGUAAAAAGAUAGCUUUAUGCAAAUAAAACUAAGCCUCAUCCUUGAUUUAUCCAUAUGCAUAUAUACUGUUAUCCCCUUCCGUAGGGUAAAGUUGGAUUUGCUGAGUACUUUGUACUCACCCUUGCUUUAUUAAACAGAGGAAGAUCCGGACUUCGAUUCCGAAGUGGCGUUCGAGUAAGGUCGUGUCUGCACCCAACUAAGCCUGUGGCAUUGGGACUCGUCAGAUGUUCGAUGGCGAUAUCGUUUGUUUCUGGGUCCUUUGGACCUGUGUUGUAUUUUGGUGUCUUAUUAUUAUAGCGUGCCUUCCUUGUCCACGCUUUCCAAGACUACUGCGCUGAAACUUAUCUGAUGUAAUAAAUGUGUUACUAGCCUCGUGGGACUAGUAUUGUAUCACAUUUGAGUUCCUGGUUUACCAGGGGCGCUUCAAUAACCCUACCAUCAAAUUAUAUAUAAGGUGGGUCAUGAAGCCCCUCAUCAGUGGCUCAUCAUAUGUAGCUAGAUCUCUAGACAAACAUCAAUAGCACCCCUUAAACCUCGAGCAUAUAGAUUAAGAGAUAAAUUCUCUACUAGAUGUAUGGUACCUUGUACCUGAACUUGUAUACAUUUACAUUUCAUGUGCUAGCCCUUUGUCUCCUUGUGUACAAAACACUGAUCUACGUUGUUAAGGGUAAAAUCUACAACACCUGGUAUUUAUACAUUAAGACUUGGCUUUCUAUGCACUAACCCACCAAGUCCUCCCUUUGAUAUAGUGAGACGAGGGAGAGGGAUCGAUAGAAAGAGAAGACCGGAUGUGGUAGCCGGGGAAGAGAAGAUAGGGUGCAACACCCUGCAAAAAGGAGGUGUCAAUGUGUGGAGAGAGAGAGAGAGAGAGAGAGAGAGAGAGAGUGAGUGACAUGGUUUUGAGAUGGGAUCAAGGGAGAGAGAGCAUAGGUGUCAGUGUUUCUUUACGAAGAGAAUAAAUUAAUUAGUUUGAUGGACUGUUUGUUUAUGGUUCGGCUGUGUUACUUUAGAAGUGGGUUUGUUAUUAGAUCACCAGAGUUUUGAAACAACAUUGUUGGGGAAGAUACUUGUACACCGCCUCUGCAAAUGAAAGAGGAUGCAUCUAUAAAUGUACUUUGUAGUUGUGUAUUUUUCUCAUAGCGUAUGUAAAUGAAACUAUGAAAGUUAGCCUAACUUCAUAAAGAAUAUAAAUUUGUGGAGAGUACUUUAUAUGUUCUAUAAUAAAAAUUAUUCAAAUUGAAUUAUUCGUUAUUGUGAGGGCAGCUGCAACAAUAAGAGUUACUACUAGCCUAUGUCAACAUGCCAAUAGUGUUAACUUUAGGAAUGGUCUUUAGUUUGAUUGGAUCCACAUGACACUCUAACGUGAUCUCAUAAUGUGUGUAAGAGGAGCUAGCUUUCUCUCCUUUUUGUUAAAAUAUAUAAAAAAAUACUUAUACCUAACUCAAAAGUCGUUUGGGGAAGUUUUUGUGGGCAACAAAUAAUACUAUGUACGAGACAGAAGGAGUGUACAUAGAAAUGUACACAUAUGUCAUACACCCUUUAUACCCGUAAAGAAAGUUGUUUUGGAUAAAGUUUGAGAUCAAAUAUUUAGAAUAUAAAUCAUAAAUAACUUUUAAAUUGUUUAGUUUGAAAAACUUGAAAAUCAUAUAAAUAUAUUUGUCUUGAAAAAUAUUUUUAUAAAGAUAUACAUAUAUAUUUUUUGAUAAAUAUUAUUAUAAAAAUAAGAAGUUAAAAUUAGGUUUAGGAGACUUGCAUUCUGCUAAACCACUAUACGGCAAUAAAUUCUCGCUCCGUCUACGUACAGAGAGACUUGCACGCGGGAGUAAAUACGACGGCCGGUCCGGGGCUCCGGGGCUCGGACUGGGCCGGUGUUUCCCCCGCUGCCGCACGUGAGAGGCGGAUAGGGAAACGGGACGGGGGCAAUAAUGAGGCGGGCGCGUACACGCAUGGAACCGUGGGGCUUCCCCCCUCCCCCGUUGCACUUUGAAUGCCAUGAUGGCGAGACCCGGGGUGGGGCUGAUCCACGGAUCUCUUCGCUCUCUCUCUCGCGCGCGUGUGUGACCACUGACCACACUCGGUCCACUGGCUCCCGGACUCGAGUUGUGGUUUGGAUUGGGUUGGUUCAUUGGUUGGAUGGAUCGGAUGGUUGUGCCGUCCCCUGCUGCCCCCCCGUUACGGUACGGUUCCGCUUUUUUGGGCAGCGAAUCACGCAUCGCGGUUCCCGCCCGUGAUUAUUACUCUCCGGCGCCAGUCUCCCUCGCUGAUCUUAUCUUAUCGUUGUUAUUAUUAUUAAUUAAUAAAAUCCUACUGCUACUACUAGGCACACUGUUCCUGUGGGCUGGGGACCUGAGAAUUGAGAAUCGCUCUACGUGGGCCGUGGAGGAGGGAUCGAUGGGCAUGUGGGCUGCCAUCUGCAGGCUGGGACUUUCUGGCUUUAAUUUGGCAUGGGCUCAGCCAGCGGACGCUGGCCACGGAUUUUGUUCGUUUCCGAUAAAAAAAAAGUGUACUAGUUUGAAUUUUCAGUCUGGGACAAGUAAUUUGAUUGUUUGACCCGCCUAACGACUCGACCAAGAGCGAACGAGCCGUGGACUUGUGUCGAGCAAAUUAGACCAGAAUUCUUUUGCUACUGUACAGAUCGUUUAUGGAAUACUAAUAAAUAAAGAUAUGGGUGUCCUUAAGGAAAGGAAAUCAAGGAGUAGUACUAGACUGGAAUAUAGAGAAAUGAAAAGGGUAGUAAGACACAUAACAUGUUUAUUAUCUGGUAGAUCGUCUGACCAAGCUACUAGCACUAGGGAUUCAUGAAACGGAACCAACUGUUCAGCGUGUGGGCAGCAGCAAUGCAGAGUUGCAGACGUUUCAUUUCCUUGCUACCACUACUCUAGAAAUUUACUCCGUAUUUUAACUUGGGAUGGAGGGCAUAUUAUUUUUGACACCGCAGCGUAGCAUCCAGUUGACUUGCCGAUUGGCAGUCCAGAUCACGAGAAACCACCAAAGUACUGUUCGAUGAUUUAUUAUAAGAGAAAAAACACUGCUGAAUUAUUGAAAGAUUCGGCAGAUAAAUUUAAACGAACAAACUCAUUGUUUAUAUAGGAUGGGUACAACAAUUCUAACAGAUUUGAUGUGGCCAAAUUUUAUAAAUUAAAAAUAACAAAAUCAAGAUAUGAUUUGGCCAGAUUAAUCUAUAAAUAUAACAGGUUUUACAUGAUACGACCAAAUCAUAUCUUUGAUUGUUUUCUAACAUGAGAGAUUACAUCCAUCACAUUAGACAGCGUGCGUCAUUUGAAUAUGCAAUAUACUACGCACACCAACCUCGCAACAUCGAAAAACACCGAUUCAAAUUUGGCUGGUGCCGUCGUGCCGACCCUGAUAUGGACGCACUCAAUGCUCGGGCCGUCCGGCACAUCCCCGCCGUUGGUGCGCCCGCCUCCGCAAAUCUUGCGGCGCGGAAACGGGUGCAGGGUGGCACACCAAGAAACUACAACGUGACCGGAACCGGACACGAUAGUCAGAAGAGGCUGGCGAGCCAAAGUCAGAUCGCCGCACCUCGCCCUCGCCCCCCCCCCCCCCCCCCCCCCCCUCUAUAUAAACCGACGACGCGCGUGUGCCGGCCGCUGCAAUCGAUCGAAAUCGGCAACCAAAACACCCAAGUCGAAGAAGCCGGUCGCGUUACGUGGCGCGCUGGUUGCUGCAGCUGCCUGCAGCCGUUUCUGUCUAGCUACUUCGCGACGGGCAACACCGCCAUGAGGCCACGAGCUCUUGCUCUCGUCUCGUUCCUGGCGGCCGCGCUGCUGUGCCUGUGCGCGGCGGCGGUUGUGGCGGCUGCCUCGCCCGUGUCGGUCGCCGGAAAGCUCGCCGUGGAAGGUCAGUGUGCAUCCGGCUUUACCGCACAAUCAACCAGUAGUGUUUAAUUAAAAGGCUUAAUCGUUUGUUUAAUUAAAUCUGUGUGCCGCGGUUGUGCUUGUUGAAGACUUGUUGGAGUACUGGUCGACCUAGUGGAUUUUGGUGUGUGAUUUUUUUUUUCUUUUUCAGGAAUGGGAAUGGCGCUCGAGCAAGGGAUAGACCACUUGCUCGUUCUCGCAGCGGUCUUCGUCAUGUGCCUCUUCCGCUGAUCGUGAACGGUGUCCGGCGCUGAUUGAUUUGACCAGUUCGUGUAUUCUUUGAUUAUGUAGAGAGUUUGCCGGCGCUGUACAAAUGCUAAUAAUAAUGUCGCAAAAUAAGGUGAUCGCCGAAUAUGUGAUCAUCCCUUAAGAUUCAACAAUGGACUUGAAAUAAAACAGUUUACCACAGACGUCGUGCUCGCUGAUCUUUAUACUCUCAUCCACGCCUUCGCACGGUUGCACGAUUGACCUGGAGCAUUCAUUAGUCAUAGCUGGGCUAGGCUCUUAUGGCCUGUAUACCACGCAUGAGAAUGUAUUCGGGCCGAAAAUAUCUGGGCCAAGUAAACACAGUUUCAAUCAGCUUGACUAUCAGCGGCACGUGGGUUGAAGCACAAUUUUUUCUAUCUUUUUAUUUAUUCAUUAUUGAAAAUAAUAAUCAAAAUAAUAAAUUCGGUAACAACAACCGCACGGUACCAUGUCGAGGGUACCGACUACUAAAUUCACGCAACAUGAAGAACUACUCGGCAACAUAAGUAAGGGUCGAGCAUUAACUAGACACCAAAUAAGGUGCACGAAGAAAGCAACCGCCGCCGCCGCCUUGGCUCUCCGCGGUGCCACCGUGGUCUCCUUCUUCUCUCCCAAUUGUUAUUGUGUACGUGGCUCGAGGAGCUAGGACCCGACCUCUUCAUAGAUUUAGGUUUUCUUAGUAUUAGAUUUUUCUAGGGUUUGGUUUCUAGCGAGGUGGUGGCAGCAACGAUGUUUUGGAAUUAGGUCUCUUGCUAUCUCGGUGGCGUUCGAUCUAGCGCCGACGAUGGGCCAAUGAUAGUUUGAUUUGUCGGAUAUGUUUUUUAUUUUUAGAUCUUGGCAGUUAGUGUGUUCAUCAUUGGAACCAAUUGAUUGGUUUUUGAUGUGGCGAUUUUGGCCUCUUCUUUGUUCUACAAUAAGGUCGGACAUCUCUAAAACUUUAUUCUGGCGAUAAAGGAUAAUAAGUCCGUGUUCAUUAGAGGGUUUCUCUAACCAAUGUUCUUUUAGGCCCUAUUCGUUUGUCUCCUUUCUGGACCGUUUUUGGUAAGAACUAAUCCGACGUUGUUUAAACUAUUCAAGGAAACUCGGCUAGGAAUCAUUUCCAACCCCAACCGAAUGAGGCCUUAGUGGAUAUUAGAUCUCGUUGCGAGUGUGAUAGAAUCUAGAUGGCUAGAGUGGGAUGAAUGAUCUAUAAAAUUUUCUUACUAACUCAUAAUUAACUAGAUCAAGUUGAUUAGUACAAGAUAUGACACUAAUAGCAGCUACUUGCUCUAGCUCUAUUUCACACAACGCAAACCUCCUACACAAGUCUAUUAGCUUAGUCUCUAGGUUGAUUUUGCACAAACAAGCAAGCUACUACUACAAGCUAGAGAGCUACAACUAACAAAAGCUACUAACAAGAGCAACUAAAAGCUAUUUACAACUGCAACAAAAGCACGAAAACUACACAUGCUAUGCAAACAACUACCACACUAACAAGGUAGCUAUGAAUGUUAUUCUAAGAAUGAUAUUGAUCAGAUCAACACAAAGCAAAGAGAUGAUCACCAAGAUACAUCCUCGAGGUUUCGGUUGCUUGCCAGCAUCUUACGUCCUUGUUGAGACGAGUCCCACUUGUUUUCACGAGCUAAUUGGCCUCACACCUCAAGGCCUCACACCGGUGCCGCAAGAACCAGACCAUAAGUAAACUCACGGAAGAUGUCGUUAGGAAUAGAAAAUCAAAUGAAAAGAGUAGUAGGACGUAACAUGUUUAUUACCCGGUAACAGACUUUCCAAGCUAUCAGUACUAGGGAUCAUGGAACGGAACCAGUUGUUUCAGCUUGUGGACAGCAGCGAUCUAGAAAUUAAUAUAUUUUGAGAUGGAGGGAAAAUUAUUUUGGCACGGCGCAACUCACGGGGAACCUGUGGCAUGGACGUGCCCCAGCAUGGCAUCCAGUUGACUUUGCCGAUUGGCAGUGCAGCUUGUGAGAAACCAGCAAAGUUUAGGAGGUGUUCACACCUCUCCUAGGAAGCCGCAACUUUGUUUAUAUAGGAUAGAAACGACCCAAUCGUGGCUUAAGCAACAAUCAAGAUAUAUUUGAUUUGGCCAGAUUAUAACAGAUUUGAUACAACACAUUCCAUAUACUCCCCCCAUAUAUCAUUUUUUCCUAAAUAUUUUUAUAAAAAUAAGAAGUAAAAGUUUUGUUUUAGAGAAUGUGUCACUGUCCUAAAUGACAUUAUAUUUUAAUGAAAAUAUUUUUCAAGACAAAUCUAUUUAUAUAUUUUUCACAUUUGCAAACUGAACAAUCUAAAAAUUAUCGGUGAUUUAUAUUUUCAAUGUUUAACUCAAAACAUAUUCAUAACGACAUUUAAAUUCUAUACGAAAGGAGUACAUUGAUACGGCCAAAUCAUAUCUUUGAUGGUUUCCUAACACGAGUGAUUACAUUGAUCAUAUUUCUAACACAGCUCAGACAGCAUGCGUUAUUUCAAUAUACAACGUACUCCAACGUGCCGACCCUGAUGGACACACUCAAAACUCGGGCAGUCCUGUCAGAUUGCCGUCCCUCUACAUAAACCGACGCGCGUGUGCAGGCAGGCCGCUGCAUCGAUCGGCAACCAAAACAUCGAAGAACAUCGCGCGUUUCUGGCUAUAUUUCGCGACGAGCAACACCGCGCGCCAUGAGGCCACAAGCCCUUGCUCUCGUCUCCUUCCUGGCCGCCGCGCUGCUGUGCCUGGGCGCCGCGGCCGCGUCGCCCAUCAUGUCGGUCGCCGGCAAGUUCGCCGUGGAAGGUCAGUGUGCAUCCGCGCGCUUUUACCGUGCAUAUCAAUCAGAAGUGUCUAAAUGACAGGCUUAAUCGUUUGUUUAACCUGUGUGCCGCGGUUAUGCUAGUUGAAGACCUGUUGGAGUACUGAUCGACCUAGUGGAUUUUGGUGUGUGAUGUUUUUUUUUUCUCUCCUUUUUUUUUUCAGGAAUGGGAAUGGCCCUCGACCAAGGGAUAGACCACUUCCUCGUCCUCGCAGCGGUCUUCGUCAUGUGCCUCUUCCGCUGAUUGUCCAGCAACGAACGGUGUCUGCCGCUUAUUGUUGAUUUCAUCAGCUCGUGUAUUCUUUGUUGAUUAUGUAGAGAGAGUUUGCCGGCGCUGUGCAAAUGCUAAUAAUGUCACAAAAUAAGGUGAUCGCCGAAUAUGUGAUCAUCCCUUGGCAUUCCACAAUCAAGGACUUUAAAACUACUUAUCACACACGUCGUGCUCGAUCUAGCCAUUCCCGUGUUUUCCCCCCAGCUCUUAGCAAUUUCUGUGCAAACUGCAAAGUGCAUAUUAGUAUAUAAUAGUACUAGUCGGCCAUCCGCGCUUCGCUGCGGUACUUUGAUAGAUAGUCACAGGGGUGUCAUAGGGAUGAGUACUGAAGAAAAUGGUAGGGAUAUUUUCCGACCAUAUUCGAGAUCAAGUUCGUUUAGAGGGGUUCAGAUGUGUCCGUAUUCGAGUCCGAAUAUUCAACAUUCGAUACCGUAUCCGUAUCCGAAUACUUAAAUCGUAUAUUUAUGAUGUCGACAUCCAAUUGUAUCUUAUCCGACAUGAUUGACAUUAUCCGUAUUCGAAUCCGAAUCCGACCAUAAAUAUGAACAAAUUUGAUAUUAGUGAUAUCCGUCCAUAUCCGAUCCAUUUUCAUCCCUAAUCUUGAGUAAGGGAACACAAAACGACAAAAUCAUAGACUUCUCGCGACUGAAAGUAUUGUUUGCUGAUUUAUUAUAAGAAAAAAAUACUAUUGAAUGGCUAGCAGAUUCAAUAAAUAAGCUCAAGCGAAAAUACUCAUAGACACGACAUCUCCUAUGUAAAGUUCUCCAUUCAAAAUAUUUAGCAAAAGACAUGACAUCUCCUAUGUAUUGUCUCUAGUAUGCCAUUUACUCUGGAGUCUUAGGCAUCCCAUAACAUUAUUAAUUUAGCAGAUAACCUAGGUUCCCAGGAUUGUAGUCGAGAAAAAAAUCGAGAAGGACGAAUCGAAAACAAAUAGGAAAGAAAAGGACAAAAAUGCUAGAGUGUAACAGUAGCUGAGGUGUCGUGGUCCUCUUGAUUGUGUGUAGCUGUAUAAGGGAAGCAGAUGCCAUAGUGGAAGUUGUGGGAGAGGAGAGGAAAGGGAGAGAGAGGAACUGGAGUUUCUGGAAGCAUGGAUACGUGUAUAGUCGAAGAUGAGGCUAUAGAUCGGAGAGUGCUGGUAGCUGCACCGUUCUUGGAAUAGUGUUUUGUGAGGGGCGACUAUUCAUCUACAAUGUUAUGUGAGGGGACAUCAGGUAUACAAGAUUAAGAGUAUAUGUUAGAUUCAGUGGGCUUUAUACUCUCUUGAAUGCCUCGCACCGUUGCACGAUUAACUUGGAGCAUUCAUAGUCAUAGCUAGGCUAGACUCUUGUGGCCUGUACCUCGUAUGUGAAAGUAUUUGGCCCAAGGCCCUCUAAGAAAAGAAAAUAUCUAGGCCAGACAAACACUAUUUCAACCAGCCCAACAAUCAGCAGCACGUGGAUUAAAGCACAUUUUUUCUAUGUUUAUUUAUUUAUUUAUUUAUUUAUUAACAACCACUCGUCACCCUUGCUAGGGCCAAGUGGCGACUACUGAGUUCAUGCCUGAUAAAGAACUACUCGACACAUAAGGCCUUACUAUUUGACUAUGCACCAAACAAGUGUCACACCCUGGCUUUUAAAAUAAGACCAGAGUCGUCAUAUGUGUGCCCAAGAAGUCCACACAUAACAGUGGCUCAACACUUAACAGUGGCUCUAGGGAGAUUGCUUUCCUUUUCUUGUUACCUUCAGUUUGUUGAUCCUAGGGUACCUCUACCUUUCCUUCGCUUGACUUGUUCUCAAUACAAGGCAAACCAUAAUGUCUACAACAGUGACACGGCUCUUGAAUCCCAAGUGCCUCAUUAAUACCAUAUUUCAUAGCUUUCAUGUUCCUCCAGGCUUCUAUUACUUGUCUCUUCAUUGCUCCUUCCUGAGUUUUGGUCAUGGUCUUCUCUGAAGGUAGCUGAGAAUCUUUCUGUGGUUCUACUCCACUUAGUACUUGAUCCUGUGUAAACAAGGGCUUCUCCUUGUUUACUGGGGACAAGGGUAGCAUAGUUGGGUCUUCCUGACAUUUGAUGUAAGUUUCUUCAAUGUCACCUUGGAGAACUAAGGCUUGUACUGUCAAAGAUUUUGGAGUCUAGCCAUCUGAUUAGCUGCCAUUUCUAGGAUUUGGGAUUGCCAAGCUAUCAUCUCUUCACUGCUCAAUUGUGUUGCAGAAGUCAUUUGUUGAUUCUGAUGACGGGUAUUAAUUCCUUUGACGUCAUCACUGGUGUCGACCAUCUGACAUUGGGCAAUAGUAAAAUGAGCUAGAGUAGUAUGGACAAAGAGUAGGAUAUGGAGUGAGAGAAAAUAGGUGGAGAGGAUCAAAAUUGACAAUAGAUGGAUAGGAUAAGAGAGAUCACUACCCCACUUAGCAAAGAUCGAGCUAACCCUCAAACAACUUCUUCUAGGCCUCCUUCAAAACACUAGAACAAAGACACCACACAAACAACAAACCAAGCAAAACAAGCACGCAUCACAUCAACGAUACUACACGUGCUUCUUCAACAGUGGUGGUCAUCGUAAAAGGUAAGUCUGAGAUGAUAAAGGGCUAUCAAAUUUAGAAAUAAAGCAAGUUUUGAAAACUUAAGUAAACAACUAAACAAAAACCAAUAAGAUAAAUAGAAAUAGCUCAAAGGCUAUUCAAGGAGGGGAUACAAAAUGACAAGGGGGAGGAAAAAGUCAGAAUCAAGGGUCAAGGUAUAAGAAAAUAGUUUUAUAGCAAAAUAAGCUUUAGAAAUCGACCAGUGCUAUCUAGGCAUACGUCAUACAGUCAACAUUGCUUUGAUACCAUUCCUGUCACACCCUGGCUUUUAAAAUAAGACCAGAGUCGUCAUAUGUGUGCCCAGGAAGUCCACACAUAUAACAAAAGAAUAGAAUUAUCAGAAUCAAUGUUAUAUAUAGCGGAAAACAUAUUUAUAAUAACACUUACAAAACAUCAGAGUACGCGGAAACAGUAGCUAGAACUUCUUAGGCUCCAUUCUUCUCAGGGACAGUUGACUGGGGGCUCCGUACGCCAAGCACUUCUCAUAAGCUUUUAGAAAACUCCAUGACAUAUUUAUCCUUCUUCUGAGCAGCACUUUACUACACACUAGGGGUGUGGGGGAAAAUAGCAAGGGUGAGUUCAUGUCGAACUCAGCAAGCACAGACGGAAAGUAAUGACAUGCAAGGCUUAAAACAAGGUAAAGCUGACUUGGUUUGACUGCAGUAGCAUUUUAGUUGAUCACUUUUAAUUAUGACUAUUAUUAGAACAACCUAUUACUAAUUAUGAGUAGCAUAAACCCAACCCUUAAUUAGUGUAAGUAGUAAUUAGCAUCUUUUUAAAUGACUAUCCUAAUAUUUAUAGUAGUCCAGGGAUUAACCCCAAUUAUUAACACAGGAUAGCAAUCCUGCCAACACGGAAUAGCCAUUCCGCCAAAACACGAGGUAGCAACCUCGCCAAGUUCCAUCUUCGAGUAACCAGUGAAUCGAAUUUGCUCAUCAAGUGAGGGUCUGGGCCGCUCGUGACCGUGAGCACGACUGAUAUAUCAGUUUUACACUCUGCAGAGGUGUGCACGUUCACUCCAAGUCGUGAUUUCCAUUUGCCCGGGGUCAUGACUCCCCAAAACACUGCCAAGGUGAGCAGGCAGGGUCUCACUACGAGACCUUUCACAGGGUUCAACUAAUAGGAUGCCACUCGUAAGUUUUCGCCGGGGCGCUCGACAGUCGAUACCCAUAGCCAUGGCGUACCGAGCAGCCGCUAACUUAAUAUUCAUUACCCAAGUUACUUCCUCACGCCUACCCGGAAAGUAACACCCUACUAGUGGAGGUCCUGCUAAUUAGUCAAGCCAGAGCCAUAUAGCUUGGAGCUGCACUGUAAGUCCCAGAGGGCCGCUCCCUGACUAAGUCCUUACGGAGAGCAGAGACGGGUACGCCCGGCAAACCGGACCACCAACAGUACCCGCUCCCCCUGUCACCACCAUCAUCACGAUGCUCGUAAGCAUCCAACAUCGCCAUCACCGCAGUGACCAAAGGUUCAGCACAGUUUAAGCAUCAAGUUAAGUAGAGAGUAAUUCUUGUUUAAGCAUGUGUAUAAGAUGAGUAGAGCAACUAAGCAAACCUAAUAUAGCCUAGACUACCCAUAUACAUAACCCCAGGUGAACAAGGAAUGGUAAGUAAAACUAGUCAUGUCCUUAGGGUUUGCAUUCAUUGGACACAUGCAUGUAAAGUAAAUGACAUUAAUGAGUAGGUUCAAAAUGAUCAAACGGUGUCUGCACUUGCCUUAAUUUCCAGUGUAUAUCUACUCAGAAUUCUUUAGCUUCUUCCUUCUUAUCUCGAACUUCCGCUUCGAUCGUCGGUCCUUAGCUCCUGGUCUUCAUUGUUGACGAACCAUGCUUCUUCUACUCGAAGCAAACAAGCAACACAAACAGACAAACAACAAUCACAACUAAGAACAAGCAUCAAUCAAAAGAAAAGCUUAGAAAGAGCGCACUAAACGACACGGCUUGUUGUUACGAUCGAGACAACGCGAGACCGAUUGAGAACGGAGCUAUCGUUAAAUGGACACGACUUUCGAGGUUCGAAGUGUAACGAAGAAGGCGACUAUUGAGGCAUACAACUUAACGAAGAAGACAAACUACACGCUCGUUGUAUUUUAUUUGAUGAAAAGAGAUGGUGGAUACAUAGUUGAGUAACCACUUUAUAAAGAAUGGUAAAAUUCAUGAUUAAAUUUUAGUCAUAAAACAUUUAACAUUAUUUAUAUCACUUUAUUAUUUAUAGUUAGAAAAUAAGGAAUUGGUAACAUAAGUUAAACAAGGCAUUUAUGGACUAAGAUUAGAUUAAGUAGAUCACAACUAAAAAGGCAUUUAUGUUGGUAUUAAUAACAUUAAUAUUUGUUUAUGAAAAACCAAAGUUAUAAACAUAAAUUGUUUUUAUAGAUUAAAAGGGCAUUUAGUUAGACAUUAAUCAUUUUAUAUUCAUGGUGAAGAAUGUAAAGUACCAAACAUGGAAAAAAGUCAUGGCUAACGCGUAGUUUACGUCGAUACAAAACUAACGCGACAAGAACGGGCUCAAUCGGAAUUAAAACGCGGAUUCUAUGGCCAAAACUAGGUUAGUGGCAAAACUGUGAUAAAGCAGAACUAUUUUUCGUAUUUUAAAUAAUUAAUAACUGAAUUUUAAAGGAAUUUUGGACUAAAUAAAUAAAUACUAACGACGCCAGGGUUCCAACUGUUAAAAACAGGGCCUAAACCUAAUUAGUUUUGAACGGUUGUGGACUGCGGGUCUAUUUCCAAAAUCUGCAGGGUCUUUUUGCAAAAAAGCCAAGGUCAACGUGGGCGGUCGGCUUGACUGGCCACGUGGCGCUGCGGCACUGGUUGGGUCCACGGCGCGUGCUGUGGACCGAGGUGGGGGCGCUGGGUCCACCGGUCCACCGUGGACCGGGGGGGCUGGGCGGGAUCGCGCGCGACAGCGGCGUGGUCCGCGGCGGCGGCGCCAUGGCCGCGGUGCCCUGGCUCGCCGUGGCGGCGCUACGGGGCUCGGGGAAUCGCGCAGAGGGCACCGGCGUGAUGCGCACGUCGAGGCGAUCUCGAUGCGCGUGUUGGCUACGUGAGAGAGAAGCCGGGGAGGACGGGCCGCGGGGAGGGGCGGUUCGGCGGCGGCGGUGGAACUACGGCGAGCUCGUUCGCGCGGCAGAGAGGGGGAGGGAGGGAGAGAAAGGCACCGGCGCGAUCCUCACCUCGUUGCGAAGCUCGGCAAGUGUUCUCGUUGUCGCGGACCCGCGGACUCGUGAGAACGACGGUGGCGCGGAGCUCCACUCGACGGCGGCUGCAAUGGCGGCGGCGCGGCGUGGCUAGGGCUCGGGAGAUGCAGCUAGGGUUCCCAAAGGGGCGCGGGGUGCAGCCGAUGGUCUUUAAAUAGGCUAGGGCGGCUCGGCGAUCCUCGCAACGCGCGCAGCGCAGACGUCGGAGCCGGUGGUUGCGGCUGUUUCCGAAACAGUCGGGGGUUAGGGAUGACAGGUGGGUCCCACUCGCGGGGCCCACCUGUCAGCGGGCGGGUGCGGGGUAUCGGAGGCAGGCGCGUGGGGGCUGGGCCGCGGCCUGGCUGGUGCGCGGGCGAGCUGGCGGCACACGCGGCAAGAGAGAGGGGGGGGGAAAGGAGUUGGGCCGGGGAAGAAGGGGACGGCCCAGAGAGAAAGAAAACCCUUUUUUUUUAUAUAAACAUGAUUUCUAAACUAUUUUACUAAACCAAAUUUCAAAACCCUUUUUGAAUUCCUAAUUUGAGAUUAUUUAGGAGCUUGUUUUCCUUACUACUUUUGGAAACAAAGCAUAUCUUGUUAAAAACUCAUUUUUAAAUUAUUUUUCAACUCAAUUAUAAAUUAGUUUUCAAAUAUGACUUUUGGAGUUUUAUUUUUUCGAAAACCGGACCUAAACGUGCUCGCUAGAAAUUUUGAAAUUCAUUUUUCUGAGACAAGCUAAACAAGGCUAGGGCACAAAGCACACAACAUCAAAAAAAACACUCAUCACUUAACUUUAUGAAAGUUUAAAAUUUCACAUUUUUUUCUCAUUUUAUAAUAACAAUAAUUAAUAAAAAAUCUUGUAAUAUUUUAGAAAAAUUUUAAAUCCUUAUUUAAUUUAUUGUUUUCUAAUAACAAUCCAAAAUUAAAAAUUUUGAAGUGUUAUAACAAGGCGCAUGAAAAAAAAAAGCACCCGCCACCGUCUUGGCUCUCCACCGUGCCCUAGCUCGGUGCCCUUCCUCUCUUAUAACCACGAGCCGUCAAUGGCUAGAGGAGCGGAGACGCGAUCUCUUUAUAGACUUAGGUUUUGUUUGUAUUAUUUUUUUCAAGGUUUGGUUACUAGUGUCAUCAAUGAGGUGGUGGUUUGGUAUAACGUCUCUCUAGUUGUCUCUCCCUACCUCGAUGAUCGACGUUUGAUCUAGCGUUGACGAUACACCUUCUCUUAAGUUCUUGUCAGUUGAUGUGUUCAUCAUUGGAAGCAAUUGGUUGGUUUUCGAUGCAGUGAUUUCGACCUCUUCUUUAGACCUGUUCUACAACAAUCUCCAAAACUCUGUUCUGACAAUGAAGAAUAAUAAAUCUACGUCCCUUGGAGAGUUCUUUUAGCCGAUGUUCUUUUAGUGGAUAUUAGAUCUCGUUGCUAGUAGCAAGUAGCGGUCUUCGAACUCUUGUUUGGCAUAAGUCUUUUAGGAGUCUUUUUUCUCCCCUGUCCAUGGCGAACGCAGAUGUGCCCACCUUGGCCUCACGAUGCCAUGAAGAUGCUAGCAAGGACAAGCACCAGUUAAGGGUGGGAUGCUAUCGGCGAUGUUCUGUCGUUUGCAGUGGCGCCACCGAGACUCGCCCCUGAACAGACCUUCCUCAGGACAUGUCUGCAUCACGGUUAGACUCACCUUGGCGCGACGACAGCCUUGGCCUCAACGGCGAGCAUGAAUGGCUAGCGUGAGUGGCGACGGCCUUGGCCUCACGUGCCCGAGUGACGGUGCAGGAGGUGGUGCAGGCACGCGUGAGAACAGAUGCGGUGGUGAUGAAUGGGUGAGAGACGGAAGGUGAGAACGACGAAAAUGCCUCGGAAGUAACCAAAGGCAACCUCUUUGCACUCGGUCGAGAUGGCUUGUGAGAAAACCAACUCUACUUUCAAUUCUAUGUGGCCUGACCCAAUAUGCUUUAGAUCCCAUGCGGGGUAGACCCCAAAGGUGGAUUAGAUGCACAUGAGGAUGUUUGGUUAAUGGUCAUAGUCUACCACAACUAACUUUAGGCAAUCCACAAAAAAUGUGGCUAGUAAAUUGUUUGCCACAUUUUGCUAUGUCUAAAUGAAUUUUGUCACAUUUUUUAACUCUAUGACAUAUAGAGCUCAAAAGAAUCAUGUCUAAACUUAGUUGUCAACCAAGCACUUGCUAACUUGAUUAAACUUGUCUAAGUUAAAGUGUGGCUAACUGUAACUAGCAACCAAACAACCCCUAAACAAUAGAGUUAUAACCCAGGAGUGCAAGAUGGAGGGAGUACAUACAUGCCAGUGCAGCCCGCAGGGCGUUCAUGAAUCAUGACUAGAACACGGCGAUAAUGUUUGUUUGUAACAAUAAUUUAGCUAUUUUAGCGAUCCUAAUCGUAUCGUUAGAGCAACUCCAGCCCAUCUCCUAAACAAGUCCCUAUUCUAAAUCUAGAGGGACUUGAUCAAAAAAAUCAACUCCAACCCACCUCCUACUUGGGCUCCCAUUUUCCAUACCCUUCCAAAUUAUAGUUUCAGCCCCUCACAUCUAGAACCCCCUAUCCAAUGGAUCCCACCCAUUUUCCUCUCCUUACCUAUAAAUUAAGACAAGAAUAUGUGAAAUAAGGACUUAGUCUGUUUUUUUUUUCAUUGGAGUUGGGUCUUAAUUUGAGUCCCUACUUUUUUUAUCAUAGCUUGUAAAUAAAAGUUUUAAAGACUUAAUUUAGAGACUUGGGCUGGAGUUGCUCUUAGCCGAGGUGAGCAGCAGCAGCCACCUCUAGCUCUGCGUUAAACCCCCCUCGUGCGGUAAGAACUACUUCCUCGGUUCCAAAUUAUAGUUUAUUCUAAAAAUUUUGAAGAGUCAAAAUAUCUAAGUUGACUAAAUUUAUAUAAUAAAAUAAUAGUAUUUAUGCUACCAACUAAAUAUCAUUAGGUUUUUUAUUAAAUAUAUUUUUAUAAUAUAUCUACUUGAUCUUGUAAAUCUUUAUAUUUUUUUUAAUAAUUUUGAUCAAACUUAACAUAUUUUGACUCUUCAAGAUUUUUGUAAUGCCUUGAAAUUUAGGAUGGAGAAAGUAGUAUGUUUAGGAAUACUUCUGUUUCUUGAGAAGUUCGGGUGUCUUCUCGAGGAGCGAAAGAACUAUAGUAGAUUCUUCGAUCUCGACUUAUCUCUAGUGACUCUCUAAAGCAAGCAUGCAUUAGAAUUUAGAACUCGCUAGUCAGUCAAGCCUAGAACGAGACAAGUUAUCUGGAUAAACCGCCUACGGCUUGCCUUUAACUCGCCUGGACGCAAUCAUUGUUACAAACAAACAUUAUCGCCGUGUUCUAGUCAGACCAUGAUCUGCGCCGUCGCUAAAAUAGCUGAAUUAUUUCGACGACAUACAGAAAUGCGGCACUGUUCCCUUCCAUUGCUUUCGUUUCGUGCAUCCAUCGCUGAUCGCCCAAUAAUACUAGUGGCUAGCUACUACUAUAAACACUCUACCGAUUCAUGUCGUUCGGUGUGGUUUUCUCUCCUUCUACCUGUGCCGAUCUCAGAGGUCACAGCUAGCAGGGCAAGCUAGCUUUUGCUGCCAAAGGAGUUGCCAGCAGCAGGCAGAAUGGCAAGAAGAAGAGCAGGGCCAGAGACAGGAAGCUGGACACUGUCGAGCAACCUUCUCCCGGCGCUCGGCGAGGUCUCCUCACCUUCCGUCGGGAACAACACCAUCAACCCUUGCGACUGCCGUUACAGGUGUGGUCGACAGUUGCUGCGCAUGCGCAUGCACAUGACAUGGCAGCUGUGCUGUGCAUGCAUAUAUAUACCGGACGGACACGCCAUACAUAUAUAUACAUUAUCAUCAUGCGUAGUAAUCUGAUGCCUGCCAGGGUGUAUAUAUGUAUCGAUCAUCAGGUGGUGGCAGGCGUCCCUGAUCGUGCUGGUGCUGUACUCAGCGUGGUCGUCGCCGUUCGAGCUGGCUCUCGAGAAGGCCGCCACCACGCCGCUUCUCGUCGUGGACCUGAUCGUCGACGUGUUCUUCGCCGUCGACAUCGCCGUCUCCUUCUUCGUCGCAUACUUCCACAGAUCCGUCAAUCUCUUCGUCGACGACCGCAGGAAGAUCGCGACCAGGUAGUAUUAAUUAGUAUUACCUAGUCAAUUAACUGAUCGACCAUCAAUCUUAAUAUCUUAUGCACUUACAAACUGUACGCCAAAUAAAAAAAAAAACACGCAUGCGUACGUGCACGGUGCCCUCAUUUCUCACCAGGUACCUCACACGGCCAUCGUUCGCAAUGGACGUGGCCUCGACGAUCCCGUUCCACGUAAUCUACCGGCUGGUGAGCGGCAGGAGCACUGGAUUCAGAUACCUCAAUCUUCUCCGGCUGUGGAGACUACAGCGCGUCAGUAAGCUCUUUGCGAGGUACCUACGCCAUGCUGAUCUCUUCUCCAUGCAUAUGCCUUUGUGCAGUAUAAAUCUACAUGUCUAUCUCUUCCUAUAUAUGUAUUCCUGCAGGUUGGAGAAGGACAUACGGUUGGACUAUUUCUACACCAGGCUCAUCAAACUCUGCGGCGUGACGUUGCUGGCGGUGCACUCGUCGGCGUGCAUCUUCCUGUGGAUGGCGUUCCACCACCACGGGCACGGGGACGAGGACGAGGACUCGGCAGCGCACACCUGGCUCGGCAGCCAGGUGCGCGACUUCCGGGGCCGCAGCGUCUGGGUCAGCUACACGUACGCGGUGUACUGGUCCACCGCCACGCUCGCCACCGUCGGGUACGGCGACGUGCACGCCGUGAACCCCGGCGAGAUGGUGUUCGCCACCUGCUACAUGCUCUUCAACAUCGGCCUCACCUCAUACAUCAUCGGCAACAUGACCAGCCUCGUCGUCCACGCCGCCACCAACACCUUCGAGAUGAGGGACGUGGUGCGGCGCGUCUCGGCGUUCGUGAGCGCGAACCGGCUGCCGCCGGAGCUGAGAGCGCAGAUGAUGGCGAGCGCGCAGCUCAGGUUCAGCACCGGGGAGGUGAUCCAGCAGCAGCUGCUGUCCGACCUGCCCGCGGCGCUCAGGUCCCGGGUCGCGCACCACCUCUUCAGGGACUCGGUCCAGCGCUGCUACCUGUUUCAGGGAGUCUCCAACGACCUCGUCCUGCAGCUGGUACAUAGCAUUCGCACGCACUCGAUCUGAUCCAUGGCUCCAGUGACCUGACCACCGUGCUCUGCCUCUGACUGAGCCAGUGGCCGUGUACUACUGACUGGCCCAAAUGAAACAAUCACGGGAUGCAUGCAGGUUUCAGAGAUGAGGGCAGAGUAUUUCCCUCCAAACGCUGACAUUGUCCUCCAGAAGGUGACCUCGACAGACUGCUACAUCAUCGUGUCCGGCGCAGUGGUAAGCACACAGUAUUUCAAUUUUCACACGUACUGUACGACUCUGUCUGUAACCUUAUCCCGUUCCUUCUGCUUGCUUACAACAGGACGUGUUAGCGACUGCUGCUGACGGAACAGAGAAGGCAAGCCAUUCAAUCGCUGAACGUCAUGAGUGAUAUCGAGUGUCAAUUUCUUUCCUUUCUCUGCUCUCAGUAACGUGAACUCAGUCACGAAACUGCAGUCGCUUUCUUGAUUCUUGUUGUGCCAGCGAGAGCUUUUGAUCACUCAGCUGUGGUGUGGUGCCCUCUUUCAGCUGGUGAUGAAGAUGGGGGCACACGGCAUGGCAGGGGAAAUGGGCGUCAUUUUGGGCGUCCCGCAGCCGUUCACCGUCCGUAGCAGCAGGCUCACGCAGGCCGUGUGCAUCAGCCACACCCGUCUUCUGCAGAUCCUCCGUUCCAACACUGCAGAUGCCAACACCGUUUACGCCAAUUUUGUUCAGCACCUCAAGUCUCUCAAGGAAGAAGUUGCAGCGGAUGCGCAGCUUUUCGAGGAAAUCCUUUCCAAAACAAGCAUGGUAACUACCGUGGGGGCAAAAAAAAAAAGUCGAAACUUGCACUGUGUGAACUCUGAAACUUGGUGUGUAACAGUUGUCUUGUUUGCCCAGGAUGAGCUUCAGAUCGGGGCCAUUUUUCAGAAGCAGCAUCAGAACGGUGAUAGCGGCGCCAGGAUGGUUCCAAGCCAGAAUCAGAAUCCCAGCUUUGGCACCGAGCAACACGAAGAGACCGCUCCCUGCAUGUCGCCGCGUCGACACCGCGGACUACGAGUGGUCAUUCAUGAUAGCUUCCCCAGCGAUGGCGCCGAGAAGCAUCGGAGCCGUGCAGCGGGGAAGCUCGUGCUCCUUCCGGAUUCGCUGCAAGAGCUGAUGAAAGUCGCCGAGGCGAAGUUCGGGAAGGCGGCGAGGCGGGUGCUCACCGUCGACGGCGCCGAGGUCGACGACGUUGCCGUGCUAAGGGACGGAGACCACCUGGUGUUGUCGUGGUAGGACUGACCACUUGCAUCUUGCAAGUAGUACAAGCACGUUUCACCUCUCCCCCUAUUCUCGAAAUUUUACGAAAGAGAAAGGGUGACAAUGAAGUUGAGAAAGGGUGAAACGAAAUUUGGGAGAGUUUCGUGACUGUCACAUCGUGUAAAAGAAAUGAAAUAAAACAAGUAAGGAUGAACCAUCCAUCUUAAAUGUAUAGUUUCAUUUUGUAGUUUUAUAGGCAUUUAAUUUUAUUCAUAAGAGUUGAUAAUCCCACCAAAAAAAGUUUCUAGAUAAAACUCACUUUUCUCUCUUUUUUACCAACAUUGUCAUGUCAUCAAAAACACUUAUAUAGCAGCCUAUUAAAUACAAAUAAAAUUUACAUAAAACUCUUACUAAAACGGACCUAAAUAAAUGCUAAUCUCACGCUUCAAGAAAUCAAUCAAUCUUUGAUCAAAUAUAUAUUUUCGAUUAAUCACAUCAUAUAUUUUCGAUUUAUUAGAUUAAUCACAUCAUAUAUUUCCAAGUAUUCAGAAACACAAAUGUUAAUACUAUUUUCUAUUUCUAUAAAUUUAGUCAAAAUUGAAAAUAUGCAAACAUUUGUCUUUGACAUAUGAACUACUCCCUCAUUCAGGGAGUAGUUCCUAAUCACGGUGUGAGAAAAAGGUCUUCACCAAAAGAGCAUGCAACCGUUGGGGAAGUCUCAGUUCCAAAAAAAAAAAGAGAAGUAAAUAGCCAGGAAAUCUCAGUUCCAAAAAAUAGAAGUAAAAUGCAGCAGUUAUAACCAAGUACAGUGAACAUUUUACUAUCUUGAAAUCACAUGUCAGUAAGCAAAUAACCAUAUACAGUAACUAAAAGAGCAAUAAUGUUUUGCUUAGCAUUGCUGAAAAAAAAGAAACACAUCAGAAUUAUACAACAAUCUGCGCUGCACAUAUGAGAAUUAUACAACAAUCUGCGCUGGUUGUUGCAGAUAUAUUCCCUGCUAAUUCCUUUCUCUUGGGAUUUGGGUACUCACAAUCCUAAUAUCUGCACCUACAGAGUUAAUCAUAACCACCUGUCUAACAUGUGGCUUCAUCUAUCGACAUGAAAACCCCAAUUUUGUUCCUGAAACAACAAAUACAAGUCAUCAGUCAUGUCCCAACUUGCAACAUGAAAUUUACAAGACAACAAAAUAGGCACACAUUCCAGGGAACUAACUACUUGGACAACCACAGGUUAAAAAAUAUUCGAGGUCCUAACAAAAAGAAUGUGGAUGUGGAUUUUCAUGACAAUAUUUUCUAGCAUCUAUACAACAUAAAAGACCACAGAGAAGUUAUUGGACUGUGAUUUCAAACCGCAAGCAAUCCAUGAACCAUUUGAUGAAAAUCCACAGUUUACAUCUCCCAUCAUCUCAUAGAUGCAAACAUAAUCGAACCCAGGAAAAGCCAAAGGGCAGUAGCCAACUCAACUAGUUAUAUGUCAACCACGUAGAACAGAUAUUUCGUCUUACAGAUAAGGAAAAAGUAAGAAGCAACUACCAUAAAAAGUCACGACUCACAAGUGUUUGCCAACUUGAACUAUAAAGCUUGAUACAGAACAGAUAAUGUUUGGGAGACACCCAUGAAGAUGUGCAUUCAAGAGGAUGUCUCAGCCAUGCCCUUACGAAAUAACCAAAUUUUAAACAAUACAGGAAACUUGUGUCCUAGUUUUGAACCAAACAGGCCAAGAGUACAAAGGAUUCAUGAACACAACCCAUUUUUAACAGCAGGCAAAAUAUUUUAACAAGUUUAAGGUAGCAAAAUAUAUCAACCGAAAGCCGAAUUACUAAGCAAAACUUUGUUUCAGCAUAAUUGACAGCCCAGUCACUGCACAAAAUAGAGAAUGAGGCUCCUCUGCACUCAGAAACAUUUCUGAUUCUCAACAUAAGUUCAAGCAGACAUUUCCAAUCUUUUGCAUUAUAUCACAGCAGCUUAUGACUACAUUGAAACUGAUCUCUCUUUUUUUGUGACCUUGAAACUUAUCUCUUUGCUCCAAAUUAUAGGUCAUUUUAUCUUUGUCAUAAGUCAAACUUCUCCAAUUUUGACCAAGUUUUAGAAAAAUAUUUCUAACAUCUACAGGAUCAAAUAAAUGCACUAUCAAGACAUUUCAGGGAGAAUUUAAUGUAACUGCAUUGGUGUCUAGAUGUUGAUGCAUUUUUCUAUAAACUUGGUCAAGUUUAGAUAGUUUAGGAGCAAGCUAAAGUGACUUAUAAAUUGGAACAGAGGGAGUAGCACCCAUCCCUCUUUCCACCACAAAUACUUAAAACAGACAUCAAUAAAAAAAAAGGCAACCAGUGUCAUGCCAAAUGAAACUCACAGAUAUGACAGCUUGGAUAGUACAGAUGAUGACAUUUCAACUUGUAAUCUUUUGAGAAGGUAAGUAAAUUAUACAUGAACUUGAUUUGACCAAAGAAAUCACAUAUUCCAGUAGACUUGAGAACUUUCAGAUUCAAGUGUAACAAGCUUGUAAUACAGGACCCAUGGUUGUUCUAGCACGUAACUGAACCAUAUUGAACCUAUCAAUCAAAGCAUCAACACAAGUUCAAGUGGCACAACAAUAUCUUUGAGGGCAGAAUUUGAAUACUUCAGCAAAAAAAAUGCAUGAUCAUAGAUACUUAAGUAAUAACAAUACGGAUCUAAUUUAGCAUAUGUUGCCAUCAAGUGGCACACGAUCUCAAUCUCAUAAAAAGCUAAUCAUAGAUUUAAGAGACUAAUUGACAAUCAUUUGAAAUUUGAAGAAUUCUAGUUGUGUGUUCUAUUAAUUUCCAUGGCAAUUCUAACAUCUACAGUCUCCCUUCUGAGAGAAUUUAAACACAAAGGUUCUGUUUGGUUGAAGCACUGUCAAUGGAAAGGUAAAGGGAACGGUCAUGUCCGUAUAAAAACUCGACCUGCGGGGGGUAAGACAGCCCCCGGGCAUUGCAUUAAGAAGAAGACCUUCUCACGCAGGUCAAGAAAACCCCCAAACCCCUGCCCCACCCAUACACAGCGGCACCGUAGCCCAUGUGAGAACGACCAACGACCGGGACCGGGCCUUAGACCUGUGCUUUGGCAUGGGACAGACGAGGGGAUUUUUUUAAUCUUAGCCUGAAAAUUCGCUCCCACGGGGAGUCGAACCCAGGACCUAAGGAGUGCUGCCGGGUUCCUAUAAACAACUGGACUAGAGGCCCUUUGGCCGGUCACGUCCGUAUCGGGAAUGGAUAUCGCUACUAGCCUGAUUUGUUUGGUUCAGCCGAUAGGGAGGGGUAUAUCUGGCCGGAACCUAUAACGCUCGAUCAUGGGCGGGAAUGAUCUUAAAUAGUGUGGCAUCUGAUACCGCCGUAAGCUGAUUACAGCUACUUAAAACCAAACACGAAAUAACGGCAUCGGAAGAUGUUGCGUACUAUCUACAGUGCAAAAAGGAGUAACAAAACACCACCAAAAUACAAUGUAAAAAAAUGUGAGUCCCAACAUUACUCUAAAUGGCGAGUUAUCAAGGUUCAAGGGUGCUGCAUGAUGACUUUGUAAGCAGACAUGGGAUGAUGGGAGUACAGAUAUAAGGGCCGAAAUCCAUCCCAAAUUGCCCUUCCAGACACAAAAAAGGAUGACGUAGCUUUACUUUAGUCGAAUUAACAUUCCAGACACAUAAAAGGAUGGUUCGGUUUUAGUUUACUCAGGCAUCAAAAUGUAAUGAUAAAACAUAAAGGUUACAAUAAAAAUGACCUGGCACUUUAUUUACCAAAAUAUUGCAUUUAGCAUAAGCUGCUGAGAUAAGUGAACCAACCUCAUUCUGAAAGCCUCUAGGUUGAAUGCUAAGGAGAAGCAUCCAUGGCACCAUUGUUUUGCUCAGCGCCAUCAUCCUCCAAUCUCUUAUCAUCACCAACAUCCCCAUCUUCGUCCGAAUCACCCUCAUCCCCAUCCUCAUUACUGAGACGAGCAAUCUCCACUUGCGCCUUCUCCAAAAUCUCCCUCCACUUUGCAUCAAGGUCCCUAUGCAAAUCCCUCCUCAUUUGCUCCACCUCCAACAUUUGCUGCCUCUUGCUACGCUCCAUCCUCGCAAAAACCUCCUCAAACUUCUGAAUUGACUCUGUGAGAGCCACGAACCCAUUCCGAUUCAAUUCAACAGCAUUAUUUUUCUGCGGUUCACGUUCACCCAAUUCCGCACCAGACCCUGAAACCCUGGGACCUACGACGUCCCCGCCACCACCAAGAAGACGCUCAGGAGCUUUCAUCCCCCACUGAAAGCACCGCGAUGGCUGCCUAUCACGGCGGCGCUUUGCGGCCAGAGGCAACAACUGGAGAGGCAGUUGCGGCGGAGGCGGAGGCGGGGCCGGGAGCGGCAGCGGCAGUGGGGACGGGCACAGAAUUGACACCAUCUUGUCGUAGUAGACCCAUUUGGAUGGGGAGAGUCCGGAACGGCGAUUGGCAAGACGCGCUCUCUCCCUCUCCUUCUUAAACUUCUUCCUAAGCGUGUCCACUCGGUUGCGGCACUGCGAAUCGGAGAAGUACCCCGCGGGACGGUCCGCGGCGGCGCACACGCGGCGAGCGACCUCGAGCCACUCGUCGGCGCGGAUGAUGCUACGCCCCGCGCGGACGAAGCUGUCGCCCCAGGCGUCGAGGAGGGCGAAGGUGGAGCGCUCCGUCCACUUGGGCCCCGAGCGCUUGGGCUUGUCGGAGAGCGGAUCCUCAGGGAGCUCGUAGGGCGCGAGUCGCGGGGCGAACUCGAAACCGAGAGCGUACCGGUCGGUGCGGCGGCGCUUGGUGCGCGGGGAGGAAGGCGACGGGGAGGCGCCUGAUGAGGAAGCAGAGGAUGGAGAGGGGGAGGUCGACGGCGAGGGGGACGCGGCGGCCGCCGCGUCGUCGCUCAUCGGCGCAGCUAGGGUUUCAGGUUCGUGGUUGGUGGAGUUGUUCGGCGAGGUGGGCUGGCCGGGACCGGUAAGAAUCCGGCGAGUUUGGGGCAGGUCGCCCGUUCCUCCGUGGGGCUCACCGCGACACUGUAGCCCAAUGUACUGAGACUGCAUACUGGGAGCAUGAUGUAUGCCAAUUAAAUGUUUGUCCUUUUUCAAAAAGUACAACGGACUUAUGAAAUUGAGAGCAUACAUGGCCGUGUUAAGGUGAAGUGAAAAAAAUCGCUAUAUCGUAGCACUCUCGUUUGGUAAUUAACUAGGCCUUAAAAGAUUCGUCUCAUCAAUUUCGAUCAAACUGUGUAAUUAGUUUUUAUUUUUCAUCUAUAUUUAAUACUCCAUGCAUGCGUCUAAAUAUUCGAUGUGAUGGGGAAUCUUGAAAAAAUUUGGCUUUUUGGGUGGAAGUAAACAAGGCCUAUAUUUUGAUCCUAGUUAGUCUAUGAUUGGAUAAUAUUUAUCACAAAAACAAAAACUAAUUACAUAGUUUGCAUGUAAAUCGCGAGAAAAAACUUUUGAUCCUUGUUAGUCUAUGAUUGGACAAUAUUUGUCACAAACAAACGAAAGUGCUACAGUAGCGAAAUUCAAAAUAUUUUCACAUCUAAACAAGGCCUUGGUCUUGUUUUUUUAACAUCCGUCACAUCGAAUGUUUGGACAUAUACAUGAAGUACUAAAUACAUACUAUUUAAGGCUUUAUUUAGUUCACCUCAACAACCAAAUUUUUUUCAAAAUUCUUUGUCACAUCAAAUCUUACGACACAUGUAUGGAGCAUUAAAUAUAGACGAAAACAAAAACUAAUUACACAGUUUGUCUAUAAAUUGCGAGAUGAAUCUUCUGAGUCUAGUUAGUCCAUGAUUAAACAAUAUUUGUCAAAUAAAAACGAAAAUGCUACAGUAGACCAAAGCAAAAAAAAUUGAAAACUAAACAAAGCCUAAGAAACUAAAAACACAGCUAGAGAGUAAUUUAUGUGACGAAUCUUUUAAGUCUAAUUAGUCUAUCAUUAGACAGUAAUUUUUAAAUAAAACAAAAAUACUAUAGUACAUGUUAAACUUUAACACCCCCAACCAAACACCCUCUGAUUAGGAUGUGGCAACGGCGCGGUGCAAGGCCGUCUCAAUCCUCACGCCACCCCUUCCUCUUCUUCAUCCUUGUUAUAUCCAGCGACCCUCACCCUACCACGACUAUGGAGCUCCCCUACCUCGGACCUAGCUCGGCCACUUCCACUACAUGGCCAGCCUUCCUCCCCAAAACUCAUCUCUUCUAAGUCUGCUAGAGUUGGAGAAGCCAAGAGGGAGAUGAGGAGAGAAAGAGGGAGAAGAGAAGCUCGCCAGAACCCUAACUCGCACAUCCUGGAGGAGGAGGAGGAGGACCCACCUUGACAGCGUCCCCAUCGCCGGAUCAGUCGCUGGAGUUGGGGUGCAGGACGACCAUCGACCAUGGACGCUGUCGGAUCUGCCCGAAGCCAUCCAUGGCGCGAUGAGGCGCGGGUGUGGUCGCCAGGGAGUCACUGGAGUUGGGGUGCAGGACGACCAUCGAGGAAGGAAGGUGGGCAUGUGUGUGAGGAGAGACCGUGAGAGAGAGUGUGGGAAGUACGCCGCACAUCCGUAAAUAAGUUGUUGCCUACUAAUUAUAUGAAGCCAUAAAAUAAAUAUACAUUGUAUUUAUGGUAUGGGAGCCCAAAAUGACAUUAUUUACCAAUCCAUAUGGUUCAUAAUUACAUAGUUAUAGACCUCACCCACACUAAAAUAUGACCUUCCAAUCAUUCACACAAGGUGUGCCCAAAGGCAUGAAAACACCGCAUAAUCCAAUGAUAAGGAACUUCUCAUGAUAGCUUCUCAACUAAUAAAAAGUUAAAAUGGAAUCCUUACAUUGAAGAUGUUAAAUCCCCUAAGGGCACCGUAUAAAAUGGAAUUCUCAACUAGAUGUUUAGAUAAGCUCAACCGUGUUAUUAGCAUACAUUAAUCAAUGUUAUUAAGCAUUUUAUCCACCGUAUAAGAAUCAUGUACGCCAUGGCGCUCAUCCAAGGGGCUCUCUUGAACACUGGUCAGCGAGUAGGAACUCUCUCUUUCUUGCCCUCCUUUAUUACUCUACCCCUCAAUUAUAUAAGUGGCAAGGACUCCCAUCCUCUUUCUUCAACAUCCAAAAGUCUUAGCCACUUUAGGCCUCUUCAACUCAAGGUUGCCUUAGACCUUUCUUCACAAACCUUGACGUAGAGUCCUCGAUGUACAAUCGAUUUUAACCCUAUAAGUGCAUAAAUCCUAUUAGUGGGUUUUGGUGAAUAGAUGAUGACCCAUAUAAAGAACUUAUUAUGUUUUGUGAGAAUUUCAAUUAUACACUAAUUUGAAAAGUGCAAAUGGAAACAUGGGACCCUCAAUUUUUACUUCAUUGAAAGCUAGAACACUUUGCUUCAUCUGAAAGGAAGUUAUGUCUUAAUUUAACUAAGAAGGAUCAAAGUCUUAUAUUCUUAUUACAUGCAUGUGUCCUAAGUGUUCAAAUGGAUCACUAACGUAAACCUUAAACACCCUAGAAUAGCAAACCCUCCUCGCAAAAAAAAAAGAAUAGCAAACCCAGUUGGCUUCCUAAUGUUGUUUCUAGUGAGACCCAUGCAUAAAUAAAUAUUUUCAUAAAUGCGAUAACAAUCCUAAUUAUGUGGCCUUAUAAGAAAGCAUAUUUCUUCACAAAUGCAAGUGAUACAUCAACUUCAGAAUAUAAUCUAAUAAUGGGAAUAUAGACAAAUUCCUUAACGACCUUAGAGCAUGUAUAUUUGGUUUGUACAUGAUAUACGAUGUUGAUAUGCGUACUUUCUGUUAACAUGCCUCUACUAGCUCGGUGGGCCAUGACUCUGCUAUAUAAACAAGGCACUGAUUAUUGUUUGUUAAUAUUUUUUUAUUUCAUAUGCACUCAAAUAUAAAAACAUAUGCAAACAUACAAAAUAUUACAACAAAACAGAGAGCCAGGAACAUCUUGGACAUUUUUCAUCUCUUAGCUAUUUAUAUGACAAAACUGUUCAGGUAAGAGUUUCUUUUAAACAACUUUAGCUCGAAAAGAAAUAUGAUUCAUGAGAGAAGCCACAGAGUUGUUUUACCCACGGCUAGAGAGUUCUGCUAAACACCUUAACUUGCCACAGUCUUGUCAAUAAAAAAAACUUGUCACAGAUAAAACAGUGAGACCAGCCUCCACACAAAAAAAAAAAGAAAAAAGAAAAGAAGCAACACGCUUUCGAAAUAGAGCAAUUCUGUCUCUCGAGCGUGGCUGAAAAGGCUUGGACCUCUUUUGGAUAGGCCUGUUGAUGUAAACCUGCAUCAUGGGCUGAAAGGCUUGUGCCGAACUUGUCAUAUUGGAAGAACUAGGCCGUGGGCCUCAUGCGGUCAGGCCCCUGACUCCUCCUCGGGUCCUCACAAAUUAUUUCUCUCCUACUGAACACAAUCUCAGAGCGAAUUUUAUGAUAGGACAUAUGUCCUUAGAGGCAAAGAAACUGAUUUCUCCCUAAAACUUCUUGUGCAUGGUGUAUGCUUCGGCCAAGAUUGUUACGCCUUGUUUAGUUUUCAAAAAGUUUUAUAAAAAAAAUUAAGAUUCUCUGUCACAUCGAAUCUUACGAUGUAUGCAUGAUUCAUUAAAUAUUGAUAAAAAUAAUAACUAAUUGUACAGUUUUUCUGUAAUUUACGAGAUGAAUCUUUUAAGCCUAGUUAGUCCAUAAUUACACAAUAUUUAUCAAAUACAAACGAAAGUGCUACGAUAUCUAUUUUGCAAAAAAAAAAACUAAACAAGGCCUCAAAAUGCAAGGCGGCGAGUCCAGUAUCUUGAUCAAGGGAGAAGUAUGCGAUCAUCCUGUGCAAAAUCUUGCAAGUCGAGAUCUCUCAAGAUGGCAGGACUACCAAAAAUGGUAAGCAAUUAUGGUCUUGUUUAGUUCACGAAAACGUUUGGUUUUGGCUACUGUAACAUUGUCAUUUGUAUUUUAUUAUUAUUGUCCAGUCAUAGACUAACUAGUCUCAAAAAAUUUAUCUCGCAAAUUACAGGUAAACUAUGCAAUUUGUUUUUGUUUUCGUCUAUAUUUAAUACUUUAUGGAUACGUCCAAAGAUUCGAUGUGAUGGAGAAUCUUGAAAUUUUUUAAGGCUUAUAUCUAAGGUCUUGUUUAGUUCCAAAAUAUUUUGGGAAAUGGGCAUUGUAGCACUUUCGUUUGUACAAGACAAAUAUUGUUCAAUCAUAGACUAAGGCCUUGUUUUAGAUCCAAUUUUUUUGGAUUUCGACACUGUAACACUUUCAUUUUUAUUUGACAAACAUUGUCCAAUUAUGGAGUAACUAGGCUUAAAAGAUUUGUCACGCGUUUAAUGAGCAAACUAUGCAAUUAGUUUUUGUUUUCAUCUAUAUUUAAUGCUCCAUGCAUGUGUCGCAAGAUUCGAUGUGACCAGAAAUCUUGAAAAAUUUUGGUUUUGGGGGUGAGCUAAACAAGGUCUAAAUAGGCUUAAAAGAUUCGUAUCACAAAUUACAGGCAAAUUGUGUAAUUAAUUAUUAUUUGUAUCUAUAUUUAGUGGUCCAUACAUGUGUCGUAAGAUUUGAUGUGUUGGAAAAUAUGAAAAGUUUUGUAAAAUUCUUUAGGAACUCAACAAGGCUUAGGCCUGGGCCUUGUUUAGUUCACCCUGAAAACCAAAAAGUUUUCAAGAUUUCUCGUCACAUCGAAUCUUGUGGCACAUGCAUGAAACAUUAAAUAUAGACGAAAACAAAAACUAAUUACACAGUUUAGCUGUAAAUCACAAGAUAAAUCUUUUGAUCCUACAAACAAACGAAAGUGCUACAGUACCGAAAAGUUUCCACUUUUCGGAACUAAACAAGGCCCUUGUUUAGUUCACUCCAAAAACCAAAAAGUUUUCAAGAUUCUCCGUCACAUCAAAUUUUACGGCACAUGUAUGAAGCAUUAAAUAUAGAUGAAAACAAAAACUAAUUGCACAAUUUAGUUGUAAAUCGCGAGACGAAUCUUUUGAUACUAGUUAGUCUAAGAUUAGAUAAUAUUUGUCACAAACAAACGAAAGUGCUAAGGUAUGGAAAAUUUUCACAUCGGCCAUAAUGUUUCGAGUGGGCUGCACGGAUAACGGAUUGGAAAGCACGUCAGGCGGUUCUUCUUGGACCCAAAGACAGGGCCGGUGUUUAGUGGGUGCCAGCAUAUGCUCUCCUCGGCUUGAAGGACAAGAAAUCAUGGUCUGUAGCUAGCUGCUAGCUUCCAUUAUUCCACAAGAGCCGUUGUUGGUUUCUGUUAAUUGUACACAAGAUCAGGCAUGUAGCCGUGGACGUCCUAACGCCGCAAGCUACUGGAGUUUUGCUUGCCACACUUUGCACGAGUGAGGCAAUGACCCAGAUUAUAUUAUCGUUAUUAUAUGUUAGGCCUUGUUUAGUUCCAAAAAUUUUUGCAAAAUGUGAACAAUAACAAUUUCGUUUGUAUUUGACAAAUAUUGUCCAAUCAUGGACUAACUAUGUUCAAAAGAUUCGUCUCGUCAAUUUCGAUCAAACUGUGUAAUUAGUUUUUAUUUUCAUCUAUAUUUAAUACUUCAUGCAUACGUCUAAAUAUUCGAUGUGACGGGGAAUCUGAAAAAUUUUGCAAAAUUUAUAGGAAACUAAACAAGGCCAGAGGCUCCGAUCCACUCCAUCGACCACUGCACAUUAGCUGAUUAGCAUGCAGAUGGCUCGCAGCCAGACAGUCAGCUGCGUUCUGAUGUUAUAGCCUGCGUAACUUGGACAGCCUCACGAUAAAAAUACUCCAUCGACCACUGUACGUACUUCGAAGCGAUGGUAGAAGACUGUAUAUUUGUUCUGCAGAUGUUGCAAGAGAGUCCAGUCAAACCGCAACCUUGGAGUAGUAGAUACGUACACAUAAUAGUCAUACUGCACACUGUGCGUGGUAGUUCCAUGCAGCUAUUACUAGAUCUGAUCAUAGUUAAAUAGUCUUAGCUUUCAAUAAAUUUGUAGGGAAAAAAAAGGUAUGAAUAUGUAUGACUAGCUCAUAUACGUACUAUAUAUGUAUGACUCUAAGAAUUUCAUGAGUCAUGACGAAUCUGAUAAUACUUAUGAGUAUUUAAUAUGGUAAAUUUGGUUAAUUUUGAUAAUUUGACUAGAAAAGAAAGGCGAACCGCGAGCUCGUGACAGCAUCUGAAACCUGACAAAAGUCUUUGAAAUCUUGCAGCACACUGCACACGAGCUUUGAUGUUGAUGGUGCAUCACACAGUUCGCAAACAAAUGCACUGCAUCGCAUGCUAUGCUGAUGCACCGGGAGUCCGGGACCGCAGCGUCAGAGGAUGCAAUGAAACUCGCUCUGGAGCCACGCCGCGCGCCCUCUGGGAUUCUGGCCUUCUGGGCCGGCAGAUACAAAUUUUAUUUUUGGGCAGAGGGUGAAUCACCACUGGCUGUCCCCCGCAGGCGCCACAAUCACUCGGCGCCCUGUAAAAAAGGCACAAACACCCAUCAUCGAAGCAAAGCGAAGCACAUGCAGCAGCCGUCCGAUCUGACUCUGAGAGAAAAAAAAAGUUUACGAAAACAAGUAAACAAUCUGAUCCGUCUCAAUGCAUAGUUUCAUGACACAGUUACCAAGACUAUAAACUAGAUAACCGAGCAAGUUUUAUGGGAAUGAAACUCCUCUCUCAUCUGAUGAAACUCCUUCAUUUAAUGAUCAUGUCAACUCAGCAAUUUUGCUUAUGUGACACCCUAUUUAAUGUACAUGACACUCUCAUGAAACAUGCAUUGAGACUGGCCUAAAGCGCAAAAGAUGAGAGGCCCAAGCCAGGAAUUUCUCGUGGUUAACGACGGUGCAUGAGCGGGUUAAUUAACACUCAGCCUAAUCAAUAGUUCGUACCGCACGAGGGAGGUUUAACGCAGAGCAAGAGGUGGCUGCUGCUGCUGCUCAGUGCUCACCUCGGCUAACGAUAGGAUUAGGAUUUAGGAUAACGACGGCUCGGGAGGUGACACCUGCCCCCCAUGACCUGUGACAAAAGCUCACUAGGGUUACUAAUUUUAAUCACCAUAUUUGACACCUACCGUGUCAGUCUCAAUAUAUUAGGGCGGGCGACGAGCCGACGAUGGCCGAAAGCACUGCAUCAUCCAUCUCACCAGACCAGAGAGAGCGCCGACAGACAGGACUUUGUGCGACACAGUAGUACGUAUAAUUUUUUCACUACUGAACGUGUAAGGCCUGGUUUAUAUAUGUAAAAGUUUUUGAAUGAUGCUGUAGUAUUUUUAUUUAUAUUUGUAAUUAUUGUUUAAUUAUAGACUUAAAAAUUUUCAAGAUUUCUUAUUACAUAAAAUCUUUGGAUACAUGUAUAGAGCAUUAAAUAUAGAUAAAAAAAUAACUAAUUAUACAGUUUGUCUGUAAUUUAUAAGAUAAAUUAUCUAAACCUAAUUAAUUUAUAAUUAGAUAAUAAUCACGAAUACAAAUAAAAAUGCUAUAGCUGAACACAAUUUUUUGCAACAACUGAGGCCUUGUUUACUUCCUCCCAAAAACCCAAAACUUUUCAAGAUUCCACGUCACAUCGAAUCUUUAGACGUAUGCAUGGAGUAUUAAAUAUAGAUGAAAAUAAAGACUAAUUACACAAUUUGGUCGAAAUUGACUAACGAAAUGUUUUGGUUGAGGAACUAAACACGGCCUGAGUCAUGGGCCGCAUGUAAUUGGGUCCAACCGACGGUGGUGGCUACAGUAGCCGAACAUAAAAAAAUCGCAAUAACUGAGUCGUGGGCCCGCAUGUAAUUGGGUCCACCCAACGAUGGUGGCCCAGCGGACAGAGUAUCAUGUGCCGUCGCUUUUCAAAGGUGGAGAAAAGAAAAGGCAAAAGGCGCAAAGGCAAACCUAGCAGGUCCCUCCAUCGUCCAGUACGAUGGAUGCUCCGGUGGAUAGGAGCACAGCCAUACACGCGUCGUACCACGGAUGUCUCUUGGCGCACAAAACGACAAGAACCACCCUUCAUGUGUGAUGCGUGUCCGUUUCAACGUUUUUACAGCAGCGGUCAAACAUGUACUUUGGUUGGAAUUGACGGAACGAAUUUUUUAACUUAAUUAAUUUAUAAUUUGAUAAUAUUUGUUAAAUACAAACGAAAAUGUUACAGUGCCGAUUUCUCAAAAAAUUUUAAACUAAACUAGGCCUAAGUAGCCGAACAAAAAGAAUCAUUGACUAAGACAUUGUUUAGUUCUGAAAAGAUUUUGAAUUUGGCCAGUGUAGCAUUUUUGUUUGUAUUUGACAAAUAUUAUCUAAUCAUAGACUAACUAGGCUCAAAAGAUUCGUCUCACAAAUUAUAGGCAAACUGUGCAAUUAGAUAUUCUUUUAUUUAUAUUUAAUAUUUUAUAUGUAAGAUUUGAUAUGACAGAAAAUCUUGAAAACUUUUUAGUCUAAACAAGACAGUUAGAGAGAGGAACUGCAGUGUAGCAGUUGUAGCAGCACUUAUUUCCUCCGUUCACAAAUAAAUGCACAUCUCACUUUUCGAGGAGCUAAAUUUUUUAAGUUUACUAGAAAUAUAUCCAAUAAUAUCAAUAUUUGUAUAUACAAAUAAAUAUAUUAUGAAAGUAUAUUUUAUACUUAAAAAAAUGCUGCACUUAUUCAAACUUAAAUUUUUUUGACUUCUUAGGAGACGAGAUGUGCAUUUAUUCGUAGAUAGAGAGAGUAGUAAAUGAGAGUGCUUUUUUUUUUGUUGAUGCUCAAAAAGAAUGAGAGCAGACAAGUACUAGUAAAAAUUGGCAACGUUCAACGAUAAUCUGAGCUACUUGGGCUUGUUUAGUUCCGGAAAUUUUUAGGAAAUCGAUAUUGUAGCACUUUCGUUUGUAUUUGACAAAUAUUGUCUAAUCAUGGACUAACUAGGCUUAAAAGAUUCGUCUCGUCAAUUCUGACCAAACUGUGCAAUUAAUUUUUAUUUUCUUAUAUUUAAUACUCUAUGUAUGGGUCUAAAGAUUCGAUGUGACAGGAAAUAUGAAAAAUUUUGCAAAAUUAUCUUGGAACGGCCCUGUAAAAAAAAGAUGAUCUGAGCUAGUACUGUACUAGGGCCUGUGUUGAGUUCCUAAUUUUUUUUAAUUUUUUUCAUAUUUUUAUAUUGAAUUUUACGGCACAUAUAUAAAAUAUUAAAUUUAAAUAAAAAAUAAGUAAUUACAUAAUUUAACUAUAAUUUGCAAGACAAAUCAUUUAAACUUAGUUAGUCUAUAAUUAAUUAAUAUUUAUUAAAUACAAAUGAAAAUGUUUUCAUUUUGUCAAGAAUUUGGGAACUGGCCUAAAUACGACACGACUCGACGAGCAAAGGCAUUUUACAAUGCGGCUCCAAAUUCCAAAAGCUCAUCAAGACAAUGCUGCAUAAGCACAUGAUGACGACACGUUUCUGGUUGGACCAUCUCACUGGAAUUAUUGGAUUACCAUUGAGGUGUCACUUGUCGUAGCGCGUGAUGAUAAUUGAGCUAGAUUAAGGCCUAGUUUAGUUCAUUUUUUUUUUGCAAAACGUAACACUUUGUUUGUAUUUGACAAAUAUUGUUCAUCAUAGACUAAGACUUAAAAGAUUUGUCUCGUAAAUUACAAACAAAUUGUAUAAUUAGUUAUUUUUUUAUCUAUAUUUAAUGCUCCAUGCAUACGCCACAAAAAAAAUUUGUAAAAUUUUUCAGAUUCUCCGUCAUAUCAAAUCUUUAGACACAUGCAUGAAGUAUUAAAUAUAGACGAAAAUAAAAACUAAUUGCAAGUUUGGUCGAAAUUGACGAGACGAAUCUUUUAAGCCUAGUUAGUUCAUGAUUGGACAAUAUUUAUCAAAUACAAAUGAAAGUACUACUAUUUCUAUUUUUGCAAAAUUUUUUGAACUAAACAAGGCCUUUUAUAACGUUGCCUACGGCUUUUUUGAGUGAAAAAAAAAACCCUGCCGAGGGUCUCAGAGUGGAGAGGUGGUGAGACGUGGAGACGCCAGCGCACUCGCCCGUUGCUCCUUCAUGCAACGCGUGCCCCUCCCGGCGCGGCAGUCCACACAUUGUGACACCACCACCGCGCGCCCCGCGCACGAAACCCCACCAGCCGCCAGACUUCAGACUUGGGGAGCGGCCCCACCGGCGCGCGGCCGGAGCAAGCCUUGAGCCAGAAGCAGUGUGCUGCGGAAGCCUCAUUCUCCUCCUCCUCCUCUAAGCAGCAGCUCCCCGUUGGCCCAAGGCCAAGAGAAAGAGACCCGCCGCGCCCCGCCCACACCCCCGAGACCGAGAGCCAGCACGCCGAUCCGCGCCCGGUCGACGAGGUACGCCGCUGCUCAUCCUCGUCUUCCCUGGCAUGUGCUUGCUUAUACGCGGCUGUGGGCGUGGGGGAUUGGAUUGCUUCUGUUGUGGAUUAGCGAGACUUGUGUAGUAAGUAGGUGAUUGAUUUGUCGUGCUCAUAUGGUUUUUGGUUGGGAUGUAAUGCCGCUUUCCUCUGGUGGAGCUAUUGAGUUCGAUUUCUGCAUUCCAAGUUCUCAUUGAGGCGACCUGUUUGUUCUGAAUGUUGGGGACGAAUUCGCCGAUGGGAUAGUAUCGGAGGAUUUGGGAAACACCCUACUCUUUGCCAUGGUGAUUCUGCGGGUGUUGUUGCACUUAUUAAUGACAAGAGUUUCAAGUGAGUGUUCAUUUUUUCGGUCCCUGGUCUAGCUCGGUCCAAUGACUUGUUCAAGUGAGUCUUCCUUUUUGCUGAUCUCAUUCAUCUCGCUCUUUUGAAUCACUUGCCUUUACGUUUCUGUUUUUUUCUGUGCUUUUUUUGAUGCGCGUAUAGACAAUCAUUACCCCUUUCUCUUUUUUUCUGCAACUUUGACUUGAUGACAGAAAAAGCAAAAGCUCAAUUUCAGUCCACCUUUUCUUUGCUUUCCAAUAAUACGCAUUGAUCCAUCCAUCUUAUUACAAAUGAUUCAAUGCAACUAAACCAACCGACAAACGUGGUGACCGUUUUCAGGCGCAUCCUGCUCUCGUCCUCAUCAGCGCUUGGGAGAACGGCAACGGUUACCGCUCGACCGCCAUGGUGGAAUCCAGUGGCCACCGGAGCGCCACCGCCCCCACGGCCGUCGGGUUCUUCCGUGUCCCGGGCCUGUUCGUGAGGCUGAGCAGCAGCAAGGGGGGAGGAGUGAGCAAUGCCGUGGACGCCGACUCGGUCUGGAGCCCGACCUCCCCGCUGGACUUGAAGAACCACCUCCGGUCCAGCCCGCCGAGGGUCGGCCUCGGCCUCGUCGACGCCCUCACCGCCGACGACGAGACCGGUUGUUCCAUGCACUUCGGCGGCAGGAGCUCGUUCCUCGACUCCAUCAAGCCGUUCCUCGACCUGGCGCUGCCCAAGGCGGCGGCGGCGCCGGUGUGCGGGAACAAGGCGGCUGCUGCUGCCCCUGCGUCGUCGGCCGGCGGCGUCGCCGCAAGGGUGGAUGAGGUGAACGAGUACCCGUACGCCGACUGUGAGGAGUACACUUGCGUCAUCUCGCGCGGGGCCAACCCGAGGACCACGCACUUCCUCGCCGGCGAGACGGUGGAGGCGGUGCGCAGGGGCGGCGACGUAGGUGGCCGCUGCAGGGAGGUGAUUUUCAGCAUUGAGCCGUUCAGCGACCAGCUGCUGCCGUCCACGUCCUCGUCGUCGGCGGCGGCAACCGCUAGCGUCGCGUCCGGCAGGUGCUGCUGCUGCAUGAAGAGGCUGCAGGAGAACAAGGACAUCUUCAUCUACCUGUGAGUUUGAGCUAGUUUUCAUCAACGUUUUUAAUUCUCGCUAGAGCUUGAACGCAGCAAGCAAUACGUGUGCGACAUGUUUUUUCUAGCUGUUCAAGUUCUUGGAUUUUGACGGAACGUCUUGUGUGUGCAGGGGAGAGAAGGCUUUCUGCAGCAGCGAGUGCAGGAAGGGGUACAUCGAGGAGGCGGACGAGGAGGUCAUGAUGAUUCUGGAUCCUGCUCGAAAUCUUUGAUCAGGAUUUGUUUAAUGCCGUGGCAAAGUAGUAGUGGUAGUAUAAUAUUGCCCGCAAGAUUUCUUUUUUCUGCUGCCUUCAACUUUAGGGACUACUGGGAGAGUGAGGGGGGAAACAAAGGAAGGGGAAAAAAUGGAAAUGCCUCUCGUUCAAGUUUUUGCUGAAAGGAGAGGUGGUUGUCCAGGUUUGGCCAGUCAGUGCAACGGCCGGCCGAGCCAAUUUUCGUGAUUUGUUGAGCUCCAUUUUGGCUGCUGUCAAACUAGUAGCUCUUCGCCAUCAAUAUAUUAUUACUGUUUUGUUUAAGUCCAGUUUGUGCCUUUUGUUCUCCAUUUUUCAUUUUUAUAUUAUUGCAUUUUUUAAAAUACUCUUAUGUUCGUCGACGAGCUCACCAUCAUACUCUGUCAGUAAGGUCCUUGGUCGGAGACCCCUUUUUAAACAUAAUUUAAGGCUUUGUAGUCGACAAUAUACGCUGCUUCAAUCGACCCCUUUACAACUCAAGGCCUCGGACAUCUGUACCAGAUUCAAAUAUAAGUGACUAUUUCUCUUAUAAUAACUAAGAACAGAGAAGAUUGAAUUGAAGAUUUUAAAAGAAACAAGUGUUAAAAACCUUUCUUCUAAACUGCAACAGAUUUCGAUUUCAAUUCUUUUUCCUAAUAUUUUCUUUUUCUCAAUUGAGAAAAUCAGUCUCUAUCAAAGAAAAAGAAACUAGAGAUUUUUCUUGAUCCACCCUUUCUCUCUCUCUCUCUCUUUCUUUCUUUCCUCCCACUAAUCUCUAGGGGGGCUCUCACACUAUCGAGCUGGGCGCGCGGCGUCGUGCCGCGCCAUCGCGCACGUCGGAACCACCGCCGUCACCCACGUGACACCUCCAUCACGUUUCUUUUACUAGUUCGCACCCAGCGGGCUGAAAAAGUAAAAAGAAACAUUUUAGGCUCCGAUUUGAAACUGUUGUUCAAGUUAACCACUAAUUUCCCGUUAACGAGCAAUUACAUUAACCACUCGUCCACGUCCGGUAUGUGACACGACUCCAGAGUCCAGAAUGCUCCAGCUCCAGCGGCUUGUCGAGUUAAAGCCGCCAACACAAAUAAUUUCACAGAGGACGACGGCAGGCGGGCAGGCCUGCCGCUGCCGGCCCCGCGCUCCUCGCUCGGCCCGGCCGGACCAGCUGCGUACCGUAUGCUUGGCAGGCCGCGCGGCUAUGGGCCUACUGCACUCUUUACGGGCUAUGGCAUGGAAUCCAAUGCUGGUAACUGGUAGUACGGAGUAGUACGUACUACAGUACGCAGUGAUGGCCGAUGAACUUGCGGCGUCUUUGCGUUGCGUUGCAGAUCGCACUAUCGCACAGCAACGUGCGACCGUCCGAGUCCAUCCUGAAGACACUGACAGCUCUGGCACUCCGGCCGCCGGCAACAUCGAUUCCAAGAAGGAUUCAUUAUUCAUGUUUAUCUUUCCGAGAGACUCCCUAUGAUAUUUGUGCAAAGGUUACAUUCGUGCAAGUUAACUAAUCUAUUUAUUUUUAACAAAGUUUGUAAUACUAAUAUUUAUACAUGUGUGUAGUAGAAAGGAUUGUUGAAAAGUAAUGGUUAGGAUGUUCCUACACUAUUAGGAGAUGCAGCUCUCCUUUUAUUUAAGAGAAGAUUUGAGAGGAGAUGAAGAAAAAAAAAAGAGGUAUAGGAGAUUGUUGGAGGGAAAAAAACACAAUGCCCCUAAUAUAACAGUUUUAUUGGGAUACAACAGUACUGCAGCCUAAUAUAACAACUUUACCGGGAUACUACUUCAGAACGCUAUAGAUACUUUUAAGUUCCAUUUGCUUGAAUGCAUCUAAUUACUUCCAUGCGUAUUAAUUCAACCAAGAGAAAACACUUCAAACGUGACACUAAACAAAAAAACAUAGUUGCACCUUCAAUAUUUGGACUUUAUUGGGCCGGAGGGAGUAAAAUAACACAAGAACACUAUAAAACACGGGAAAUAGGAGAUCCGGUUUGCCGUACAACCAACCACAGGUGCACAUCUACAAAGCUUGCCUAGCCAGUAGCUACCCGCAACCAAGGCCUCUCUUCCUUGCUCAACAAAGGCACCUUCAUGAAUCAAUUCCAGCUACAAAGCUUGAACAAUUAUCUCAUCUACGAACUCCGAUGCUACAAUCUUCAAGCAACAGGAAAUAUAACAUUAUCACACUAGAAUCACAAAGCGACAGGAGUGAAGGGGCAAGAGGACCUAGUAGGCUAAUAAGAUGUAUAAUGAAGGAUGGCAGCUAGCAGCAGACAAAUAAUCUCGAGCUGUUUGCCUCCGCAGGACCCAGUGGAGUCUUGCCAGAUAUCCCAGUGCUCACCAGCUCACGGGAAGGAGCCAUC